CACCGCCGUCGCCGUACAACUUACAAACACGGAUCACGAUCGCCGUCGCCCCUUGUGUAUAAAAGGUGCGGGAGCGCAGCGGACACACCACACAGCGAGCGCAGCAACAGGGCCACAACAUGGACGCGCUCUUCGAGCAGCUCUCCGUUCUCGCCGACAUGGCCCUGGACGACGGGGGCUUCGACCCGGCGCGGCUCGACGGCGUCCUGGCGCUCUUCGAGAGCGAGGCGCGCGCGUCGUGGGGCGAGGCGGAGGCGGAGCACGAGGCCGUGGCGCGCGCCACCGAGGCGGCCGCGGAGGACGCCGGGGGACACCUCGACGCCGUGAUGGGCGCGGCCGUGGGCACGUACCGCGGCUCGUCGGGCGAGGCCGACGCGCUCGCCGCGGCCGCCGCCGCUAUGGAGAUGGCCUUCAGUGCGACGUCGAGAUCGCCGUAGGCGGUGCACGAGAAGCAGAUCGAUCGCGCGGCGAUCCGACAAGAUUUAUCAGAUGCAGCGCGUGUGCUUGGGGUGGGCGUGUUUAGGAUCCCGUAUCAAGAAAUGGUGGAUGGGCUCGGUCCGACUCGUGCGGUCAUUUGCCAACGGGCAUCGGCACUGAGGCACAGGAACAUGUUUGGAAUAACAACAGCAAUCAGAGUAUGCUUAGCGAAUGUAUGUCCAUGAUUUCACCAUCUAAUCCGUUGUUUAAAUUUCUGAUCCAACGACGAACCUACGAUAGCCCACUUGAUGACAACAAGCCUAGGACAGCAGCUAGGAUAAACUUUCUUCUAGAUCUUGGCUCAAUUGGACAGCAAGCAAGUGGAUUAUCUAGCUAUGAAUUUCAGCCCCAACCUGACAGCUAACUAAACAAUCAAAGCCAGGGUUCAAAAUUUAAUAAUUAAGCGAAACAAUUUUGCAAUGAAAAAUACGUGGAUAACAUCCGCAUAAUAUUCAUCAAUCAGGCCAAAUAAUAUCCAUUCACGAUGUGAGAAACCCGCUGCAAAAGUAGGAGAUAGUAGCAAACAAGGAAAUGAUUAGUCUCCAACUUUCAGGGUCCAGACCUGACCACCUAGUCAGAGACAGUUGGCGACGGUAAGUCCAGUCCAGACCCUCGCAACGCGUCGUCCACAAUCUUGCCUAGCUUCCUCGCCACCUCUGGUGUCAGGUGAUUGCUCCAAUCGCCAAUCACUCCCUCUCGGAAGUAAGCUUCAUUCUUCAUGGCCAAAUAAUUAUUCCCGCUCUUAUUCACCUCCAUGCUCUUCAAUUUCGGCAAGCAGCACAGCUCCACGAUUGUUGCCACAAGCUCAGGCAUUCACUGCUUCAUCAACAACCUCGGUGGAUUUGUUGCACCAGCUGUUUGGGCACCCGAGCUCAAUUCCCUUUCUCAGGUCCUUCAGUGUAAGAAGUCAAUCCCACAUUCAUGCCAUUCUUGCAAGAUUGGCAAGCAUGUUCGAUUGCUGUUUCAAUCGUCUAGUAGCAAAACUUAUUUCCCUUUCUAGCUAGUUCAAACAGAUGUUUGGACCUCACCAAUUUACAGCAAUUUUGGUUACAGAUACUAUGUCCUUUUUCUUGAUGAUUACACACAUUAUAUUUGGACCUUCCCUAUUCGCUAAAAAUCUAAGGUUUUUCAGUUUGGUCAGUCUGUUCUUGCACUUUAGAUGGACAAUGGCAAAGAAUAUGAUUCAUAUGCGCUGUGUCAUCUCCUCGCGCGCCACUGGCACUGUACUCCACCUCUCCAGUCCGUAUAUCUCCAAGCAAAACGGCAAAGCUGAGCGCGUUCUAAGUACAAUUAACGAUUGUGCGCGAACCCUGCUUCUCCACAGCGUAGCACCUCUUUCCUUCUGGGCUGAGGCAUUGCAAACUGUGAUUUUUCUACUGAAUCGCCGCCCCUACCGCACCAUGGGUACGACGAUGCCUCACCACCUCCUCCUCGGCGCACCUCCAGACUACAGCAAGCUUAGAGUGUUUGGAUGCCUCUGUUACCCCAACACCAUGGCCACAUCCGACCACAAGCUCAGUCCGCGGUCCCUGACGUGCAUCUUCAUUGGUUACCCAAGCAACCAUGAUAGCUACAUGUGCUAUGACAUCGAGUCCCGGCAAGUGUUCAUUUCGCGCCACGUUGUCUUCAUUGAGCACAUGUUCCCAUUCCGCGAUGCCAACAAGACCCGUACUCGCUCGUCACCUCAAGCACCCCUUGUUGAUCACGUCAAUGACAUGCCGAUCGUGCAAGCGCUGCCAGGACCAUGACUUCGCCAGAACGUCGUGUCGUUAGCACCUCCGUGACACUCCCCAUCGCUGCUCGAUGUUCAAGAUCCUGCGCCCUCGACUCGAUCAGCUCCUGCGACAGCCACUACGACGUCACGCACAGCUCCAUCUAAAUAGGCUGCCACGACAUCGCCCUCGCUUACAGCUGCUCCAGCUGCAACGACAUUGCCCUUGAUCACGCUGUCGCCUGCACCAACUGUUGUAACCUCAUCCGCCCUGCUGCAACGACGUCUCCCUCGGCUAUGACAUCGCCCUCGACCAUGCUGUCGCCUGCUGCGGACUCGCUUGCGCUGCUCGCCACGGCGUCAACUACUUCAUUUUCCACAGAGUUGCUGCGACAUCCGAUGAUGAUCCGAAGCCGCGACGGCAUCCGCAAGCCCAACCCAAAGGACGCCCUCGCCAGCAACGGCGGCCGCUGUCACCUCCACCUAUGUCCGUUCGGGCAGCCCUCAAGGGCCCACGUUGGCUUGAUGCUAUGCAGCAAGAGUUUUCAGCUCUCCAGGCAAAUCGGACCUAGACCCUUGUGCCAUGCCCACCAGGUGCCUGGAUCAUCUCCGGCAAAUGGGUUUUCAAGACAAAAGCUCAAUUCUGAUGGCUCCCUUGACCGCUACAAGGCCAGAUGGGUUGUCUCGGGCUUCAAUCAGCAACCAGGGAUUGAUUUUGGUGAAACCUUCUCGCCCGUUGUGAAGCCAGCUACCAUCCGGAUGGUGUUGAUGGUCAUCGCCUCCAAGCAGUGGCCACCACACCAACUUGAUGUCUCCAACGCAUUCCUACACGGCAACAUUCAAGAAUGUGUGCUCUGCUAGCAGCCCACUGGAUUUGAGGAUUCGAACCAGCCCGACGACGUUUGUCUCCUGUCCAAAUCAUUGUACGGUCUUCGUCAAGCACCGCGAGCUUGGUUCACGUGAUUCGUCGAGCAUGUCACCUCCAUCGACUUCGUCCAAUCUCGCGCCAAUUCAUCGAUGUUCGUUCUAUGGCAGGGCUCGGGCAUGGCAUAUCUACUCCUCUAUGUCGAUGACAUGAUCUUCUCGGCAUAGACACCGGCUCUCUUGCAGUACAUCGUCGCCUCCUUGGCGAGCGCGGACCAAAGAGGAGAAGCGGCGCUGGCGAGGAAGAGCGCCGCUUCUGUGUUUUUUUGCGCGCAAGGGUAGCAGGGUAAGGGGAAGAAGGGCAAAAGUGUCUUUGUUCAAUAGCAUUUAGUCCAUGGACUAAAGUGGGACUAAAACUUUUUAGUCACUAAAAUUUUAGGAGGUGGGAACCAAACAAAAUCGUAGUAUACGUGCCAACAUGCAUCAGUACGUGCUGGAUUGUCCACGAAAUUAAGCUCCAAUCAUCCUGAUAGGGAAAUUAAUUAAUUUCUAUUUCCAGUAAAGUAUCGUCCCAUAAGAGCAAGUUUAGUAACCUUGUCUAAUAGACAAGCCAAAUUAUAUGUAGAACAAUCUUAUAGACCAACGAUUUAUCCCUUCACGUCUUCCUAUAUGCAAUCUUUAAUUGUACCGGAGCCCUUGUCAGAUUUCCAUCCUCAGGCUGACCGCACCGCACCGCGUCUACGCCAAGCCAACCGGCAAAGUAGGAUGGCCCACCGUCAGCACUCCUUUUAUAGGUCAGGAACGGGCAGCCCGCUCCUGUAUACGGCCCCCCAAAAUCAUGCCGCAGCCCGUUGCCGAGAGGCGUGGGGCCCACCCCGAGAGCAGAUACAGGCGCAGGGCGGAACAUCUGCCUGUCCUGGUCUCCGAACGGAGAUUUGGUGUACCCCAUAGCGGCGGCGCGGUUUAGCUCCUCCACCGCCAUAUUUAUAGGCGAGGUCCAUUCCCAGGUCCCGGGUGCGGAUAGCCUCACAUACGAGCUACUGCAUGCGGGUGGGACCCAACAUUUGUUUUGAAAAGCGUGAUCAGCUGGUCGCUGGAUGUGUCGACAAGUUCUCUCUUUUCUCCGGUUCCUCUCUCUGCCACGUCUGAUUUCGCUGAUGUAAUCGGUCGAUACGACCGCUGAGCUGUCCUUAUUGGACGUGCUCUAAUGGCCUCCAUGGUAUCUUGCUGGUGUAGAGGACAUGAAAUGUAUUGAUAUUGUGUGCCAUGGAAGUUCGGAUGAAUGCGUGGAUUGGCAAUCCAGAAUCCACGUUCUGAUUAUCCGCCAUUAUACUACUAUCAUCCAAAAUAUUGUUGCUUGACUCUUAACAUUUCGCUUCGGUUUUUGGACAUGGGUAACUUGAAGGUUCCUAUAUUCACGGCUCGUCCUGAUCAAGUUGAAGCUGAUCAGAAUGCAUGGAAAAAGCUAGGAGGGCAAAAGAUUGAAUUUCUGCUCGCUAUAUUGCCAGAGAAAUUAGGGACAUUACCGAUAAUUUUUAACCUUUUUUAUUAUUUUGCUAUUUCAUCCUCUUUUUACUCCAGAUGUUGCCACUCAGAUAUGUUGAUCAUUUAGUUCAUCCACAAUUUAAAGUUAGGACCAAUUUUAUGAAUCUGCAAUGUUGCUACUCAAUUAUGUGUUAUGAAUCGAUAACUUAGCUUGUUAAAAAAAUUACCCUUCAAAUUUUUUGAAUACCCAUGCUUGAAAUCUUAGGACCACCCCCUAUCUAGCUCUGUUAUCAUGUACCCAAUGUGUGUGCCCCAGUUCUCCACGCGAACAUUGACGUUUUAAGCACCAAAGGUGGACUUGCCUGAAGCGCUGCUAGCUGAGCACGGAUAUACGAUAGAUUUGUUCUUUUAUAUACUUUUAUCCUCCUUUUCUUUUUAUCUUUUUGAAAAUAGCACUAGCUAGGGCAUUUGUAGAUUUGACUGAUAUUAAGAAAACAAUGCAGUAAUAAUUUGAAUUCUCCUAACGUUGCAGUGUGGCGGUGAGCCAAUGAAGACAUUGUUAAUCCUUGUUCAUUUUCAGCAAAUAUUGUUAUUAUUUGUUUCAGAGAGAGAUCCUUUCUCGUUUUUGAAAACUGACCACGUAAAUUUUCUUCUUUGUGGUGUAACCUACACACUCGAGUUUGAGUCAAUAAUUGUUUGUAUUUUUUAUAUUUAUUCUAGAAAUUAACAACAUCAUUAUUUUAGUGGUUGGUGCCUACGAUGAUUUGGUCAAUCUUAAUAUAUUCCAGCCAUGUCUUUAAAAGAUACUCAUAGGUUGGUGUCAUCGGUAUGGGCUUAAAAGAAUGUUCCUUAAGCUAGCUUGGCAACUCGUUUAAAAUUGCUCUGAUUUCACUUUUUUUUUGAAAUCGAAGUUAGCCGAUUCUAUUGAAAGUCAGCUUUGGAUAUCAAAAGAGACUACAACAAACACGGAUAGAUCAAUUUUGGAAAAAAGCUUAGUUACAUAGGUUUUGAAAAAAAAAAUCCUCAUUUCCAUUUUCAUGGUAGAUCUGUCUCAAAACAUUGUACAAGUAUCAUAAAACGGGCCAAGAGCCCACUUCUAUUUUCUAGAAGCCCCCUGUACCUUGGCUCUAAGCGGCCUUGUUAACAAAUCAUCUCCCGCCCGCCGCAUCGGUCUGAUAAGCCCAUCAGCCCAACUAACCGGUCAGCUGGCGCGCUGGCAGCGGCGCCCAGCCGCCUACCGGCUCCCAUGAAGACGGAGAUCCGGGCCCACACGCCACCCACCCUCAUCAGACGUCACGUGAAAGCGCGGUGGCAACCGUCUCCCACCCAGUCGGUGUACGUGUUCGCCGCGCGCGGCCGCGCCUGCUACCCCCGCCAUGUGGGCCGCACGUAAGACCCUCCCCAGCACACAAACGCGUCGCGGUCGCUUCCCCGCCAAUUCGGCCCUCUGACCGGCGGACCCGUCGUCCGUCGGGACGUGCGGGCACCACCUGUCAUGCAUGCGUCGCGGCGCGGUGCCCGUGACCCGACGCGAGGGAAAACAGCAGCGGACCAGGUAUAUAUCCCCCCUCGCGAGGAACUGCUACGGCCACGCGCGUCGUCUCACGGCCAAGUGGGUCCAACGAGGCAGCGCCUCCGUUCGCCGGCCUCGGGUGCGCGUAGCGGCUCGGGGGGGUGGGAGGCGCCUUUCUCGAGGUGCGAGCACGACUCCCAGGCCCAGCCCACUACGGGGAAGCGACAAGUGAACGGGCGCUUCGAUUUUUACAGAAGCAUCUCUCUCUCUCAUCACAGUCCCCCUCAUUCCCUCUCGCAGCCCCGGAUCUGAAACAACUCCGAAAAAAUCGUACCUGAGAGAAACCCUAGCGCUGGAGGUUUUCCGCCGUGGCGCCUCGCCGGAGACCUCCGCCCGCCGCGGCCGCCGACGCGUCGCCCUCGUCGUCCCCACGGAAGCCCGGCGAAGAUGCGCCACCGCCCGCCGGGGCCACGCCGGCGGCGGCGGCGGUGGCCGGCGUCGCCCCGUUCGAGCAGGCCAGGAAGGCGCUGUGCGUGCGGUCGCCGUUCGACGGGGAGGAGGCCGCGGCCCGGGACCCCUGGCUGCCUUCCCGGGUCGCCAGAUGGGCGGCGGUGGGCGACGUGCAGAAGAAGCAUAAGAAGGGCCAGUCCCAGCAGCCGCAGCAGCAGCAGCAGCAGCAGCCAGAGCCAGCACCUGCCGUCGAGCUGCACCCGAGAGUGCCUGCUGGGCGCAAGGGCUUUUGGGAGCAGUUGGAGCCGUAUUUCCGCGAGUUCACAGCGGAGGAUUUCGAGGAAUUGGUGACGAAGCAUCAAUUCUGUUCGAGCAAGAUUGAUCCAUGUUUCCUCAUACCUCUUGUGGGCGGUGGCGAGGAGUUGGUGGAGAAUUCGGAUCCAUCGCAUGCUUCUGUGGCAGAUGAGAGCUCGGAUUUGCACUCGAAUUUGGGCAAGAGUAACGAGGAGUUGGGGAGUAACAAAGUGCAGGAUAUGCACGAGUGCUCGGAUUAUGUAGGAGCCAGCGUAGAGCUCAUUACUACAGAUGAGAGCAACAAAGAGAAUUGUGAUCAGGACAUGCAGGAAGUGAUUGUGCAGCAAGAGGAGCAGCCGGUUGAGAUUGUGCUAGAUCAAGGCAGAACUGAUAGCAUUGCUUUACCAAGAUGCAGAGAGAAUUCGGAACCUUCUUUGAGUUGGCUCCUAGGAGCAAGGGCACGGUUUGUGCUCACAUCAGAGCGCCCAAACAAGAAGAGGAAGCUCUUGGGUGCAGAUGCUGGGCUAGAGCAGCUUGUGCUCGUUCCAUCCUCAGAAGGCGAGACUGAUUCAAUCUGUGAUGUUUGUUGUUUGGGAGAAAGCGAUCUGGUGUCUAACAGGAUGCUUCAUUGCAAGAGCUGUGAGAUAUCUGUGCACCAGAAGUGUUAUGGUGUGCAUGUUGUGCCAGAUCGCUUCUGGUUUUGUCUUUGGUGUAGCCGGAAUAUGGAGAUGCCACGGAGGUUGACACGGAGUGAUACAUGCAGGACUGUGUUAACGCCCUGUGUGCUCUGUCCAAAGGAGAAAGGUGCUUUGAAACCUGUAAAAAGGGACCCUGGUCCAUCCGCAGAUGGAGGAAACCAAGAAUUUGUACAUUUAUUUUGUAGUCUUUGGAGACCAGAGUUUCAUGUAGAGGACAUGGAAUCAAUGGAGCCUGUCGUCAAUAUAGUAGAUACCCAAGAGAACCAGUCAAAAUUGGUGUGCAGCCUUUGCAAGGUCAUGCAUGGCGCAUGUGUCCGCUGUAGCCAUGGUAUGUAUUCUUACAUCAUCUCUCUGGUUACUCCAUUGAUCACCUCUCUCCAAACACUGGUAUCUUUUUUUAUAUUCAGAUGAGUCUCUAAUUUAAGAUAUUUUGUGGUACACAACUACACAUGGUGACAUGAAGAGUCAAAUGUCCAUUUUUUCUUCUGCACAGUGAUACUUUACUUCUAACUUUUUUUUCCCCUUAAACCUAGUGCUUCUCAACAAUGAAAUAAUUCUCUCUCUUUCUCUGCACUUAUUUUCCCAUGUGAUAUCCAAGUUUCAUUUACAUCUUACAGCAGCAGUCCUUGAACUGCUGCGUCUUCUUCCAGGUCCUGAACUCAGAUAUGGACCAAACUUGUUAAGUGCGCCAUUCAAUGUCUAAAGCUCCCUAAUCAGCAUGUAACCAAAACUAAGUGUCUUUAGAGGCUGACACAUGGUCCGAUCCUUUUAAAAACGAUUCUGUUGAUUUAUUGCUGACUAGUGUGCCAUGUCAACAAAUAUUUGUCUGAUAGGAUGCCACAUCAAGAUGCGUCCCCUAUUAAGAUACCAUGCAAGCCAAAACCAUCAGCACUUGGAGAAAAUAAAACUAUAUUUGUGAAAGAGCUAGCAUUUGAGUUGUGUUGCAUUGUUGCAUGGGUGUAGUGGCACUUGAAUAGGCACGCCCGUAACUAAUGUUUUCCAUGACCUAACUGGUUUGUAGUUGCAGGGGACCUUAACAGUAUAAAUCAUUAGGAAACAGUACUGACAACUCAUACAAAAGUAAACUGACCAUGGAAAAAUGGAUUUAAUGUGUAGCAGAGAAUCAGUUGAGGUCUAUUACUAUUUACUAUCAUAUGAUAGGUCUCGUCUAAGUUUCGCAAACUAGAGAUCAUGAAUAGUGGAUAUUUUGUUUCUCAGGUGACCUGUGUCAGAUCUAUGUUAUUUAAGUUAGCAUGCCAAGUCAAUUUGAUUUGUUCUUGAGGAUGGUUUGGCUAAAUAAGUUACGAGGUUUCUUUUCUGAAUAGUUCCUGUGACAAAUAGAGCUGUAUGGAGAUUUAGUGCUUUCUUAGGAAACCAUUUAUCUGGAAGAAAUAAGAAUCUAAUUGUUGGAAUCAUUGGUUGGUAGUUAUCUGGGUGAACUUAAUGCAAACACAGUGAUACCCAGUGAUGGUAUUUCUGCCUUUUGUGACCAGUGGAGGAAGGGGUGGGGGGCACUGUAUUAAUGAAAACACUUACGAAGUUAGCUACAUAAUUGACUUUUAGAAGCCUGAAAGGUGAACCUCGAAAGUUGAAAAUAGCACCUAUGUAUUUUUUUUUACCUUUAGGCUAGUGGUACCAGGGAGCCUGGAUUAAUAAUAUGUAAUUUGAAAUUCUACUCCAUUCUUUUUUGUUUAACAUCCUAGAAUCUGUUCACCAGAUUUCUACUGUAAAUGCGUAAAUAACUAUCAAGAUUAACAAUAUGGUAAUUACCUGACUAGAUUUUUCUUUGAAAAUGCUUUCAUGAAAGUACAAUCUUUUUUUAGUUUAUAUUGAUAUUAAGUUAUGAGAUUAACUAUAUGAUAAUUACCUGUUUGGAGACCGUGCAAUGCCAAAAAUGUCAAAUAAAAUAGAACCGUGGAAGUAUUUUGUAGCUAAUGUCAAAAUAAUAAUAGUUCUACUUUUGUAAUCCAUUCAUUUUGCAGUUACUAAGUUUAUGUGGUUUUCAGGAGCAUGCAGGACUUCUUUUCAUCCCAUAUGUGCAAGAGAAUCCAAGCUUCAGAUUGAGAUCUGGGGAAAGUUUGGCCAUGACAACGUUAGACCUUUUUCUUCUUAUAGCUGCUGUUCACCAUAUUUUGUUGCAUAUUAUUAUCAUCAUUCUUAUUUUUAAUUGUUAAUAGGUUGAGAUGCGAGCAUUUUGUGCAAAGCAUUCUGCCAUCAGAGGUAUCAGCUCCAUCUCUGAACUGGACUCCACACAAGUUGAACUGCAUGAUGGAAAACUUGUCAGUAGGAGGGAGCAGCAAGGGAGAUUUACACGUGGUAACAAGGACAAAUUUGUGAACGACACAAUAACUAGCAGUACUUGUAGCCUAAACAAAACACAGAAAGCAGAAAUGGCUACAUCCCCAUCCAUGGUUGGAAGCGCAGAAAAUCAAGAAGCUCGAAGCGCAGAUAUGGUUGUUGAUCAACCCACUGCAGAUGGGAAUCUUAUGAGCAAUUCUGGAGAUAUUUCCAGAGGUCUUACAAAGGUAUUUAUUUGCUCAUCUUACAAACCCUGAUUGGGGUAUGUAUGUUUAGUACUUACCUGCAUUUUAUGUUUGACUGACAACACAGCUAGUUGACCAAGGAAAGGAUAGUGUUGGUGACUUAGAAUCAGAACCAGGUCUUCAUUCAGAAUCCCUGGAAGCUGCUCUUAAGGUAAUUUGUCUUGAUUUUUCAUUAUUUCAUAAGUCACUGCCUGUUUCUUCCAGGUGCAUGCCAGUGUGUAAUAAUUGGUAUUUGCAUCUCAGCUUAAUCAUGAUUCAAGCUGUUGCAAUAUACAUCACUUUUGAAUUUCAAUAUCAAUUCACCUAUACGCAUUAAAUAUGACAAGGAAUUCUUAUUUUACCCCAACAUACCCACUUAGCUCUUUAUGUGCAGCAAUGUAAACAUAUUUUUGUUGGCCAGCAACAUUUAAUUGUUUAUUUUUAAUGUAUUUAAAAAGCUAACCUUACAAGUCUACAAAAAGCUUAGUGUAGAUAUAAACAACAAAGAUGAAAUUGUGAAACUGUGUUUAUUUGUGUAACCUAUUCAUGUAUCCAUAGCUCUAUGGUGCCAUCAUGGUGUUCCACAAUGCCUUGCUACUGUCAGCCUAUUGGCCUAUAUAUUUUUUGAGAAACAAUGUGCCAUUGCAGCCUGAAACAACCGCCUUCUCCCCUGGUCUGAACCUGAAAAUGAUCAAGUGGUUGCCAAACUCUGUGCAUGCGCCUUCUGUUCAAGUGAAAUCUACGAAAGAGGGUUCUUUGGCACCGCAAGGUAACUGAGUAAAAAAAGAGUGUACAGCUGCUGUUUGUACAGAGAUCAUUAUGCUUAACUUUUCCAGUUUAUUGCUUCAACCCGGACUUAUCCAUACUCUUGUCCGACUCACUAUAUGGAAAGCAACAACUAAUAUUACGUAUCAUCCUCUAUUCUCUGCAAUACUAAAGUGACUGUGGCCAUGCUGUUCUUUAUUUUAUUUUCUUGGAUAAGGUUUAAAGUUUGCUGUAGAUGUUAUGCUUCUUGAUAUGAAAUUGGGUUCUAACAAUUUUUUCUGGAUGAUAUGCAUAUUUUGUAAUUGCAAUCCUCAGAUUUAUGUCAGUUCCAUUCUCCUUUUUUCUCAUCAGGUUAUGACUGAAUAAGGUAGCAUUUACCAACUUUCGUUACUUUGUACAGCCUUUAGAAAAUGACGUCUAACAUUGUGCCAUACUAUACCCUGCUUUACUUUCUUGAUAGUGUUGGGCUUGUGGCUUGCAUUUUCUUUUCCUUUCGUAUUUUUAAACUUGGGAGUCAAGUAUCUGGCUAGCCCUUUUUGAUGAUUAAACUAGUCCAAAGCAAUGAAGCCUCAUCUGACAUGCUAUAUCAAUUUCAUUAAUAUUUAUAGACUUGAUUCUUCUGGUUUUUAUUAACAGGAACAUUGCUUGGGAGUGAAAGUAAGAACUCAACCGUUUCUGAACUUCAAUCAAGACAGGAGGAUGGGACCUUGUCGAUUGAUCCUUGCCCCGAAAAGGACAAUGCUAAUAAGGGUGAUUUAGUUCAAAAUGGCUUUUGCAGCUGUCCUGAUCCUCAUGUAAAUAAGGUUUCUGGCCGGCAUUUGCGGAAGUACGCUCACCCCAUUCUCUCUGCCAAAUCAUGCAUGCUUCCACACAGGAUUUAGUUCAUGAUACUCUAGUUAUUUUGCAUGCAUAUUGUUAUGGUCAGUGUUUUAUUUGAAUGGUCAAAUAACUUUUAUCCAUUUCUACCCCAUGUAGCAUGGAUGGUUACCGCUGCUAUAUUCAUCCAUUCAUAGAGAAAAGGGUGCAAGAUUUGUGGGGUAAUAAUUUGGAGCAAACUAUACAAGAAAAUGAUUAUCAUGGUGAGUUCCUGCUGUUCUACCCAUCAAUUAAAUAAAAUCCACUGCUGGCUUCUUUAUUCACAUCUGGUAAUCUAAAAAUUAACUUUGUUUCUUUUCCCAACUUGUGUAGAAGAGUUAUGUUGCACUCCUAUUGAUGAGGACCUCGCGAAACUUGGGCAAUUAGAUGACAUGGCUGCUGUGGAUCAAGUCUGUAAAGCAAAAUUAUCAUAUAUUCUGGAGCAUUCACCUGAUGACGAAAUAGAAGGGGAAAUAGUUUAUUUACAAUCCAGGCUACUCAAUGGUGUUGUUCCCCUGAAACAGAGAUAUGGUAAGGGUACUUUCCUCUUUGUUAUAUGCGCUAUCAUUUCUUAUGCAGGAGAACCAAACGAUGUUGGUUGAUGCCCUCUUUUUUUGGUUCCCCCGCAGUACCAUCUUAAUAAUUGGGCUUCAGAGUGCAAAAUGAACUGUUUAGUUGAGUUUAUAUUUCUUCAGCUUUCUGAAUUGAUAUUUCAGUCGUCCUUAUAUCUUGCAGAAGAUUUGAUACUCAAGGUUGUCCAGAAUAUUUCGUACGAGUUAGAUUCUGUCAGUAAAAGAAAAUGGGAUCAUAUCAUUGUGAACCAGUUUCUUCGUGAUCUGAGGGAAGCUAAGAAACGCGGGAACUCAGAAAGGAGACACAAGGAAGCUCUAGCAAUCCUAGCUGCAACUGCACCUUCUGUUCCACCAACCUCAAGAAAUGCAACAGUGAGGAAAGAUGCAGGAAGCAAGGUUAUGUCUGCUAGACAAGAGGUUAGUACUGUGCCUUUGCUUCCUCAGUUGAUUUAUGCGUGUUAUCUUUUUUAUUGACCUCCCUUUGUUUCCAGAACAUGCCAAGAGCCAGUGCUGGAUCCUCAAGAAUUAGCCAAUCGUCUUCAUCGCCGCAAGCAAAGGAUUUAUCAUUUUCUACUAAUAGCAAAGUCUCAGAAGAUACCAACUUUGGCAUUUUUGAUCUUGCAAAAUUCUCCAAGAAAAGUGCUCUUCCCUGUGAUAUAUGCAUGCGCUGUGAUACUGUAUUGAAUCGUAUUUUUGUCUGCUCCAGCUGCAAGGUGCUUUGCAUUUACUGUCUUUCGUCUCCAAAUUGCACUCCAUCAACUAUUAACUCUUCAUGAUCAGCAGGCUGCUGUCCACUUAGAUUGCUACCAGACUAUGAAGUAUCCUACAGGCCCAUGGAAGUGUGAACUUUGCCAGGAAAUGCCCUCGGAUUCUGUGAUCUCUGGUAAUCAAUCAGAUUGCAAUGGUGUAAAAGCAUGCUUGGUGCAGUGUGGUUUGUGCCAUGGAACAUCUGGUGCUUUUAGAAGGACUCUGAAGGGGCAAUGGGUUCAUGCUUUCUGCGCUGAGGUAAUGGUUUGUGCUUGUCCCCUUAUUGCUAUUUUGCUUGGCUUAUCCACAUUUUAAAACUUCCCCCACUUUUCUUAGUGGCUAUUGGAGACCACAUUCAGAAGAGGCCAACAUAAUGCAGUCGAUGGAAUGGUACCGAUCUUUCAUAUUUAUUUCAUUAUAUGCAUAUCGCAAGAAGCCACCUUGAUCACAACUCGAUUUGAAUUAUCUUAUUAUUUUGUUCUGACUGUUCAUUCUAAAGGAGAGGCUUCACAAGGAUAAAGAUACAUGCUCUAUAUGCCACCGCUAUGUUGGUGCAUGCUUGAAGGUUUGAUUGUUAAUAUUAGCCUUUAUAAUUGUUAAUCUAGAAUGUAUAGACAAACCAAUCAAAUUUUGCUAAGUUUUUCUCUUUCGACCGUGCAGUGCAGUACAGCAGACUGUCAAAUUACUUUCCAUCCUUCAUGUGCGAGAGAUGCUGGGCUUUACAUGAAUACAAAGAGAAUUGGUAAUACAUUGCAACAUAAAGCAUACUGUGGCAGACACAGUAUCGAGCAGAGAAAGGUAUGCUUUAAAUUGUUUAGGCAGGGUGGACCCUGUAACUAGUUUUCUACCACUAUGUCAUCAAUCAUCGUUAUCCUUACAUUCUUAUCUGGAAAUUUGUGCAGGCUUAUCGUCAACAAUAUGGACCUGAGGAGGUCAAGAGCAUGAAACAAAUGAGGGUAAACACACUAUCUGCUGAAGCAGGAUCCAUAUUUGCUUGAAUCACUAUAGAUUCCACUUUCUUUUAUUUUGCUAACUAGGGUAGUAAUAAUUUGAGACUGUUGCCUUUUAAAGUACGUGUGUUUUUCUAGCCACAAACAUUACCUUUGCCAUUUUGUGUUUGAAUCUUCACUAUUUUGUGUAAAAAUAGCUCUUGUUCUCAUCCGGUCCAUGACAUUUAAACAAGAUGUGCGUUUCUGUUCUUUUGUGAAACUAGUGCCAUACUAGGAUCAUAACAAAGUAAUGUGGCAAUGUGGCAAUCUGCAGUACUGACAUUCAGCACCAGCCAUGGUGAAAAUCAUUAUAGGUAUCUAGCAGGCAUUAUUAUUUGCUAUCAAGCAAUGCUUAGCAGGCACACUGUAUUUGAUGAAUGUAUAUGGCUAUUGCAAGCCUUACAGAGGAUAGAGAUUAUAAUAUUACAUAUAAACGUAAAAUUUCAAAUCCUCCAUGUUUGCGAUGGUACCAUUUUGUGACCUGUAAGAGUUAUAUGGAGACAGAUAGAUUUAUAGAUUGGCACCAGAGACAUUGUAAAACAUUUAAAGCUGAAUUGCGGAUAGCUGACGAGCAAGAAGAAAUACCAAAUUCCAAUUUGUCUGAUUUGAACUUUGAUAACGUCGACUAAAAGUGGCUUGAUAGUUGAUACUGAAUUUCUUGCUUCUGUUCAGUGAUGUAGCCUAUGGAACCAUAUGAACAUUUUUCUGUCUGAAGAUGGUCAACAAACUCUAGGUUUAUAUGCCUUUUUGUUUUUCUCAAUCUUGGCAGGUUGAAUUGGAACUAUUACGCUUCCUUUGUGAGAGGAUUGUGAAGAGAGAAAAAGUGAAGGUACAAUAGCUGUUAAUUGUCUAUUUGCAUACCUUUCGUUUCUCAGGAAAUUAAAUAUCGUCAGCCAAUAUUGUAUUUUCUUUAGGCAAAAGCAGAAUAGAAGAUUUUAGGCAGUGAAGUACAAAUUGGAGGACGUUUUUUUUAUGCCUGCAUGUUAAGCAAUGUGGCAAAAUAAAGUAGGUGUCCAGGGUAUGCACCAAAAGAUUGCUGCUAUUCAGUUUUGAUGUCAAUUAUUAUAGCCCAUAUGCAUAGUUCCUUGUCCUGCAUCCCAAUUGUCCACCUUUCCAUCAAUCUGAAAACUAGAAACCUUAUACCUUGUGACAUGAAAUGCACCACACUUUUAUUGUCAUAUUGGAAUUUUCUUAUUUGACAUUGUGGUCAUCUUAUCUUACCACAUUAUUUGGAAUUUUUAUUUACUUUCUUUAAUCUUGGUUCUUAAUAUCCCAGAAAGAUUUGGUUGUAUGUGCACAUGACAUACUUGCUGCAAGAAGGAUUACUUCUGUAUCUUCUAUGUGGACUCCUUAUUAUGCAUCUGGACCUGGAGCAAGUUCAGAAUCUGCCACUACUUCUGUUAAUAACAAAUCAUAUAGAUCGGAUGAUGUCACAGUGAGAUCAGAUGAUGUCACAGUGGACAGUACUGUUACCAAGAAACAUACUGUCAGGUUUUCUCUGCACAACAGGGACACUGAUAGGAACACAGCUGACAGUUCGACAUCAACAAUAUCAUAUAAGCGGAAGUUGGAUGAUGGGGAAUCACUUGCAUUCAAGAGUCUUCCCGAAACGCCAGUUACUGCAUUGGAGUCAGAGGAUGUAGAAAAAAAACCGACAGACAAAAAGGUUCGUGCAUUUUUUUUUUUGGAAUGGUUUACCUUCAUAUUCAUACAUGUUAAUGUAGACUUUUCAUUUCAUUUUACCCUUGACUCUAAUGCUUUAAAUAAAUUUGCAGCGCAGAGAAACGUAUCAAAAGGAGCUUGUUUUGAGUUCUGGCCAAGCUUUGUUGAAGAACAAGAGCCCUCCGGAGAGAUAUGUUUAUACUCGCCGGAGCUCCCUGUCCAAAAGGAAGCAAUGCGGUCAGCAUGUAGAAGGGCCUGGUGGAUAGCCCCAUGGCUCCAUGUGAUGUCUUGAGAAUAUUCUUUGAAGGUUGAUGCGGAAAGCACAGACAGCAUGCGGGGCUGUCCAUUUUGGCCCUGCCGUAGCCACCAGGGCAGGCAUGGUGGGAUCAGGGUUGGAAACAUGGUGCAAGUGGGUUCUUUUAGCUCAGUAUAUUUGAGCUUCAGACUGGAAGAUUUGACUCAUUGAGCCCAUGUCACUGUGGAGGCCAACGUGCGUGAAUUAACUCACCGAUUUAGUUAUCAAGGGCAGGUUUUGUGCAUUAUGCCCUUUUGCCGGGAUGGCCAUCUGCACAUUAAUUGUGAAGAAGCAAAGCAAUGGUGUUGAAAGAAAGAUCAGAGAAUUGUUGCUAACUGAUGACUUCCAGUAGGCCACCCGUACAUGAAUAUCCAUGUUUAGGAGUUGUAGCAUGUGGUUUCUAAUGUACUAGUUGUGUGGCUUCCAUUUGUUCUGACUUUAGAGAUGAACCCUUGGCGAGUUGGGAGGGCAUUCCAUGUUUGUACAGGCAUGCAGGCUCAGCAUUCUGCUGUGUAGGAUUGGUAGCCGAUGUGAUUAACAAAGAUCUGUUAGUAAACUUGGUAGCUGCCAUGCUGGCAUAUGGGUUGUAUUGGUAUCUUGCAAAGGCUGUUACAUGCUGAUGUUGGGUUCGCGGCUUGUAUAUUCAUCGCCUUGUGUUUGUCAUGCUUGUGUUUUGUGAAUGGUCCCUGUAACCUUCCCUGUGUAAUGUAUAUGCAUAUUCAAUCCCAAAUCUCGUUGUGGUGACUUGUGAUUUGUGAAUGAUAAUGGAUAGUGGCCAGCUUUGCACCUUUGCCAAGCAUUUCAUGGUAACUUCACAAAUCAUGACUCCAUACGUCAGCUCUCCCGUGGCACCAUGUCUUUCAACCUUGACAGAUUUUUGUCAUUAUAUUAUGUAACUCUAUGCAACCUUUGUGUUUCCUGAUUAACCGGCUCACGGGGAUAUUUAACUAUCAUCCGUUCUUACGGAUGACCAGUUGUCAUCCUUACGAAUGUACUUCAGUUGCCAUCCUUACGAAUGUACUUACAUGAAGUAAUAAAAUUACCAUUCUUACAUACGUGGCGAACCAACACAUCGAACCAGCAUGGAUCGAGCAUGGUAAAUGACCAUGCUGCCCCUACCUUCUCCUAUUAGCUAUCCUCUUCCCUAUCUCUUACCACUGACAUGUGGGACCCAUGUGGAGCUAUCCUCUUCCCUGUCUCUUGCCACUGACAUGUGGGACCCCUGUGGUAGGGCAUCUUCAACCUCCGGACACUUCCUGCUGCUUGCGAAUAUGAGCUGCCCCCGAGGGUGACGCUCGUCGGGAGGCCGCUGCCGCUCGCCCCCGGGGACGGCGCUCGCCGGGCCGCCACCGCCGCCCCCCGUGGGCGGUGCUCGCCGGGGGACGGCCGCCGCUGCCCCACCACCGUCGCUGCCACCCAGUGGGCGGUGCUCGUCGAGGGCCGGCGCUCGCGGAGCCGCCGCCGCCGCCGCCCCCUCGUGGGUGGUGCUCACCGGGGAUCGGCCGCCGCUGCUCCCACAGCCGGCGCGCUCGUCGGAGCCUGCCGAGCCCUGCGGGCAGUUGCUUGCCGAGGGUGGCUUUGACAGGUAGAGGAGAGGAGAGAGAAGUGGAGAGGGGCAUGGGGGCAGUUCGAGCAUUUCGCAUCUUGAAAAAUGUUGCCUGGUUCGUAUAGGGAUGGCAAAUAUGCAGGUGUAUUCGUAAGGGAAGCCGUAAGAAUAGUAAAUAGUUAAAUAUCCCCCUCUCAUGCUAUACCUUCUUAUAAUCCGGAUAAAAGUGUUAAAACAUAAUGGUGAUAACCUCUGUACAUGAAGUAGAAAUUUUGCAAUGACAAAUGGGUGGAAAAUAAAUUAGGAAAUAAUAGCUUCAUUUCUUACAUUAGAAAUUUGGUAGGAUUUCCCUCUCGGGGCAAUUGGUCCCUCCACUUUGGGCUUAUUAAUGCUUUGCCUUUAUUUUAGGCUCUGUUUGGGAGGAAGGUGUUAAAAUUUAGCUUUGGACUAAAUUUUAGCACCAUCAAAUGGGGUGCUAAACUUUAGCUCUUCAGGGUGUUUGGGAAGGAGGCUAAAUUUUAGCACAUGUGUUGACAAAUGACAGAUUUACCCUGCUUUCUCCCCCUCCUUCACCCCUCCUCUUCCUUCCUGCUCACCGGGGCAACCACCAUCCUCUUCCUGCUUCUGAGCCCAGCGCCGGAGGUGAGGAGCCGGCCCCCGAGCGCGGACGGCGCUGAGGAGGUCAGGCUCGUCCAGCUCACGCGGAGGCCGCGCGGGCAGGCGGGGCCGGCCGGAGGAGGCGGCGGCGGGCGAGGUGGAGGCGGCGGGACGGGCCGGAGGCGGAGGCGGCGGCGGGGCGUGCCGGAGGCAGCGGCGAGGUGGAGGCGGCGGGGCGGGCCGGAGGCGGCGGCGGCGGCGGCGGCGGCGGGGCGGGCCGGAGUAGGAGGCGGCGGGGCGAAGGCGGCGGGGCGAAGGCGGCGGGCGAGGUGGUGGCGGCGGCGGCGAGACGGAGGCGGCGGGAUCGGCGCCGGAGGUGAGGAGCUGGCCCUCGAGCGGUUCGGGUGAGGAGGCGGGGAGAGAGAGAAACUGAGGGGAGGAGAGAGGGUAGGGGGGCAGGGGGGAAGGUGGUCCUGGGGGACCACUUUUUAGUCCAUUUAGUCCAUUUUAGCUACCCCCAGUGACUAAAUGAUUAGAGGGGGCUAAAGUUUAGCCCACAAGAUUUAGCUGGGGUGUUUGGGAAGCUUGGGGGCUAAAAUGGACUAAAGUGGGGUGCUAAAGUUUAGCACCUCUCUCCCAAACACCCCCUUAGUAAAUUUCACAAAACGACAUAUUGCUUGUCAAAAUUGCCGUAACUAACAUGUCAAAGUUUCAUAGAAAUUUAUAUUUAAGAAAUUAUAUAUCACUGACCCACGAUUUUGCUGCGCGACAUGUCGCGAAAACAAUAUAUGAUCACAACACUACAUAUUUUAGAUGGGUGAAACUAGUAAUAUACAUUACUCACUAAUUUGGUUUUGUGAUACUAUCGCACGUUAAAUUUGUAGUUCGUGAUAUGACUUCUUCAGUCUGUAACUUUGCAAUAACUUGGGAGACGAUAUGUACUUGGUAUGUAGUAGUAGUUUUGUAACAUUCACUUUCCCCCAUUUUUGGACAGACGACGCACAAGCUGGGCGCCCACGCAGAAACUCGGCGGCCCAUUUGUACGGGUGCGUUUGGUACAGCAACCGGAUUCUGAUUCUCGAUAAGAAAGAAUCUGUACCAAACGAUUUUUCUGGGGGCCCUCCGCUCGUCCGGUCGUCCCGCAGCGCCCCAUUCGCGUCGCCCCUCUCCCCUCUCCUCUUUCCGUCCCGCAGGCGACUCAAGUAUCGCGCGGCUAGGGUUUUGUCCCCUACGGCCGCCGCCCCUUCCUGGUGCCGGCCGCCGGCCCUCGCCGGCCUUCUCCGGAGGUCCGGCCCCCUCCGUUUUGGCCGUUCCUUGGAGCGACGACCUCCUCCGCCCGCCGUCCUCCCCUUCCCGCGGCACGACGGAAGAAGGUCCAGGACCCGGAGGGCCGUCCGUCCCCGCAGCUGCGCCAGAAGGAGGUGGCCGAGGGUCACCGUUGCCUAGGCCCUAAAAUCCGGCGCCCACAGACUAUCCUCCAAGGUGCGUUCAACGCCUUCCCUCUCCCAGAUCUGAGAAAUUGUUCCACAUCCUUGUAAUAAUGGGUACUAAAAUGUAUGGUUCAAAAUUUGUAUAUGUCGAAAUUGAUGGUAUGCUUGUACAAAUGGUUAGCACGUGUAUGUGUUUAUGAUUAUCAGAUUACACAGUGUUUUAUUUCUGAAUAAUGGGUACCAUGUGUAGAGUUUCUGAAUAAUAUAUUGGACCAAUCAUUUUGGACUUUGGAAUUAUAUGAUGACUGUACCGUGCAAUGUGCAAGUGCUAACUAUUUAUUAAUAUGAACUUUAAAUAUUAUUACAGUAUAUUAUUACACAUAUAAAUCUGAAAUGGACCACAUAAAAAGCCUUGCAAACAAUCAGUUCAAUCUGCCAGGGGUAGUAUAGACAAUUCCAGCACAAUCAUCUCUUUCAGGAAUCACUUCUCAGCCAGUUUGCCAAACGAUUUCAUCAGACAGAAUCACUCCACCAGAGAAUCAGGAUCUGGAGCUCUGCCAAACGCACCCGUAAACUACAUCUUAGUUAGGGGGCGGUGGCCCUUCGUACGCAGCCCGCUUGUCAGUUUACAGAUACAGCCCGAUACAAAGAGGCAAAGAGCUGCCCAUUCUCUCUCUCUGCCUCUGGGUGGGGGUGUCGUAGACUUGUAGACCCUCCUCGCCUCACCUGCUGGGGGAGCGCAGCGCACGAGCCAGUGGCGACCGCCGCCUCUGCACAGCAGCGGGCAGAUUGGCCUGAUUAGCGCGGCUUCAGGCGAGCGUGGGCAUACGGAUGUCGUGACUGGGUGAGUUCCAUCAGGUUUUGUGCGGGUUCAGCUGCCGGGGGAUGGUUCUAGGGUUAGGUGUUGGGGGACCGUGGUGGCCGUGAGGACAUGGCGGACGGUGAUGGCGCUUUGAGCACCAAGGAGGAGAAAAUAGAGGAAGGGGAUAACACGGGCAUACUGUGGAAAUAAAUGGAAGUUUUCCUCUUGAAAAAUACUGAAACUGUGAGCGGAAAUCCUAAACAAUUUUGUGUAUCAAUCAGGUGGCAACUGGCAAGUAAUCUAUCAGGGUGCUGUUUGUUGGCAGAUCCUAGAGAAACCAUAGUGUCACCUAAUUCACUCCUAUUAAGAUGAUGAAGUUAUACUGCUAGGCCAUUAUUUUUUCCUGCGUUCAGCUAUCACUGUUUGUGCUUGUUUAUGUAACUUUUACUUACGAGCAUGUCAUGUUUUCUAGAUGGACCUCAAGGAUAGCCUCUCCAAAUUUAAGCAACAGCAGGAGAGAUGCCAGUCAUCAUUGGCGAGCAUAGCCGCUUCGGCUUCAAAACCAAAGCACAGGGCCCAACCUGUAAAUGCUCCAUCCGCUCCAGCAAGACCAUCACAGCCUAUCAAGUUUUCAAAUGAUACAGAAAGGCUGCAGCACAUUAAUUCGAUUAGGAAAUCUCCUGUUGGAGCACAAAUGAAACUUGUCAUCGAACUGCUUUACAAGGUAUUUGCUCACUAAGCUACAACCUUCUUCCAUUUUUCAUUUCACACUAAUGCAAAUUGGAAGAAAUGAUUCCUCCCUUCUGGCCUCACAAAUUAUAAUGGAUUCCGCAAAUCAUCAUUCUAAUUGAGUUUUUGUCCCAGGAACUUUAUAUUUUUCGUCUAAUUAAUUAUUGUAUUUUUUUGUGUAUUAAAUCCCAGAUUCCCAGGCUCGGUAUAGGUUGUUUCAGGAUUUUCCGCUUCUUAAGCUUUUUUUUAUAUUUUUUGUAUAAAGGGUAUAGGAUGUAGUGGUCCAUCCUGUUUUCAACCGAUUUCCACCAUGGUUUGUAUGCCUUACUUCACAUGCAAGAUUAUCAAUCUUGCUAUGUAUAGCCUGCAGUUUGUAAUAUUUUUAUGCUGCCUAUUCUGUGUUCAGCUCAUGCAGUGUAGGAUUAAAUUUCCAGAAUAGUUUAAGGCUGGUAUAGUUCACACUAAGUUAAUGUGUAGUAAAAGGGAAAAAACUGUUGUGCUGGUUUUGUGAUCCUUCACAUGUAAGAUCAUCAAUAUGGUUAUGUACAGCCUGUAAUUUAUAAUGUUUGUAUGCUGCCUAUUUUGUGUUCGACCUAUGCAAAGUAUGAUUUACUUUCCAGAAUAAAUUAAGGCUGGUAUAGUUCACACUGAUUAAUGUGUAGUAAAAGGUAAAAAGAAUGAUGUGCUGGUUUUGCACGCAUGUUGCAUGUGAAUUAGCAGGUGCUAUAUGAUUAUGCACUAUUUGACUGAGUUGAAUAUAAUGUAUUGGCUAUUUUUUUUCCUUGCUAGAAUUAGGAAUGUCAAACCAAUGUUAGAAAUAUUAGAAUGGCGCCAUGGAUUAUUUUCUGUUCUGGUUGCCUAAUCUUGUACUUAGUGGUAGAACCAUAGAAGCUAGUGACAUUGCUACCAGAGAUAGCAAAAACAAUAUCAUAUAAACUUUCUUUAUGAAUUUGAUGCUGCGUCUAGUUUGUGAAUGUCAGUUGCUGUUUCUUCUGAAUUUGCAGACAAGACAAGCGUUUACUGCAGAGCAGAUAAAUGAAGCAACUUAUGUUGAUAUCCAUGGUAAUAAAGCUGUCUUUGACAGCUUGAGGAACAACCCCAAAGUAAGCUAUGAUGGGAGGCGUUUCUCUUACAAGGUAAAUUAAUUUGUACUUCUAGCUGUCCAUAUUUAAUUUCAGUUGCUUAUCUUUGCUAUCUUUCUGAAACCUUAGCUAAUUCAAAAUCAUCUAAAUUAGGAAUUACUACUGAACUGCAAAUCACUUACCAUUCCUGCAUUUGCAUGUGGAAUGUUUUUACUAGUGUCCUAGUCAACUAAGUGCAGUCACAAAUUACUCUCUGGUGUUGUUAUCUGUUAACACCUAGAGAUUGGCAGAAUUGAAUCUUUGAAGGACUCGUAAAAUACUACAAAGGAUCUGUUUACAUGCUUAUCAUAACCAACGGAAGUAGCAUAUUCCAAUACCAGUGUAAUCAGAUCAUGGGGAAAAAUGGCUGAAUCAAAAUUUGGUGUCUUGGAAUAUGUGUGAUGUGUCGUGUGUCAUAGUAUAAAGAGUUUUUGUAGUGUUUAUCUUGUUGUUUGCAAUUGAACUAGUCUUAUUUUUGAGGUUCCAUGUGUUGAUUGCUACUUGCAUAUGUGCAGUCCAAGCAUGAUCUGAAGGGAAAAGAUCAACUGCUUGUUUUGACAAGAAGGUUCCCAGAAGGUCUUGCUGUAGUGGAAGUCAAGGAUGCAUACCCCAAUGUACUGGAAGAUCUGCAGGUGACUAAUUUCCUCAUCUUAUACUUAAGAUGUUGUUCCAGACAUAACAUGAUGCUGACACUGGUCAGAAAGGUAUCCAACUUGGUUACAAAAAUGCUGCUAAAAUAAUGGCUCCAAGUUAAGUUAGCAAUGUGCUCUAUUUUCACAAAAAAAAAGAAAAAGAAAAAGAAGAAGCAAUGUGCUCUAUAACCACAAAGGUAACCCAUGUGUUAGUUUAGUCAGGGGUCUUAUGUAUUGCCUAUCCAUGAUGGUUGUGCUGUCUGUCCUAAUGAAGUUCUUUUAUGUAGUUUGCUUAACCUUAUGUUUUGUAGGUGCAAUCUCAACUAGCGUGCUAGAAUCACAAGUGGCGAAGCUAAAUCUUCUACUAUUUAUAUUUAAGCAUAUACCUAUAAUCUUGAGUAUUUGCUGUGGUCUAGGCUCUGAAAGCUUCAGGUGAAGUUUGGCUUUUGUCAAACAUGGACUCCCAGGAGGACAUUGUGUACCCUAAUGAUCCAAAAGCAAAGAUCAAGGUUGAUGAUGAUCUGAAGCAGCUCUUCCGGGGAAUUGAGUUACCACGUGAUAUGGUCGACAUUGAAAAGGAGCUCCAAAAGAACGGCAUCAAGCCCAUGACCAACACUGCGAAACGACGAGCAGCCGCCCAGAUCAAUGGGGUGAAACCGAAGGCUAAACCCAAGAAGAAGCAGCGUGAGAUCACGAAACGGACCAAGCUCACAAAUGCCCAUCUGCCUGAGCUGUUCCAGAAUCUCAACACUUAAUCCUGCUACAAUGGUAGAAAACUGGAGGGUUCGGUUUACCUUUAUAAUUAUGUUGAUGUGUACAUACAAAACAUGUAUGUUGUGUGGCCUUAUGAGCUCCGCAAAUAUGUUUGACAAGAUUCUGGAUGCCCUAAUUAUGCAUUCUGACAUAAUACGAUACAAGACCUUGAGAUUUCCUCAGUUUUUCUUUUAUCUCAAUUGCAACAUCUUCCAAGUUCGCGAUAGUUUUGUGAAUUUCAGACCUCUCAGGUUUGCGCUUAAUUUCAGCGUGCGGUUGUGGAUCUUAUUUAAAUAGCUCCUUCCUAUUUGUAAAACUGUUCCACAUAAUUACUUCUACUGCCUAAGUUUGGACUUAUCGGUUAUUAAAAAAUCGGCUCAAGUCACGCACGAAGGCACGGCAGCGUCUGCCACUGUCGCGUUCUUGUACGUUGGGUUGUGCAAGAAUGCAGAAUGCCUAUUUGGCCCUUGUUCACUUCCUACAAAACUUCCAACUUUGGCACUAUGCAAAAAGAAGAUUCCCCAUCACAUCAAACUUGCGGUACAUGCAUAGAGUACUAAAUGUAGACGAAAUCAAAAACUAAUUGCACAGUUUUAUUGUACUUUGCGAGACGAAUCUUUUGAGCCUAAUUAGUCAAUAUUUGGACAAUAAUUCACAAAUACAAACGAAACGCUACAGUGUUGCUACAGUAAUUUGGCACCUCCCAAAUUCGCAAAGUAAACAAGGGCUUGGCUGGUAUUGGAAUUGGUACUGGUCGCGCAGUUUGUGUCCUGCAUUAUUGCAAACAGUUCUUGCUUCACCGCUUCAUUCCCGUCAGACACAGGUCCCAAUGCAUGACACCCAAGCAAAUGUAAACCCCACACAUAAGCAUUCCAGCGCCACUGAUUUCGAUCCUUUUGCUGCAGUUCCACUGAAGUGUUUUGAUGUACCUGACUAGCUCCUUUGGUGCAUUCUCUUCAAAUACAGGUUCAGGUCAAACUGAACAGGAAUAUGAUCCUCCUAGAAGUGCCAAAAGGAUUAUGGUUCUUUGGAGAACUUUGGUGUCUUCACUUCACACAAGGAAUAAGUUCCCCACAACUCUGGAGCGGCCUAGAUGUGAAGAAAGGGGUUUUCCAGGUCAAAUUGGCUACAGGCUUAUGGGCUGAUUCUGAGUCGUGGGCUAUCGAUUUGAUUAUAACCGCACGUAAGUAUGUCUACAUUGUUAAUUAUAACCUAUUUGCUCUUUAUUUAGGCAUGCAUUUGGUGGCGCAAAAUUGCAUGGGUUAUAAACUUUAUCAGUAGCUGCAUCAGAGCAUGGGUUAUAGUUCUUUCUCUGUCAUCGUGUAAAAUUGCAACCUAAAGUACUCCCUCCGUCUCAAAUUACUAUUCAUUUUGGCUUUUCUAGAUCAUAAUUUUUGAUACUUAGCAAAAGAUAUGAAUCUAAAAAAGCCAAAAUGAAUAGUAAUUUGGGACGGAGGGAGUACAUGUCAAGAGUUGCAGUUCUAGUUGUGCACUUGCGAAGUUAUGGUUUCUCUAGUUUGCGCAUUUUAUACAUAUAUAAAAGAUGCAUGAUAGAAGCAUGCACUAAUCAGUUUUCGCAGAACAACAUAAGUCUAGUCUGGCUGUAGGCCAGAUAUCCUAUAUACAAGGAUGAAUCGCCAUUCUUAUACCUUUAUGAGUGUUGUAACAGUAUAUCAGUAUAUGCAGUAAAGAAGGUCGAUCUUUUAUUCAGAUUUCGAGGUUGUUACUUUCUUAGGCAGCCGAGCGACCGGGUCUUACGAGAAAAAGGCUCAGCUGCUCAUCGGAUCAGGCCUGCAACUGUAAGUAGGUAUGCUUUUCCAUCGUCUGCAAGAACCACGGUGGAAGCUGAGGUUUCCUUCUUUACCUUGGGGUCAGUGUGUUUCGCUACUAUCUAUGGUUCUUGCAGAGUCGUGGCAUCUAAUUUCCUAGAUUAUUCAUGCAGUUUUUGCAGCUACACCUCUCGCCGCUCUGUUUCUGAGAUGAUCAAUGCUAGCACUGCAAGAUUAGACUUUGAUGUGCUAUAGUUCCGUAUCUAGGAAAAAAACACAUUUUACUACCUGAACAAUCCAGUUCAUCUGCUUAGCCCUAUGAACAAAAGUUCGGUUCAGUUUACUCGUUCGAAUUAUUUCAAUUGGCCCAAUACAAUACAGUAUAGCAGCAACAAAGUUCUUUUGAAUGAAUACGGGAUACGGAUACCAUCAGUUAACUCCAAAGGCUGUCUGUCUUGUACUGAUGGCAUUUCUCAUCUCUCAACUUUCUCAGACCAUCGCCUAUGGAUUGGCUCCAAUUGUCAUGCCUGUGAUUUGUGAAUGGCUCCUGUAACCUCGCAUGUUUAAUGUAUACUAAUCUAAAUCUCAUGCGUGUGAGUUGGGAGUGGUACCCGUGGACGUGACUGGCCUUGCCUGUAGCCUUCUACUGUAGGAGUAACUCUCUUGCUUCUGAUGCCAUAUGUCCCCAAUCAUGGUUGCCAUGCCAGGGACCAGGGUGCCUUCUACAGGCAUGUCAGCGUCCCUAAACUCGUACAUCAUGAUCCCAUAUGUCAGAUGCGCAUGAACACAGAAUGGCUAAGACAAUGACCCCUUUCUUAGCUCGUACAUCAUGAUCCCAUAAAGGGUGUCGUAGCUCGUACCAAUCCUCGAACCAUCACUGAUUUUCAUCAGAUAGUGUGCACUGAAUUUGUUCACAAAUAUUGACCAAACCGUUUGGCCAUCUAUUGAUCGUAGCCUCAUUGGUGUCGUGUCCACCUGCCGACAGUGCCCUGAAAGCGAACCGCGUCUGCUCCCAGUCCUCGCGUUCCUAUCAGUCGGAAAUGAGAUAAGGAGCUGCUGCUUUGUCAGCUCAGCUGUAUGGAUGACAGGCUGAACGCGGAGCAAAUAUCCAGUGUAAACCAGCUCACAAGAUGCUACUCCUACUAUGCAAAUUCGUAAUGAAAAUUCUUCCAAGGGGCCAAAUUGGAGAUGCUAUGUGAUCUGCAAAGAAGGCGAGGCACAAAUUGGGAGAAAAAAUUUACUCUAUUGCUUUAAAUUUCUACCGUUACAUUGCUAGAUUUCACCAAAUCGGUAGUAAGAAAAAAAAAUCUACCUUUUCUAUGUACUCUGACGCUACGACGACGCUGCAAGCCUGUCGCACCGUGCCGGCGCGAAAGACAGCCGGUCGUUCUCGAGAUCAUACACGACGUGCGUGUUCUGCUGCUGGAAGUUGCCGAUGACGGUCUGCUCCCCGGGCGCCGCGUCCAGCACGACGCACAUCACCCGCGCGCCGAGGUCCUCGAACACGUAGUUCCCGCGCGGUAGCUCCCAGUCGGCGCCCUCCAGGUGCAGCGUCAGCGCCGGCACGGCGUGGCGGCGCCAGAACGCCGUGACGGGGAGCGCGAAGCAGAGGUCCAACGCGGAGCCCUCCGCCGCGCCGCUGAGCGGCAGCCCGACCUGCGCAGCGAACUCGGCCCUCACGGCCUCGUACAGGUCCUCGGGGAGCGUCGUGAUCGACGCGCCCGAGUCGAUGAUCGCGGACCGGCGCCGCGACGCCGGCAACGGGAUGCGCGUCGAGCCCACCGAGAUGGCCUUGAGCGAGAGGAAGUAGAGCGACGGCUGCGAGGGGUCCCUGAGAAGCGGGGUGCUCCGGACCUCGCCGCUGUGCGCGUGGCCGUGGAGCGCGGCUGGCGCGCCGCCGAGCGUGACGAGGCUGCUCGUGGACUCGAACAUGGAGGUGAAGCAGUAGGAGAAGCUCGUGACGUUGAGCUGGCACGGCAGCGACCACCGCCCCCGGCCGAAGCCAGCAAUGCCGGUCUCGUUCGACUGGAACACGCCCUUGUUGAAGUGGCCGCACCCGAAGGUCAGGCGCCGGGCGGAAAGGCUGCUGCCGGCAUUGCCGCCGCCGCCGUCGUUUCCGAAGGUGAAGAGGUCGGUGGCGAGGUGGCCGGCGGUUACCGACUUGUCGCCGUAGUGGUAGACGUAGGCGCAGCUCCGGUUGCGCCCGCCGCAGGACGUGAAGGGGAGCGCGCGGCACCGGGGCGCGCCGCAGGGGAGCGCGGCGUAGGUGGAGGACGCCGCGGGGUCCAGGAGCGGGAGGCCCUGGUCGAAGCAGUCGCGGCAGGGCGCGCACUGCGUCCACACCAGGUCGCUCCCGGUGUCGAGCGUCAGCGCCACGGGCCGCGGCGGCGUGCCCACGGACAGCCGCAACAGGUACUCGUUCGUCACGAUGCCGCCGCCGAGCCCGGCGCGCACCCGCGCGCGCACCGGGCGCUCCGACAGCAGCCGCCGUCGCGCCCUGGCGCGGUGCACCAUGCGCCGCACGAGCUCCGGCCGCGCGAGGCCGCGGCCGGCGUCGGCGUGCGUGAGCAGCGCCACGAUGCCGGCGCCGGCGCCGGGGACGGCGGGCGCGGCGUGCGUGGGACACGGCAGCGCGAGCAGGACCAGCAGCGCCGCGAGCUUCUUCAUGCUAGCUUGGGACGGGAUCACAAGAGCUCGCACUGGGAUUCCACUUCUUAUUUUACGCAUCCUGAAUAAAGCACGCGGUUCUUGGUGAUUCGAGAGCGGGAUUGGGCAGUGGAUAAUCGGGAGGAGAGUGAGGACAGGCGGUUGGGUGAUGUGCCACUGAUGCCUACUUGUUGGCAGAAGCCGGUGGUGCGGUGACAAUGUUUUCAAAAGAACACGACUGCAUUGUGUACGCCGUUUUGGCAUGUAUGCUUUUUUCUUGAAUAUUUUGUACUGGGCGACAAAGUAAGAUGGGUUGGGAGUCGCCCAAGGACGGCAAAGGCGUUUUUGUUUGACCUCUCCUCGGCUGCCCUGUGUCAGCAGAGGAUGAGCAUGUGCGAGAAUCGAACACAGUGAGGACUGAGGACCAAGAAUUUUCAUGAUUGUAGUGUGGAUGAAAUCAUCGAAACCAUUGUCCUACUCCUACCUGAUUCUGCCAAAGUGACAGUGUGGCACAUUCUGUUACAUACUGUCAUGAAAAUCUGUCAAAUAAAUUAGUACGUAACAGUCUUCAACAUUAGAAUCUCGCCAUUAUUUUUCUCACAAAAUCUGUAAUUUAUAGCUACAGAACACAAUUACAUGGUAUGGAAGAAUUUUGAAAUAAGGAUUUGAUUAUAUAAAAUUUGACAAUAAACAUGUACUUAAUUUGACUACAUGUUAAAUAAAAUAUAUCAUGUUUGACCUUUUCAAAAUAAAAGAUGCGUUGAAGUUCUAUGGUAAUCCACUGAGUAGAUGGCAAGAAACAUAGAUGUUUAUAUGAAUCAUAAUGAAUGACCAAAAGGUGAAACUCUACAAUAAAAAGAGUGCAAAUACAUACACUUUUUUUUAAGAAUCAGACACGUAACCUUUUUUUAUUAUGAUCCUACAAUCUUUUUUUAACAUUGAUUGUAACUUUAAGUUUUAAUUUAUGAAGCUCUGGUUCUAAAAAAAGAUAUAAGGUUUCGCUUGGUCGAGGACCAAAGAUUUCUAGGUCCUAGAGAUUCAUAUCGAGAAUAUGGCAACCUUGUGAGACAUGCAACUGAGCCAAUACAUCCAUAUACCGUCAUCGAACUGCUACCGCAUUGCGAGAACUGAUGUACACAAUCGCUGUUGUAUUGAUCUUUGCUUUGCCUCAAAGGCUUCGAUUAACAAAAGAUCGAACGCCUGCACACGCUCCAGGACACCACCAUUUGUUUACUGUUGCUUCAUUUUGGGGGGGAGAAAUUUGAAAGGAUCGCCCAAACAUACAGAAAUGGCGUUUCAUGUUUGUUUGGUUUCAGCUUUAAAGUUUCAACCCUGAAACGACUCCCUCCCAAAAGGAAAACCCCUAGGAGACCAGCACCUCGAUCACUCCCUUUUGGCAACAAAAAAUCGCCCCGUAAACCGUAGUUUUCAUUCAGCAACUACCUGGCGGGGGAGGCGUCUCCGUCCGCACCGGAAACCGCAACGGAGUCAACCGGGGUGGUUAGCCGUGCUCCACCACCGGUACGAUUACGAGCGAUAGUCGAAAGGCUGGCUGUUUUUCCCUAGGGUCUAGGGAUAACUAACUGCUGGUGAUCACUGAGUGAUCAGAGUGCCUUUGGCUCCUGCAAUCAGAGUGAGGCAUGGUGCAAUGAGUUCUGGCUCUGGGGCGAGCUUUUCUUGCCAGGGAAGCGAUUGUUUUCAUUUGUUUAUUUUUUUCACCUGCGCAUCUCGAAUUCUCGAUGUCACUGUCUUGCGGUAUCAUGUGCUCUCGGUUCAGCAAGCUUUGGGUGUUGUUUCUUUUUUUUUUAAAAAAAAGAGGAGGAAUCCACUAGGAGUCUUCAGUCUUCACCGUAUAUAAUCAUGCGUGCCUCGUGACUAGGCAUACUGUGGUCAAGUGUCAAGAUCACUUACCAGACACUCAUGGCAGAUUUCGGAGCAGAUCAUCAGUACUCUUUUAGUGGGGGCUGAUGAUCACCUCCCCACUUAACCAAACAGAGCAUGCCGCCCUUUUACUUUGGGAACAGGUCAAUGACAUGUUGACAACUGUGCGUGCCAAACAAACUCUUGCACGGCCACUGGUCAAUAAGCAUGCUCUCUGUUUUCUAUGCGAAAGCAGCCAGAAUCCAACAACCCCUGUUAGGAGCAGAGCAGCAUCUUGUUCGAUGGAGCUGAAUUUUGCAGUCGAUUCACUCGGUGACACCGACCGUGCGUUAGGCCGCAUCUGGACCUUCCGGCGUUGCUGCCACAGCGGCGACCAGAUUGGCCACCGGCGAGGCGAGCAGGACAAGGCGGACGGGGGUGGUCAAAUGAUACGGAAUGUGGUGCUUGCGUGUUGACGCGUCGGUGCCCGAUUAGGUUGGCGCGAAUGAUGAUUUGCUACUCGUGCUUCUGGGGUUGUACUGAAGAAAUACACGUACUCCUGUGUGCAGCUGAGGCUAGGUUGAGUUCGAUGUGAUACCCGAACCAUGACUUCAUGAGCUGAUCAGGUUAGUACUGUAUGAUGAUAAUACUACCUACUUUCUGGGGCCACAGAUCACUAGAGAAGAAACCACCAUGACAAUACAUGACAUGCUUGUGCUAACCAUUCAAUAAGCAAGCCAGCAUGCUGAUCAGGUUAGUCUACGUGUGAAGAUUGACCUGUGCCAACAGUUGCUUCAUGGAGUGUUUGUAGCGGAGGAUAAUUGUGAACCUCCUUUCUUUUUUAAAACACGCAGUGCUUAAUACUCCAUCCGUUUCAAAUUGUAGAUCGUUUUGACUUUUUCUAGGUUUAUAGAUAUUAUUAUGCAUCUAGACAUACUAUAUCUAAGCGCAUAGAAAAACUAUGCACCUAGAAAAGUCAAAACGACCUAUAAUUUAGGACGGAGGGAGUAGAUGUUAAAGCAGUAUUAUUUAGAAAAAGAAACCUAUGAAUUUUUUUUAGAAAACCUGAUAAACUCAAUUGGUGUCAGUAAUUGGCCUUAAAAACGAGUUUCACGAGGGAGGGAGCGAGGUUCCAUCAGCAGCGAAAUUUAAGCCGAAACAAAAAAAAAAUAGCCUGAAAAAAGGAGGAAGUAAUGCCGGCCCAUGGGACAGACCACAUUUCGCGUAGUCUAGACUCUAGAGGCCCCCAAGCCCACUGUGUGGCACGCGCGCGCAGCCUGCGCCUGCGUGUUAGGCUUGCACCGAAGCGAGUCGCCGCCGCCCGGACAGGACUGCUGAGGAGACACGCACUUGCCGUCGAUGCCUCGCCAGCGAGUCCACACCGAAGCAGGGAGAUGCUAAAGCGGACAUCCAAAUCCAAAUCCAUGGACGACCUCAGUGAUGUCCCCAACAAAAAGCAGGGUAUCCGAUCCGAUGAUGCGAGCUCGCGCACAUCUUUAUUUGGUGCUCCGAGGUCAACCGUAGUCCACUACAAAUACUGUUAAUCCAUCCCUUGGUUGGCAUUUGGCAAUGGUUUCCAUUGCACAAACUGGAGCGAACGACCCUCUAGCUGACUUGUUAGGGGCUUAAGUAGCAGCUUCGUCCUGGGUUCGACUCCCCGUGAGAGUAAAUUUUAGGUUAGGAUUAAAAAAAUACUCUCGCCUGUCACCAUACCAAAGUAUAAGAGGCCCAGCCCAGUUCUCAAAUGGACUUAAUGGUGCCACUGUGCGAGGGUGGAGUAGGGGUCGGAAGUUUUCUAGGUCUGCGAGAAUGUCAUCUUCUUGAUGCAAAUCCCCUCCUCCCCCCUCCCCCCUCCCCUUUCGCCUGUCACCACAUCAAAGCAUAAGGAGACCCGAUCCAAUUCUAAAUUGGGCUUAACGGUGCCAUUGUGUAAGGGUGAGGCAGGAGUCCGAGGAUUUUCUAGAUAUGCGAGAAUACCUUCUUCUUAAUUUCGGGAGCGCAUGCGAGAAUGUUUCUUCUUCAUGCAAAUGCCCGAGGGCGUCGUACCCCGCAAGUCUAGUUUUUUUUUCCUGUUGCACAAACUGGAGCGUCCGCGUCGAAGGAAGCACCGCGGUGUGCUAGCUUUGUUUCGUUUGUUUGGUCGGCGGCACAAAACUGAACGAGCUGAGGUUGCAUGGAUGGGACGGUAGACAAGACAACAUGCGCAAGUAUAAAGCACUCCCUCGGCAAUGGUUUGCAGGUAUCAUCCGAUGAAUAAGCUGACGGUGACUCUGGUUGCCGGUUGGAGGUAUGUACAGUGUGAGGUUCUACGUUUGGCCCUGGCUACUAUGUUUAUUCGAUCGAUUUCUUUUUACUUAUAUACCACACUCAAGUGUUUCUUUCCUCUCCCACUCGAUUUUUUUUCCGGCUGCAUCAUAAUCCGACCGUGGAUCUCCUUUCUUCUUCCUGAGUAACAACAUAUUAAGUUAGGCUCGUUAGUUAAAAAAAAUGCGUAGCUUAGCUGAUAAAAUUCCUUAUGGUAAAACCUGCUCACUAGAGUUCGAGUCUUCGACUCGACACUGGCAUUUAUAUUUUUCUGGAUUUAUUCCAGGAUUUAACCGGCACGAUUCUUUCGGUGGUAGGCGAUAUGCCCGUCAACAGUGAGGCGCCAGUGAUGACUUCGUCAAUCUCGAGGAUUUGCCGGUUCAGUCUUUCGGAGGUGCUCAUAGAGGUAGAGUUACGUACAUGUGUUCGUAGGGAUGAGUGUGCAUGCGUGUUUUUGAACGUAUGUGUCUUUACCGUUUGAUUCGAAAAAAAAAGUUAGUCUCGAGACUUUUGAUUGGUUGUGAGCUUUGAUAGACAUGUAGCCAGGACAAAUGGACGGUGACUGUUAAUAUAAUAAGAUGCAAUACGAUAAAAAUAGAACCCUAUUUGUGAAAAUAUAGAUUCCCCAUGCUCUUUUUGAAGGGAAUUCCCAUAAAAUAGUUCUAUUUCAUAUUUUUUCCAUACAAGAAUCCGAAAAGAUUCCCACGUUGGCCCCAAUGUUCAUUCGAUCGAUAGCUACACCUUUAUUUAGCACUACCGAUACAGGUAAAAACUAGAAAAGCUCACACCGAUAUGCAUUUUCUGCCCAUCCAAAUGUGAAGGGCUGGGAACCCAUUGACGCAUUCGAGUCAUUGUUUCGUUACAUUUCAAACUUUCAGAUGUAUUGAUUUGACACCUGUCGUUGUCGAGAUUAGCGGAUCAAGACUAAAACUAGUAAAUUUCUUUUAUGCGCGUAAGAUUUCGGAUGGUGGCGUGGGAGACACGGGGUUUAGACUGGUUCGGGUAAGGAAAAGCCCUACGUCCAGUAUGGGGAGCUGCUCGUGUUGCCCACGUGGGGUCUGUAGUAGGGGUUACAAGAGUGCGAGAGAGGGAGCUGGUCCCAAGUCUCUUAGGUGUGCACUGAUGUUCUGAAGGAGAGUGUGUGUGUUCUGUUAGCUUGAGAGAGUCCCCUGUCUCAGGGCCCCCGGUCCUCCUUUUAUAGCGCAAGAGGAGCUCAGGGUUACAGAUGAGCCAGGCAUGAGGAGAAGUAAAAGAGAUAAGCUAAUUCAAGUAAAAUACAAUACAAGGGGAAGGACCAAGUUCCAGGGCCACCGCCCCCCACUCCGGCCUUCGGCUCCUGUCAGCGCGUCCGCCGGAAGAGGACGGCUGCCUUCGGAUCCUGUCGACGAUCUCCCUGGUGGCCGUUGCCGCCAGGCAUGAUGAUGGUGUUCGGUCAUGGCAUCUGUGCCCGUCGGGGAAGGCGGCUGCUCCUGUUAUCUUGCUGAUGGUCCGUGGGACGCGGACGUCGCGUCCCUGUCGCCGGAUACGUGGGGCGUGAGAACGGGCGGGGCUUCCUCCUGUGCCGGACGGCGCAAGCCAUGAGUGCCUUGCAGGGAAUCGGGGAGAGCCGCGACCACUGUAGCCUGUGCUGUGCGGUCGUGCAUGGGUACUUAUGGCGGGUCGCGUCGGGGGCACGGGCGCCUUUCUGCACGCUAAGGCCGCGGCACAUUUAUGGCGAGAUCGACAGGGGGGCCCACAAGAUCCGCGCUCUUAUCUUCCAGUCUGCGCUCGAGGCGGAUACUUGUCUUGUGGGCCCGGAUGAGUCCGACCCCCUGCGCCCCGAGUCGGGCAAGGCGGAGUCUUGUAGCGAGGGGUCGGGCGCUCCUGACCCUGGGACCGUGGGUCGGGCGAGGCGGAGUCUGGUUAUCAAGGGGUCGGGAACGUCCGACCCCGGGGCACUGGGUCGGGCGAGGCGGAGCGGGGCUCUCCCCUCCCAUGUUAGGCCGACGGUAGUCUUCAUUACCUCAGGUAGGCCUGUGCCUUGAUGAUUGUUGUUUUAAUGGGCAUUAGGAGGUUGUUAAUAUUUCCCCCCAACAGUAGCCCCCGAGCCUGUGGUGGAGCGGGGACGCUCCUCCAGAGGCUGCUAUCGUCGUUUGUAGGGGAUUCCUGCUCAUCGUGCAAGCUGCAGUUAAUCAGGGAUGGGAAGUGUUGUUUGUUCGGCUUGGUCGAGGAGGUUGAUCAGGCGAAGCGUCCUGUGGGCGACUCGGCACGGGAGGAUUUCUUGUUGUUCCAUAGAGCACCUUCCGUCUGAAAACCUCAAGUCGUGACCAUUCGCGUGGUCAUUAGUUGCGUGGCUAGCCCUCGAGCCCCUGUGCGUUGCAGGGGAUCGGUUGGGAGGCUAGAUUGACUUUUGUACGUUACCCCUCAAGCGUCCGUUCGCUGAGACGGAGGGGGCGAGCCGUGCCACGUUAUCCUCGCCGGACGAACUGUGGUGCUCGUUGAGCUGCUGACAGGUUGAUUCGAGUGGGGUCCCGGUCCCCGUUCGGGGAGGUCCGGCUCGGGCCAAGCUGGUGGCGUACCCUAGGUUCCGGUCGGCCAGUUCAUAUAGUUCCCGAGUCCGUUCGAUCGGAUCCGGGGGCUCGUUGCCUUUCCUCGGGGAAAAACCAUGAACUCUGGUGCCGGCCCGGACUCAAAUGUGAGAUUGGGACACCCUAGGUUGUCGUGCGCCCGGGUGAUGGCCGCUAGCGGACCCGUCCCCUCUCACCCCUCGGUCGAGGGUGUCCUGGCGCAGCUAUCGAACCCGUAGUGGGCCAGCCUUCGAACCCCUGGACCGUAAUGGGCCGUAGGGGCGUUUUCAGCCCCGUAUCCCUUUUUUACCUUUUGGUGGGCCUUGGGCCGGACGUGGAGGAGGUUGUGCGCGUGCGUUCUCCGGGAGGCGAGGUGGCGGAAGAUGCCGGCCCAUGAAAUGAGGGGGACGGGGAUGUUUUCCUGCAGCAGAUCGUGCACACGGACUCCGAGAAAAGCGGGCGUGACGGGGCGUACUUGGCGCUGCAUUUACUGCGAUGGGGCCGACUGUUCCGCUACCCACGCAUCUCCAUAUAAGACGGGGGGAGGGGGCGUGCCUCGCCGGUUCCGCCCGCAACUGCUCCCAAGUCUUUUCGCCUUCUCGCGCCCCCUUUGUCUUCCUGCGCGCCGCUCGCCUUCCUCCGCCUAGCGCCGCAGCUUUACCCGUCCUCCGCCAUCGAGCUCUCCACCCCCUAGCGAUGGAGUCCUGGUCGCGCUCGAACUUUGGGUCCUCGCGUGCCGACGGCCUCGUGAGGAAGGGCCUCCUCUGCGAAAGGAGCGAGAGGGGCGAAUGGCGGUUUCCCGGGAAUGAAGAUGUGCCGAGCUCGGGCGAUGGCUACGUCGUCUCCUUCGCACACUUCCACGAGAGGGGGUUCGCAUCCUCGCCGAGCCAUUUCUUUCGCGGGCUGCUACACUACUACGGGCUCGAGCUGCAGCACCUUAAUCCCAAUGGGAUCCAGCACAUCGCAACGUUCGUCGCGCUGUGCAAGGGGUUCUUGGGCAUCGAGCCCAACUUCUCGCUCUAGAAGUACUUCUUUGUGGGCAGCCUGUACCAGAAGACCGAGAGGAAGGGGAGCCAGCAACGGGCGAUCCCGGUGCCGAUCGGGUGCGCCGCCAUCCAUCUCCGCCAGACCCGCGCCACGGAGUACAUGGCAAUGAAGACCGCGGCGUCCCACAAGGGGUGGCAUCAGCAGUGGUUCUACGUGAAGAACUACUCUAACUCCCCCUUGCCGGAGUUCACUAGCCGCGUCAUUGAAGUGGCGCCGGAGUUGUGGUCGUACAGCCCGGUGGAGAAGGAGAAGAAGCGGAUCACCGGCUUGCUUCAGGCCAUCGAGUACCUGAAGGGAAAGGGGCUGACCAGGGCUGGAGUUAUCGGGGCGUACCAUGCUCGGAGGGUGGCGCCGCUGAUGCUCCGGGUCCGCUCGCUCGCCGAGAUGACCCCCGGCGCGCCGACCGAAGGCACCGUCCUUGCGACGGGUGCGCUCACCGCCUCCGAGAUCCGGCAGCGAGUCCGGGAGGCGCUGGACGACAAGGACGCCGAUUACCCGGUGCCCGGCCACCCUUCGAUGCGCCUGGACGAGAAUUUUGUCAAGCUGGUGGGGACUUCAUGCUCCGGUUCCUUUCUUUUGUGUUUCUUGGUUCGUCAUUCCAACGCGAACCUUUCAUGUUUGUAGGGCAGCAGGACUAGCGUUGUCGACUCGCGCUCGCCGGUGCCAGAGGACGCCGAAGGGCGGCAGCAGAACUGCCUCCUUGCCGAGAAGCAGAAGCAGCAUAAGGAUAGGGAGACGGCGAGGAAGAGAAGGAAGGCCGCCAAGGAGUUCCAACGGCGGCGGUGGGGCCAGGUUGUGUCGGAUGACGACGAUGAGGAGGAGGAGGAGGAUGACGAGGAGGAGGAAGAGGAGCAGGAGUUCAUUCUGACCCCUCGGUCGGGUGAGCUCGUUAUCCGGGAAUCGUGCCCCCAACCGGCUGCUGGGGGCACGUCGAGCGGACUGCCUGCGCAAGACCCGCCCCCGCGAGGCUCUGGGGCCGCGCGCCAGGGGUCGGCGCGGGGCGCGCCUCGGGAGUCGACGGAAUCGACCCCCAACCCUCAACAUGUGGCCCAAGAGUAGAGGAGCAACAGCAAUCGGCUGCUGCCAGAUGCCCCGGGGUCGGUGUCGGGCUCAGAGGCGAAACGCACCCGCCGUCCUUGCGCUGGAGGAGUGUAGGUGGAAAUUCCUCGCGCGUCUCGUUCCUUUCCUAGCAUCGAGUCAUUUUUGCUGAUGUUGUUUGUCGUCUCACAGCGUUGCCCCUAGAGGCCUCGUCCCGCCGCUGGAGCCGAAGAAGGCGCUACGGGUGUCGUCCACCUCCGCGGGGCGGAUCGCGACCCCACCGGCAGCACGCGGCGGCGUCGCUAGAGAGACUGCAAAGCCUACCGCGGAGGUGGCUCCUGCGGCGGCAACUGGUGGAGUGGUGCCGCAAACGGGCACGGGGCAGGGUUCGACCCCUGCUCCGCCCUCAGCCUCCCCGACCGACCCCGCAGGAUAGGGCAUUGCCCCUGGGGGUCCUCCGACCGGGGGCGUGAUAGACCUCGACGACGAGGUGGAGGAGGAGCGUGCGGCUCCGUCGGUGGCGGCGGAGGAGAGAGAGUCCACCCCCGUGGCCACGACGGGGACAGCGGGUGCGGGAGAGGCGAGGACGCCCGCCCCGGCUGCUGCAGCGGCGGCGGAGGCAGGGACAUCUGCCCGGGAAGCCGUGGCGAAGGCAACUGUGGCGGCGGAGGCGGGGGUGCCUGCUCUGGCGGCUACGACGGGGCCGGGAUGCCUGCCUCGGUGGUCGCAUCGAAGGCCGCGACGGCGGCGGUGGACGGAUCGGGACGCAUGUCGGCGUCGACGACGGCCGCGGCGACCUCGACGAGGGCGGUGGCGCACGCGCUGAGGCCGUCGAUGAGGCCAGCGACAUCCGGGGUGGUGGUGCCUGCCCCGGCGGCGGCGUCGGGGACGGCGGCGUCGGGGGCGGCCCCUACCCUUGUCUCGGCCAAUCAUGUUCCCAAGGCAUGGAAUGGGUAUAUCUAGCGCUGGACGUCCCGUGAUGACCCGCAGAGACCCCUCUUCACGCUGGAAGACGCCGAGGAGUGGGGCAAGUGGCAGGCAGUGCAGGGUGGACUUGCAAACGUUUGCGCUGCCCUAUCCUCGAUGAUGGGGGAGCUGGACGGUGUCGUCGUUCCCGGUGGCCAGGUAUGGUGUUCUCCAUAGCGGUUAUUUCCCUCUCGUCGCUCUGUUACUGAGCAUAUAUUGUCUUGUAGGCCCUCCAGGUGUGUAGCCGGGGGAAGUCCGAUAUCCUCCGACUUGAGCGGGGGCUCUGGGAACGCUUCGCUACAGAGAGGCAGCAGACCGGGAGUUGACCGCGCAGGUUGCCGCCGCCCAGCAGGUCAUCAACGACCUGCAAAGGCGCGAGCAGGCGGCGCGGGAGGACGCACGGCGGGCAGAGGACAAGUUCCAGGCCAUCAUCGAGAAGGCUCGCCUCGACCGCGAGGAGUUCCAGGCCGCUGCUGAGAAGACCCGCCUUGAUGCCGAAGAGCUCGUACGGCUGAAGGGGGAGCAUGAAGCCCUUCAGAAAAUCGUCGAGCACAUCCGGCGCGAGCGGCAGAAGGCUUGGCAGGACCGGGACUUCGAGGCAGCCCGGAAGGACGAGGCUGAGAAGGUGGCGGCCGAGCUUGGGGCGGAGGUCAGCCAGCUCCACGUGCAAGUGCAGGAGCUUCAUACCACCGUGGCCCUGGGGCUCGACUGGGAGCGUGAGCUGAAGGCCCAGUUCGAGGGUAAGGCUCUUUUCGUUCCUUUGUUUUAUGCUGCUUUUUGAUGGUUUCUGACUUGGACUUCUACGGACGAACCUUACAGACGAGAUCGCCCGGUUGAGGGAGGUCCUCGACGCGGAGCGCGCCGAGCACGACAACCUGCAAGACACGGUCCGCGUAGUCUGCAACAGCCUCGGCGUGGUCUAGGGGGAGGGGAUGAGUUCAUUGACGACUCGUGUCCUUGGGACGUACCGACAGGCCCACGAGAUCGCCCUGGAGGCACUCCGCGUCAGCGUGAGGUGGGCCUUCGGUGUCUUCGGUUCUCACUACUCCGGCAUUAACUUCGCCGGGAUGAGCGGGGGUACGCCGCCGGCUACUCCGAGGCCGAGUUGGACGAGAUUGACGCGUCGGUGCUCAACCCAGCGGAUGCCUUGGCGGAGCUUCUGGAGGAUGAAGCCGUCCCGCCCGAAGAUCCCAGGACGAGUUAGCUAUAUCGGGCUUAGGUGCCCCAAGUGUAAAUAUGUUAGUUUGACUUUGAACUUGUUUUCAUGAUGGCCGCAGAGGCCUUUUCUAUAAAUUGUCAAAAAAAGUUUUCGAUCCUCUUUCUUAUUUUUUUGAUUUGGAAAGUUUAAAGCGCGGGUUGGGCAUGUCAGUAAGCAUUGAUGGGCGAAGGUACCGUAGCCUCUUGGGCGUAGGCUUUUUCGUAGUCCGAUCAGUCUUGCCUGAACGCCGUUCGUGCACUCUCUCCUUUUCACGUCCAAAAGUUUAGGAAGAGGGUCGGCUCGGAAAGAAAAGGCAUUUUGAGAAGAUGUCAUGUGACUUGGGCCAGAGCCCCUGAUAGCCCCCGAGGGCUAUGCGGCCCUAAGGCAGAGCCAGGGUUGGAUAUCCCUGAGUUCGAUAUGAAACUUGAAUGAAAUCAACUCAAAAUUCCUUUUUCCGUAAAUUAUUAAGUUACAGAAGUGUUUAUGUAUAGAACUUGGAAACAAAACUAAGGGUAGAAGCAUCUUAGAUGCUCUAUGUUCCAAGCGUUUUUGAAGAUCUGUCCGUCAGGGCUCGCCAGCUUGUACGUGCGUGACUGCAGUACUUGUGUGAUCAUGAAGGGACCUUCCCAUGGAGGGGUCAGCUUGUGCCGACCUUUGUUGUCCUGGAUGAGGCGGAGCACCAGGUCGCCGAUGUUGAAGGCUCGGCCUUGCACCUUGCGGCUGUGGUAGCGUCGUAAGGCCUGCUGGUACUUAGCCGAGUGCAGCAGGGCUACAUCGCGCGCUUCGUCGAGCUGGUCUUGCGCAUCUUCGAGCGAUGCCUGGUUUCCCUGUUUAUCGUAUUCCUUGACCCUUGGCGAUCCAUACUCCAGAUCGGUGGGGAGGAUUGCCUCGGACCCGUAAACCAUGAAGAACGGGGUGAAGCCGGUUUCCCUACUGGGGGUCGUCCUUAAACUCCACAGGACCGCGGGGAGCUCCGCGACCCAUCGACCGCCGAACUUUUUGAGAUGGUCGAAGAUCCGUGGCUUCAGACCCUGGAGUAUCAUGUCGUUGGCUCGUUCAACAAGCCCGUUCGUGCGGGGAUGUGCCACGGCCGACCAGUCCACUCGGAUGUGGUGGUCGUCGCAGAACUGGAGAAAUUUCUUCACGGUGAACUGCGUGCUGUUGUCCGUGAUGAUGGAGUUGGGGAUUCCAAAUUGAUGGAUGAUGUCAGUGAAGAACUGUACCGCCUGCUCGGACUUGAUUUGCGCAACCGGUCGUGCCUCGAUCCACUUGGAGAACUUGUCGACGGCGACAAGCAGGUGGGUGAAGCCCCCAGGCGCUUUCUUGAAGGCCCCGACGAGGUCCAGCCCCCAGACCGCGAAGGGCCACAUAAUGGGGAUGGUCUGGAGCGCUUGUGCGGGCAAAUGAGUUUGGCGCACGAAGAAUUGGCACCCUUCGCAGGUGCAGACCACAUGGGUGGCUUCGGCGACCGCCGUCGGCCAGUAGAAGCCCUACCGGAAGGCGUUUCCAACAAGGGUUCUUGGAGCGGCGUGGUGGCCGCAGGCUCCAGCGUGGAUGUCCUGAAUCGGCACCUUUCCCUGCCUGAUCGGGAGGCAGUGCUGGAGAAUGCUGGUGUAUCUCCGCUUGUAGAGCUCCUGGUCAAUGAUGACGAAGGAUUUGACGCGGCGCGCAAUUCUACGUGCCUCCGUCUUGUCCGCCGGGAGCGUCUCGCGGAUGAGGUAGUCGAGGUACGGGGCUCUCCAGUCAGGCGGGGGGUCGGGCCCCGCUGCUGGAUCCGCAUCGAUCUCCAUGAUUUUAGGGUCGGAGGGGUCGGCCUCCGAGUCUUGGACAGGUGGAGCAUCGCCGAUAUCGUCUGGGUCGGCGCCCGAGCCCGGGACAGGUGGCGCGUUGCCGAUCUCUCCCGGGUCGGGGCUUGAGUCCGGGGCAGGUGGCGCAUCGCCGACCCUCCCCGAUUCCUGGUAACGGAUCGAGGGCUUGAACUGGUCGCUGAUGAACACGCCAUUGGGUACGGCCUUUCGAUCAGAUGCCGCCUUUGCCAGUUCGUCAGCCGCCUCGUUAAAAAGCCUUGCGACGUGGUUGAGCUCUAGUCCGUCGAACUUGUCUUCGAGCUUGCGGACCUUGUUGCAGUAGGCUGCCAUCUUGGGGUCGUGGCAGCUCUACUCCUUCAUGACUUGUUCGAUGACUAGCUGAGAGUCGCCUUGGAUGUUCAGCCGCCAGAUGCCCAGCUCGAUGGCGAUGCGAAGCCCGUUGAGGAGAGCCUCGUACUCGGUGACGUUAUUAGAUGCAGGAACAUGGAGGCGGAUCAUGUACCUCAUGCGCACGCCGAGAGGAGAGACGAAGACUAGGCCUGCUCCGGCGCGAGCCUUUAUCAACGACCCGUCAAAGUACAUCGUCCAGUACUCCUGCUUCUCCGGCGCCGAUGGCGUCUGGAUCUCCAUCCACUCUGCUACAAAAUCGGCGAGUACCUAGGAUUUGAUGGCGGUGCAGGGGGCAUAAGUGAUGCCCUGUCCAUAAGCUCGAGCGUCCACUUCAUGAUCCAUCCCGUGGCGUCCUGGUUUCGGAUCACUUCACCGAGGGGGAACGACGAAACGACCGUCACCGGGUGGGAGGUGAAGUAGUGGCGCAGCUUCCUCUUCGUGAUGAGUACGGCGUAGAUGAGCUUCUGGAUCUACGUGUAGCGCACCUUGGACUCGGACAAGACCUCGCUGACGAAGUAUACUGGACGCUGCACCUUGAGGGUGUGUCCCUCCUCCUCUCGUUCCACCACCAGAGCAUCGCUAACUACCUGGGUGGUCGCCGCGAUGUAGAGCAGGAGGGGCUCCCCAUCGGUUGGCGGACUAGGAUCGAGGCUUUCGUCAGGAGGUUCUUGAGCCGGUCAAGCGCCUCCUGGGCCUCGGCGGUCCACUUUAAGCGGUCGGUCUUCUUUAGGAGUCGGUAGAGAGGAAGUCCCCAUUCGCCGAGGCGCGAGAUGAAGCGGCUCAGGGCCGCCAGGCAUCCCAUGACGCGCUGAACUCCCUUUAUAUUUCGAAUCGGCCCCAUGUCGCUGAUGGCCGCUAUCUUUUCCGGAUUGGCUACGAUGCCGUGUACGGAGAUGAUGAAACCCAGCAGCAUGCCUCUCGGAACCUCGAAAACAAACUUUUCAGGAUUGAGCUUGAUGCGCUUGUCCCUCAGCCUUUUGAAGGCUAGUUCGAGGUUGGGGAUGAACUGGUUGCCCUUCUUGGACUUGACUAUGAUGUCGUCGACAUAAGCCUCAACGGUUCGCCCGAUGAGGUCCCCGAAACACUUAAGCAUGCAUCGCUGGAACGUAGCCCCCAUGUUUUUGAGGCUGAACGGCAUCUUAAUGUAGCAAUAGGGCCCGAAGGGGGUGAUAAAAGAGGUUGCGAGCUGGUCGGACUCUUUCAUCGUGAUUUGAUGGUAGCCGGAAUACGCAUCAAGGAAGCUAAGGGUUUCACACCCGACGGUUGAGUCGAGUAUCUGAUCUAUGCGCGGCAAAGGAAAUGGAUCCUUUGGGCACACCUUGUUGAGACCGGUAUAAUCAACACACAUCCUCCAUUUCCCAUUCUUUUUUCGUACAAGAACAGGGUUAGGUAGCCACUCGGGGUGGUACACUUCCUUGAUGAAUCCGGCCGCCAAAAGCUUCUGGAGCUCCUCGCCGAUGGCCUUGCGCCUCUCCUCGUCGAAGCGGCGCAGACCUUGCUUCACUGGCUUGGAGUCGGCCUUGAUGUUCAAGGAAUGCUUGGCGACUUCCCUCGGAAUGCCGGGCAGGUCCAAGGGUUUCCACGCGAAGACGUCACUGUUCGCGCGGAGGAAGUCGACGAGCACGCUUUCCUAUUUGGGAGAUAGGGCAGUGCUGAUCCGUACGGUCCGACCGUCGGAGCUGCUGGGGUCGAGGGGAACCUCCUUGACGCCUUCGGUGGCCCCGAAGGAGGUGGCCGACUGAAGCGUCCCCACAUAAGUAGAGACUAAAUGUGAUACAAAUAUCAGUCCCAGGAGGCUGAUAACACAUUUAUUCGACAGAUAAUUCAGUUACCAUACAACUCCCGAGGGAGUGGGCGUGAGAGCCACGCAGCGAUAAUAAGUAAAUAAACAACAGCGGCUAACCAAGCGACUGCCAAAAGACAGCACUCGGGACUACACGGCAGCAGCAGCAUCUUGGAAAGGCCAACACCACAGGCAGCGUUGGGUGCGGACACAACCUCUACUCAAGGUCUUCGACGAUGAAGUCCGGGUCUUCCUCUGUAGCAACGAAGCAAGGGUGAGUACGUACGUACUCAACAAGUCUAACCCCAUCCUCGGAGGGGGAUACAAGCAAGUAUAUGCACAGGAUAAAACAAGGGUUGGCUAGAGUUUAUUUGCAAUAAAGCCAGAUUUUCAACACAUGCAUAGGCUCAUUUUCAAACAAAUUUUUUUAAAGCUUUUCUUUAGUAACCGAACGAAGAGUGGGGUUGAUCCUACACAAAGGAUCCAAGUUUUUAUCGCUAUCGGACUCCCCGUCCGCCAUAGCGCACGGCACGACUGCCGGACUUUUCCAAAAUUCAACCCACACACACACACACACACACCAUCCAUGCCCAAGUGCUAGUUAUGUGACCAAGCCGUAACUCGUCUUACCCGGAUAGGUUUUAACUCUGCAGAGGUUGUACACUUUUCCCACAAGUAGUGUACCGCAGCACGAUCACCUUAGUGCUAGUGCGGAUCCUAACAAAGCCAUUACCCACCUUAACUAAAACUGGCUAGCCCUCACGGGAGCACCCAAGGGGUUCACGGCUCAUCCACGAGACCGUAACCGGGACCUAAGUCACCAAGAUCUUACUCCUUUUCCAUGGGCUCCCGUUGCUCACCAGCACCCCUGAGGACUAACAGUUCAGCUUGUGGGAUUUAUGCUAAGCCGUUGCCCAUACAACGGUCGAGUGGUUGCAUGAUAGUUGAAUUAGACAAGAUGACACAUCAACUCGGUCCUUAACCCCGACAAGAUGGAUAUCUCCCAACAUUGCUCAACCACCAAGGUAUGAGCACAACACCCUGGCAUCCCACACGAGGAAUACCCAUCCAUCCUGUCUACACAUCCUUUUUCCUUUGAACCCAGAAACCAUUUUCCUUACUUGCACACACACACAUUUAUUUUCCAAAAACAUCAUUGUAGUGGUGAUUGUAUUUAAGUAGCAAAUCCCUAAGCAUUCUAGCGGUAGCUAUCGACCAAAUAGAGCGAAUCAUAUUUAGAGACAACCAUAGGAUAACAAGGAAUGUUCAUAACAAUCAAGGGGUGGCUAUCCAACCAUGUCUUGCAACGAAAUAAUAUGCAUUUUGUAAAACAGGCCAAUAGGUUGUGUUUGGAAAACUAGGUAUUAAAUAUGCAUCAAAAGGGUGAGAUUGGACUUGCCGUCUUCAAAGCCUUCCGGGAGCUCCGGCUCGUGCUGCUGGUCCUCGGGCUCGGGCUCGCGGUCAAACUCCUCCUCGGGAUUCUCCUCGGGCAAUCCGCGAUCUACGGCACACACAAACGGGCACACAAAUAAAUAAAAGAAAGUUGGUUUUUAUCCGUUGAGCUCCGAACAGAAAACGUGAAUGGAAAAUAGGUAGAAAGAUUAUUUUUGGGAAAUUUGGAUAUGGAUCGGCGAAAGUAUUCCGGAGGAUGACGUGGUGAAAUUUGGGAUUAAUUGGAGGAAGUUUGGCGCAUGAAAUGACGGGUUAAACAUGAAUUAGGGCUUAAACGGAGGUUUAGGACUGAUUUAUAAUAAACCAGGGACCUAUUUGUGAAUACUUUUGGAGGUGGAGGGGCUUAUCCGCGAAUAGGUUUAUGGGAGUGGUGGGAGGACUAUUUCGCGAAUAAUGGAUUUCAGGGGGUUAGAUCAGAAUUUGGGCUUUCUUCCUCCUUCUCCCAGGAAACAAAGAGAGGGAGGGUGGGGAGGAGAGAAAGGCCGGCGGCGGCCGGCCGGCCAGGGCCUCAUUGGCGGCGCCGAAGGUCGGGGAAAGGUGGAGGGGGAGAUGGGGAUUCCAUUUUCCCUCCUUUACCGUGGGUGGCGGCAGCGGAAAGGGGCGGCCGGUGUUGGUCUUUGGGCGGCGGCGCACAGCUUCGGUGGUGGCUACUGGCGGCGGCGGUUGGCGGCGCGCAGGGGCCUAGCACGGUCGGCGGUAGUGCUGGAGGAUGGGGUGGGGAGAUGGCCGGGCGCCGGGGCCUUUUAUAGGCCGGCGAGAGGGAGGUGGCCGGUGUUGCGGUGGGGUCAGCGAUGGCGUGCACGGGCGGCGCCGGAGGAGGCCGGAGCGGGGCGGUAGGGGCCGGCGGCGGCGACGUGGAGCGGGGCUGGGGCGUGACGGGCACGCCGGCGGUUCGGGCCGGAGGCUGGCGCGGGGCACCGCGGUGGGGCUGGGUGGCCUGGCGCGGGCGCUCCGGCGGGGCCGGGCGAGACCUGGCUCGGGCGGCCGCAGGGGUGCCGCGCGGCCCGAGGGAGCCGGCGCGGUAUGGCGCCAGGGGGAGGUGGGGUGCCGGGAGUAAAUGCGCCGGGGGGGCCGGCCAAGGAAGUGGCUCCAGGAACCAGGAAGAAGAAAGGAAGAAGAAAGAGAAGAAGGGAGGAGGAAGAAGAAAGAAGAAGGAGAAAGGAAGGGAAAAAAGAAAAAGAGAAAGGGAGAGGGAAAAAGAGAAAAGAAAGGGGGAGACCGGCGGCGAUCGCGGCACGCGCACGGCGUCUGGCGAUGGCACGCGGCGGAAAAUACGGGCACGGAUAAAAAGGUAGGGGUCGGCAUGGGUGCCGGGACGGCGAAAUCACCGGGGAGAUUUUCGAUUUCCGGGAGCUCAACGAUAAAAAGAUUUUAAAGAUAAUUUUUAACGGGUGAUUUUAGUUGGUGAUUUCCGCGGAUGUUACACCGACUGCUUGGAGUCGGGCUGGUCCUCGGCGCCCUCCGUGAGCUGGACCGCCGAACCCUUCGUGAAGGUGAUGGCUGCGGCGUACUCGCAGCACUCUACGUCACACUCGUACACCUUCUGGAAAGACGUGCCGACGGUGAUGACCCCGUUGGGCCCCGGCAGCUUGAGCUUGAGGUAGGUGUAGUUGGGGAUGGCCAUGAACUUGGCGUAGCAUGGCCGCCCCAAGAUGGCGUGGUAGGUUCCACGGAAACCUACCACCUCGAAGUUAAGGACCUCCUUCCUGUAGUUGGAAGGAGUCCGAAAGUGAUGGGCAGGUCAAUCUGCCCGAGAGGCAUCGCCUGUUUCCCCGGCACGAGCCGUGGAAUGGCGCCUUGCUAGAGCGGAGGCGGGAGCGGUCGAUCCCCAUGGCAUCGAGAGUCUCGGCGUAGAGGACGUUGAGGCUGCUGCCUCCGUCCAUGAGCACCUUGGUGAGGCGCGUUGUGCCGACGACGGGGUCGACGAUGAGCGGGUAGCAUCCUGGCUGCAAGACAUGUCCCAGGUGGUCGGACCGGUCGAAAGUGAUGGCGGAUCCCGACCAGUCAAGGAAGGCUGGUGUAGCAGGCUAAGAGUCGUAGACCUCGCGGCGCUCCAGCUUCUGGCGGCGCUUGGAGUCGUAAGCUGCCAGUCCACCGAAGAUCAUGAAGCAGCCAUCCACCUUGGGGAAGCCAUCUUCCUUCUCUUCGCCAUCCUUCUUCUCCUCGUCGGGCUUCCGUCUCCAGUCGCCCUUCACCGGGUUGCCUACAGAGUACCUCUUCAUGAGGUUGCAGUCCUUGUAGGCGUGCUUCGUGGGGAACUCGUGGUUCGGGCACGGCCCCUCGAGCAGCUUGUCGAAGAAGCCGGGGGUGCCCUCUGGGGGCGGCUGUCCCUACUUCCGCUCAACAGCACCCACGAGGGGAGCCUCGCGACGCUGCUUGUUCUUCUUCUUCUGCUGACGGUUGGAGGUGCCCUCCUCGGCGUCCUCGUCCCGCUUCGCCUUGCCCUUGGAGCGGUCGAAGAUCACUCCGACGGCCUCUUCGCCCGAGGCGAAGCUGGUGGCGAUGUUGAGGAGCUCCUCCGUGGUCCGAGGGCCUCGACGCCCCAGCUCAUGGACGAGGGACCGGCAGGAGGUUCCUACCAGGAAAGCCCCUAUGACGUCGGCGUCCGCGACGUUGGAGAGCUCGGUGCGCUUCCUGGAGAAGCGUUGGAUGUAGUCCCGGAGGGACUCGUCUGACCCCUGGCGGCAGCUCUGGAGGUCCCAGGAAAUGCCAGGGCGCAUGUACGUGCCCUGGAAGUUUUCCACGAAUAUCUCCUUCAGGUCGUUCCAGCUGCGGAUCUGACCCGAAGGGAUAUGUUCCAGCCAGGCUCGCACCGAGUCGGCCAGAAAGAGGGGAAGGUUGCGGAUGAUGAACAGGUCAUCGUCCGCCCCACCGGCCUAACAUGCAAGCCGGUAGUCGCUGAGCCAUAGCCCGGGGUUCGUCUCCCCGGAGCACUUGGCCACGUUCGUUGGCUGCCUGAAGCGCGGCGGGAACGGCGCGUUAAGGAUACGCGCGGAGAAGGCCUGGGGCCCUGCCGGGUCGGGGCUCGGGCUUUCGGUCUUCUUCGCUGUCGUAGCGGCCGCCACGGUGGACGUGGUAGCCGCGGUCCACCCCCUCCACCCUGUCCGCGCGGGAGCGCCUCCGCGCGUCCAGGGUGUCGCGGGCGUCGCGGACAGGGUCGACGCGCCGGUGGAUGGAUUGAGCCCUGCCUCCUGCGGGCGGCGGUGUCCGUCGAGCGGGCGCGGCCUGGUUCGCCCUAGGAGGAGGCUGAUGGACAGACUCCCCCCGCCUCUCAGGGGGUGCGGUGGGCGCUGCCCUGCUGGUGUUUUGCCCGCGUUGCCGGGACACGGAGCUCUCCGCCUGUUGGACGGCGGCGCACUCGAGCAGGUUGCGCACCUCUUGGUGCGCCUGACGCUCCUCGGGCGUCGCCGGCUCGGAGAGUCGUCGGAGUAGGGCCGCUGCUGCGGCGAUGUUCUGGCUGGCGCGGGCGAAGAGCUGAGGGCGAUCUUCAUCCGCGCAGAUGCGCUGCUGGACGUCAUGCGCCCGUUGUUGUGCCCCGCCUCCGUUGCGGGGGCGCUCGACCUCCUGGCGGGGCGCCGCGCGCGCCUCUGGCGGUCGGGGUCGCACCAGGGCUCUGGCAAGGGCUCCAGUCGUAGCCGCGGCGCGCGGUGGGGGAGUCCUCUGCCUUCCUUCGGCGCCGCCAUCAUUGGACCCCUCGGAGUGCACGUUGGUCAUGAAGCACUCGCGCGAGGGGUGGUGGCUCCUGUUGUUGGAGCCGGCGUCAGAGGUCGUCCUCACCACGCCCACGAGCUCAUUGCUCGUAGGCGGCACGGUCAUGGACCACGCCAGGAGAUAACCGUAGGUCGCCGCGGCAUUGCACAGCCCGAAGGGCCGCCCCUCCGAAGGAGGCCGCUCGACGCGCGCCCGGCCGCUCGCCGCUAUCCCGGGGACGGAGCCAGAGAUGAUGGGGCGAGCGGGCAAGAUGAGGAGAGGGAUCAACUCGAUCCCCUCCCCGGUGGUGAGGAAGUCCAGACACCCGAAGCGGACCAGGGAGCCCAGAGCGAAGCUGGCGUCGUGGUUGGCCAUCUGAAGCCGGUGAUGUACGCACAAAGGUCCCCUACCUAGCGCACCAACUGUCGUUGUCGUGAUUAGCGAAUCAAGACUAAGACUAGUAAAUUUCUUUUAUGCGUGUAAGGCUUCGGAUGGUGGCGUGGGAGACACGGGGUUUAGACUGGUUCGGGCAAGGAAAAGCCCUACAUCCAGUAUGGGGAGCUGCUCGUGUUGCCCACGCGGGGUCUGUAGUAUGGGUUACAGGAGGGCGAGAGAGGGAGCUGGUCCCAAGUCUCUUGGGUGUGCACUGAUGUUCCGAAGGGGAGUGUGUGUGUGUGUGUGUGUGUGUGUGUGUUCUGUUGGCUUGAGAGAGUCCCCUGUCUCAGGGCCCCCGGUCCUCCUUUUAUAGCGCAAGGCGAGCUCGGGGUUACAGAUGAGCCAGGCACGAGGAGAAGUAAAAGAGAUAAGCUAAUUCAAGUAAAAUACAAUACAAGGGGAAGGAUCAAGUUCCAGGGCCGCCGCCCCCCACUCCGGCCUUCGGCUCCUGUCAGCGCGUCCGCCGGAAGAGGACGGCUGCCUUCGGAUCCUGUCGACGAUCUCCCUGGUGGUCGUUGCCGCUAGGCAUGAUGAUGGUGUUCAGUCAUGGUAUCUGUGCCCGUCGGGGAAGGCGGCUGAUCCUGUUAUCUUGCUGAUGGUCCGUGGGACGCGGACGUCGCGUCCCUGUCGUCGGAUGCGCGGGCGAGAACGGGCGGGGCUUCCUCCUAUGCCGGGCGGCGUAGGCCAUGAGUGCCCUGCAGCAAAUCGGGGAGAGCCGCGACCACUGUAGCUUGUGCUGUGCGGUCGUGCAUGGGUACUUGUGGCGGGUCGCGUCGGGGGCACGGGUACCUUUCUACACGCCAGGGCCGCGGCGCAUUUAUGGCAAGAUCGACAGGGGGGGCCACGAGAUCCGCGCUCUUAUCUUGCAGUCUGCGCCCGAGGCGGAUACUUGUCUUGUGGGCCCGGAUGAGUCCGACCCCCUGCGCCCCGGGUCGGGCAAGGCGGAGUCUUGCAGCGAGGGGUCGGGCGCUCCCGACCCUGGGACCGUGGGUCGGGCGAGGCGGAGUCUGGUUAUCAAGGGGUCGGGAACGUCCGACCCCGGGGCACUGGGUCGGGCAAGGCGGAGCGGGGCUCUCCCCUCCCAUGUUGGGUCGACGGCAGUCUUCGUUACCUCAGGUGGGCCUGAACCUUCAUAAUUGUUAUUUUAAUGGGCAUUAGGAGGUCGUUAAUAUUCCCCGACAACACCAUUCACUGGAAUAACAGUUUCUCUUGAGCCUUGGUGAAAUGGAAGUGUGAUGAGAAAACAAAAACCAAAGAAAGUGACCCAAAAUGAUCUCCCUGUACCGGACACACGUCAUAAAAAAAGGGUAUACGAUGAUGGAACCAAGAAAGGACGCUCGAUGCAACAUGGGCUAGCAAGAUUAACAGGGCAUGUCGGCUUUCUACGAUAUUCUAAUGUGGGGGAACGAACAGUUGCUGAAAAGUACAGCAGCUGGGCAUGUUCAGAACAGAACAACGGGGCGAUAAGCUACUGGCCGGCCUUUUUUCCCAAUGUAAAACGCCUCAAAAUAAGUUCUGGGAAAUUGCAAGUUGACCAAGAAACAUAGCAUAGCAAGACAACAGCAGGGGGCGCUGCGAGAUGGACGAGCACUGGCUUGCUCACCGUUCGUGAUAAAAACGUGUCCUCACCUGGCCCUCCAGGAUGUUUGACAUGCCUGAUGCCUCCAUGAUUGGGGUUAAUGGGAAGGGAAUUUCAGCUAUGCGCCUAUGCCCACUUUCAGAUGCUGUGUGUUUCAGGACAUGUUGUGUUUCAGCACUAGGCAAUAAGGUUUGUGCCCCAAGGGCCUAGCUCCCAUCAGGCACAUGCCCUUGCCAUCUACCCAUCUCCAUCUGGUACCACUGCCUUCAGAAGUUUUCCCUUGGAGAGAUGGGUCCUGAUUUUAGGAGUGCAUUCUCCAUACACAAACUGACAAACCUGUACAGUGAAUUGGUCUCCUGAAGUUCUACCAGACACUGGUGUGAAGAUAAGGAGCUACAAGCUACAGCAAUCUUUCUCAUUGAGGUUCCACCGGGCCCAAAUGAGGCCUCUCUGGUUCAAUACAAAUACAGCCAACAAUACUCUGCACAGGAGGAAUUCACAUGAUCACAUCCGCAACGACAAGACCAUACAAAGAAAGGAAAGGAGGAGGAUACAGCCCGGCUGAUUCAUGACGGGCGCUUGUGCGGUGUUUCCAGCAGGCUCAUUUGCCGGAGAGACAUUGGAUCCUCCAGGGAUGGCACCGCCAGCCUCUCCAGGUCCUGGUGCAGGUGCUGGAGAGUACGACCCAUGGUUUACUGCAGUUGGCAGUGCCGUGAGAGGAGGAAAUUGAUGUGGUCCUGCAAUGAUGAUCGAAACAAUUUUGAGGCAUAGAAUACUAGUAAAGACUGAAAUAGGAAUUGAUGAUGCAUUGCGCCAGGUAAAUGGAACAACAGCAUAUAUGAAACGUAGACUUCAGUGUGUGGCAUACUGCCGUACAAUGAGAACAAAGUGAAAGCUUCACCAAUAUGUCUUAAUGUUAUUUGAUCAAAUUAAAGGUGAGCUUGAUGUGCUUAAUGCCUUAAUCCAUAUUUUAUCAAUGUUCCGGAAACAUGGUCUGCAUAAGCAGUGGUAUAUUUUUUACUCAUGAUCUUUUCCUUCGACAUAAGUAUGAUCAGGAGGAAAAUGCCAAGUAUCUGUAAAGCUGCUGGCUUCGCAUACUGCAAUUGUUAAUUUAGUUGAAUAACCAGCACUUGAUUUACUCCCUCCGUUUCAAAUUGUAGGUCGUUUUGACUUUUCUAGAUACAUAGAUUUUGCUAGGUAUCUAGACAUAACGUAUAAUAUCUAAGGUGCAUAGGGUUGCUUUGGUACUGCCUCAAAUUAGUAUACAAAAUUUUAAGCAAGGUACUUAGUGUUAGGCAAAUUUGGUACCAACUUAAACAAGAUUAAAGGCAAAGUACCUACAAAACAAGGGGUUCAUCUUGAAGAUUGGAGAAGGAGAUCGAACAAUUCAGAACUAUGUUUGAUUCAAAUCCAAACCAAGGGAUAGGCUAACAUACUGGGACAUCAAUAUCUUUCUUUAAAGUUGCAAUCACACAUCAGAUCCAUUCUUUAUUCUACAGUCUCUUUAAAAAAGUUGGUGCACCCUAAAAAGGUUUAUAGGUUUUGAUUGACAACAUUUCUUGAUGGAUCUCUCAAAAAGCGCAGCUCUGGACAAGUCAAUGUGAUAAAAAGGAACUUUGAACAAAGGACUAAAAUUUACUGCAGCAGCACUUCAGUAGCCAAAUAAAUAUGAAGCAGACUAGAAAUGAAGAAAACAACAAUUACCUGGGCAUGUGGGUUGAAGACCAGAGGAUAGCCUGCACAUAAAUUGUAAGAUGUCAUCACCGUUGAGUUCCACAGUUCAGAUAGAGCAAAAACAUUUGGGAUAUGUUGCUUACGAUGUUGCGAUGGUUCCAUUAACAUAGCCACCAUAAAUGCAAGACGAGACACUGCAGCCACCACUGGUGGGUUGUGCAGUCACAUUCCCAAGGAUUAGACUGCUAUUGGGGCAUUGCAUACUUGAACAUGAUGUUGUUAAUGAAGCUGGCGCUGGCGUGCAGUACAAACUGUAAGGAAAAAGAUGGGCUUAUAGUGCAAAACAGACUGCUGCAAGAAAAUUGCAUUGAACAAAAGAGAUCAUAGCAUUACUUGAGAUUCUCUGGCCCACAACUGCACUGCACACAGUUACCAGCAGUUAGUGCAUAGGUCCCAUUUGCCACAAGCAGUCCGUAGUCUGAGGCAGAGCUAGGAAUUGCUGAUGCGCAAGCUGAUCAAGGAAUAAAUAGCCGUCAUUAGAAAGGAAGUAUUGAUCAGCCGAGAGGACAGAAAAUAAGAACACUCAACUAUCAUUAUUGAAUCAAUCAGCAAAACAGAUGGGCAUCCAUGAAAGUGGAAGACCCUUCCAUCAAAAAAGAAAAGUAAAGAUCUAUCAACAGAACAUUUUGAUAAGCCCUUUCAGCUAGUGCACUGAAUACUAUAUUCACUCAAAGCAGCCCCUGCUAACAUUCAUGAACCACGGCAAAUUAAAAUGCUCGCAUCCACAGAAAAGUAAUCUUUCAAAACAUAGCAGCUGCAAAGCGUGUCUUAUCCCAAGCCCCCACCAUGGACCAGCUUUAUGCAGUAGUACUUUAAAGUCAUUUCUGCAUCCUAGGUUUGUAAAAUCCAAAGGCUGACAAUUUCUUUACAGAGCCUAAACUAACAAUGUAACAUCAAACUGCACCUUUACAGAACUACACCUUGAGGCACCCACAAAGGUUAAAGGUGUUAACCUAUUAAUAACCAAAAGCAUAGUAAUCCUGGUUGGUUAUUAGCGAACUGGACCUCAGCAUAACUUCAAACAGUAUACGAACAUUUCAAUCUAUAGUCAAGUUAAUGGGAAACUGGUGGAAUGUUGCCCAGUGAAUCGUAUAUCAGAUUCUCUUCAGAUCAGUUAAAUGAAAUUCUAUCAAAUUGCCACGACAAUUUGUUCAAAUCUCGUUGCCAAACUGCAAUCCAAUGUGAGAUUGUUUACCGGACAAUGGUAUGGCGAGGAUGUCACCGGGCGCGACAAUGGGGCUCCCCAUGGCGUUCACAUUGCUGAUAUCCGUGACGGUGGUGGCGUGGCUGGCGGCGAUGGACUGAGCGGUGUCCCCGACCCGGACGACAUAGGAGAGGUACACGGCGGGUAGGUUGUUGUCGGUGGAGUUGAAGCAGACGCAGGGGAGCGGGAUGACGAGCUUCAGGCCGGGGGCGAGCGGCGCGUCGGGGUCCUCCGCGGCGAGGCCGUUGGCGGUGCGGAUCUGGUCGGCGGACGGGAGCCCCGCGAAGACGACGUCGGCGACGUUGCCAAGCGUGUCCGAGGGGCGUGUGGCGUAGCGGACGGCGACGGACUUGCGGACGCCGUCGGCGCAGCCGCAGCGGGUCGGCACGCGGAGGGCCGUCCCCGCGGGGAGGAUGCGGUUGGCGGCGCCCGGGGAGGCGAAGUCGAGCGCGUUGGCGGCCAGCACCGCCGCCGGGUCGGCGUCGAAGAGCGCGGCCACCUCGGAGACCUUCAUGUCCGCGUACAGCGUGUACCCCAGCAGCGCCGGGCACGCGUCCGCGCCCGAGCACGGCUCGAUCGUCGUCUUCGCCGCCGCCGCCGCGAGGAUCGCCAGCAGCGCGGCCGCAAUCGCGGGCGCCGGCGCCAGCAUUUCGGGCCCGAGGGUUUAGGGUUUGGGCUUCGGUGGCAGAGGAAUGUGGGGAAGCUCAGCUCGGCUCGGCUCGGCUCGAGGUCAGGGGGGGCUCUCCACUGUGAAGUGUGAACUCGGGAGCGAACAGCGAACUGUGUGGGGGGAGUAGGUGAAGUGUGCGGAAGCGUGGGAGGGCGCGUGGGUGUGUGAACAGUCGAUGACUGGGUGGGGUUGUGCGACUCGGGCCCACGUGUCGGUGAGAUACUGGCUAGUUUGGUCAACAUGCGAGGACGGGGACACUUCUUCUCAGGGAGACGUUGCGCUUGGAAUACGUGGCCCUGUGCGGGGACGGGGGGACAAAUGUCUCGUGACCAGGUCUACGAACGCUCUAUCUGUGGGCCACACCUAGGUCCACGUGUCCUGCUUGCCCAACGGUAACGUCGCCGCCGAGCGUAACUGACCGAAUAGGCCUUGGGCCUGGAUUGGGCCAGGUUUGGAGUUUAUAUUGGGCCGGAUCCAACGGAUUCGCUCUCUUUCUUGGAGAAAAUUGCAAAAGCUCCAGUAGCCCUUUCAGUCGAUCUCGAUUUUCCGCAAUGUUGAGUUUGCGGGCGCGCGCUGCAGCGCCCCGCGGCGCGCGACGCGGAGGGUGGGUCCCACGCCACCUCGCCGUGUGCUGGCCCGCUGUGUUUUUUUUCCUUUUUUUUCUUUUCAAUUAUUUUUUCUAUACCAAAUAAAUAUUGUAUAUAUAUAUAUAUAUAUGUAAGUUAUGUGCAUAAAUUUUUUAACAACAUUAUCAAAAGUUAUGACAAAUGUUAUGCGUAUAAGUUAUGUAUAUCAUGAAAGUUGUAUUAUGAAAUUUAUCACCUAAAUACUAAAUUAUUGUUAGGGAAAAAGUUAUGCGAAAAAUUGUACACAUAAGUUCUAUACGCUAUUGAAGUGCUAAAAAAUUAUCUCAUAAAAAUUUAUAUUAUAGAGUUAUACAUCGAAGUUACGUGUAUAAGUUAUGAUAUUUAGAAAAUGGAAAGUUGUGGGAUUUAAAACUUUUAAAAAAUGGAAAGUUCGGGGAAGGGUGAGCUUGUCUGGAUUCGCUCGCCAGGAGGGCUCCUAGCGCGCGAGCGCUAAUUAGCACUGCCCAUGAUUUUCGCCCCUAUGUGUUUUACUUUUUCUUAUUUCAAUAUUUACAUGCAGAAGAGAAAUGUGCAAACUGAAAAUUAUGUUUUCCUGCCUAUCCCUAUAGGAAGCACUCUUUUCUAUGCAUUUUGGAGGAGUUUGAAAAUUAGUUAAAACGUUAUGUCUUCAUUCCUUUUGAGAAGGCCAACACGACAGAUGACGCACUCUCCCCUUCUCUGCUUUAAGGGCUCAUCUCUCUUUCCUUCGGGGUCUUUUUUUUUUUGAAAACGAUUCGUAGCCUUUUCUGUUCUGUGUUUUCCCAAUUCCCCUGUUCUCAAAUCAUGCACUCCAAACACAAACUUGCAAGACCAUGUGAAAGUUUCUAGGAUUUUUUUCCCAAGUAAGUUUUAUCAAGAUUUUGGUUUAACUCCAACCUAAUUAAAGAAAUUACCAUGUUAAAAACUUCUUUUUAAUAUGUGCAGGAUCACAGGAUCACUGACUGAUCACACCCAUGCAAGAAGAGCCAGCCAAGCCUUUUGCAUCCAGAGAAUAGUUCAUUCCCGCUCAACAGAGCUGCUCGAGUACACGCUUAAGUACCCGGCAACAGUGGCACAUUCCUCGCGAUCGCGAGAGUUACCAAAAAAGAGAGAACCUCUCGCAAUGCUAUACCACUACUGUCUGGUUCUUAGGCUCAGCAGUGCGCUAAGCAGGGGAAAACUAAACCCCCUCGAGCACAAAACACUUUUGCAAUGGUCUCAUCACUACCUCAUCGACUCUACGGGGUUCCAAAAUUAUUCACUGCUGAAUCGGUUCAGUAGCUGCAGGAACAUAGGCUGGGGAGAUGAUCAAGGGCGACCGAGGUGAUCGCGCGCCUUGGUUAACAAUGCGAGGCUGUCAGGUGAUUCAAGCUUGAGACGUCGAACAGCUCCAUGAAUCUCUGGUCAGUGAUCCUCGCUUUCGCAGCGGCAAAGCGGUGGUACUCGUCGAAGACUGAAGACAAGCACCACUUCUGCAGCUUCCUCAAGCACCCGACCAAGCAGCCAGUUCGGUGCUGCAGAUGUGAAAACAUUCAGCAGUUAGUUCAGGAUCUGGAACACAAAGUUGUUUUCUUGGGAAAACGGAUUCAAACUGUAAAUCCGAAGCUGGUCUUACCUUGCCUCUCUUGCAAUGAAUAAGCAGGGGUUGGUUUCUUGGGUCUGCAAUGAAAAUAACAAUGAAGGAGUGAGAUUUACAAUUCUGUGGUGUGCAAGAUAUUCAUUCUAUAGAAAGAUGCUGGAUGCAGUACCUAGGACAACUUUCAGCGCCUCCCGGAUUUUUUCAUCAGGGAUGGUGACGAAUGGUUCCUGCAGCAAAAGCAUUUCAGGCGUUAUCAGACCAUUCAUGAGCUGCUUCAGGACUUUGAGAUGAAACAAAAAAAUUCAUACACGCAGACUGUCAGCUCUACCAAGAAUCAUAUAGUAUGAAAGAAGUGUGACCUACAAAGUUAGGCAAUAGCAAAUUCUAAUUGCAGUUAGAACAGUCAGGUCUCCUACAACAAAAGGUUCUCUUCCAGUCACUGCCAACAGCAGUCAAUUUUCUUAUCCAUGUGCCACUAGAAGUCUAGAAGGUCAUGAAGAAAAAAAAUCAAGUCCAGAGAUUUACUGAGACACGUUGGUCGAGAAUAUACUGUCAUCCGACUAGGAUCUUGUUAGAUGACUGGACAGAAAUGCAGCAAGGUCAGUAGAGGUCAGAGAAGAUUUAAUACGACCACUUCAUUGAAAACUGACAGAUGGGUGCUCCGAAUUCCAGCUUUCGGUGGUUUCAAGCAACUGGGCCUAUAAUAAUUAACCAAAGGAAAAACGCAACUUUGCCAUGCCUACGAGGUGUCAAAGUUUUCCUCAUAAAAAAAAGUUUUUCUCGCAAACAUAAAAGGAAAAAAGGAUUUGGAAUGAUGCAAACAAAGAUUUGGAAUGAGGUCAACCAUCCUGAUGCGCGUGAGGGCUUAUUUUUAUCAAGGAGUACUUUAUGCAGCACUUCUUGCAGUUAAUGGCCUCCAAAAUAUGGGUAGACAAUAGCAAACCGUGGAUCAUAAACGAGUAUGAACGGUUUACCCAGCAAAUCAUAGCUCCUGAACAGCAAACAAACAAAGCAGCCAAUUCAUAUGACUGACAAACUACUCCCAACCAUUCAAUGAGUUGACAUAGCUUUAUUCCUGUCGUCCACUUUUGCAUCAUGUCAUGGAUGAUUUCACAGUUCAAACAAUAAAAAAUGAGAGACGAAAUAAUUAUGAAGAAUGAAAUUUUCAGAGAUUACAAGAUGGCCAAUAUUGACCAGCUUCCAAAUAAAAAUGGAUAUCCCGCACAAAUUAAUGCAUAUUUGAUCAAUUGACAUGACUUUCCACCCAUACUUUCAUCAAAAACUGGUGGGCACCACUUGACCAAAACCAGUCAGAUACCAGUUUCUACAAACUUGGUUGGCGUAUACAAGUAUAUGAUACAAUGAUGCAUUAAUAAAUACAGAAAGCAAUAACACCUCAAAAUAGCCAUAAAUACAGCUUACAAAUAUUUUUCUGCUAGUAUAUAUUCCCCUUCAAAUAAUUUUUCAUAUAUGAAAAGUUGUUGAAGUUAUACAAGUCCUACGCAUCCAAUCUGUGCAUAGGUGACAUAACAUAAGGAUAUUCUAAAUGAGGGUGAAGAUACAUUUGAAAUACAAUGACAUUUGUGAUUCAGGACAACAGAAAAAAAUGAAAAACAAUCCCACCUAUACCUACAUGUAUAUUUAUACAGACAUUUAAAAAUUUACAAGACAACGAGAUCAGAUGCAGAACAUGGGUACAGUACUUUAUUUGUAUUCUAGUAAAAAGAAUUCAAUUUAUUGUCCAUGCUUGGAUUCAUCUGGAGAAAUCUAUUUUUCUCGAAACACUUCAUCAGACCCAGGCCGGUAGUGCCAUUCCUCUCAUCAGCAACAAAACAAGAUCCUGGAUAGCGAUAUGUAUGGAUGCACAUUGUGCUACCAUUAUGCAAUGUGUCAGUGUAUCUAUUCCUAGGCAUCAUCAGCAUAGAGAAAAACUACAAGGCAGCUUUCAUGCCCCUUUCUUAUUGUGCAUUCACCAUCUUCAGACGUCAGUGCUGAAGUUACAGGCAUAUCAUUGAACUUUUCUCACAAACUCAACGCAGAUGAAUUGGUACGCUUCACAUCAAUUCAUGUAUGCUACAAAACCAUUAGCACUCAGAUAUUUGCAGUCAGUUUUGGGCCUUUGGCAGCUUAGUGACCCCAUAGUAGAUCAGGCUGCCAAACACAAAAGAAAGAUGAAUAGCUCAAGGUGUUGAAAAACAAAACGACUCAUUGUUUUCAGGUAGCAAAAAUGUGAAAGUAUUUUUCUUUUUCAAAAAUUUCAACUUCAACACCAUCAAAAGAAACAUCCCAAAAGUGGAGAAAAAAUAAGUAUUGUCAACAAGAAUAACUUGUUUGUCCCUCUGGAACCAAUGGAGCUGCCCAUAAAAAGAAGGAAGGAAAUAGAACAAACAUGAUUGUAGGAUAGGAACAUAACGUUGAGCUGCUAUACAUAGAAGAUAGACAUGGCUAUCGAAUUGAGCUGCUCACACUGAGGUUCCUAAAUGAAAAUCCUUGUAUCAAAGCAGUUGCAUGAUUUACUAUGCACAAACAGUAAAAAGAAUCACGGAAACAGGAAACUGAAAGAGGAAAAAUAAAUAAGCAGUUCACAAAAUGAAAUGAAAAAGAAAUAGAAAGAAAGGCAACACCGCGGAGAUGCUCCAAGCCAAAAGGGGUGAUGCAUACACGCUGGUAGCCUUGUAUUCACAGGAACGCAACAAUAAAAAAACAUUUGAGAAUAUAUGGAAAAGAAUUGUUUAGAAUCUACAGCACAGCUGGCUUGAUUAAUCAAAGCAAUGCUGAAAGGGACCACUACCGAUUGGCCGUGAAUUUUGAAAAUUCUCCAGAUAGGACUAGGUGCCUAGUACGUGAAGAGGAUUUUUGGACCCUUUUCUGGCAAGUCAGUUGCACUAACAAAUGAAUUUUCACUGAGUAAAGCACUGAAAUUGUCCCCAAAAUCAUCAGUGAAAGCGCAACUACUAGUACUAAAUUAUGAUGCACAAGAGGACAUGAUCAGCAACGUCGGUUCGGGGCAAACAAACUGUGCAUCAUGGAUGUUACCGAAAGCAACUGUAUUUUAAUCCGUCCACAGUAAUUCCUCGUCUCCAAGGAUUGCCAUUAACCAACAACCGCAAAGCAGCAGAAAAUUUUGAUUGAAACCAGAUGGUCAGGCUGUUAAUUGUCUCGUUACCUUGCGCCCCUCGAUUCCGAACUGGUGGAGCCUGAUCCCGUUCUUCUCGAGGAACUCCAUGUUCGUCUCCGGGUAAGGCUCCGGGCACAGGUACCUGGCGGCGCAAGAACGUUCAGAGCCGCACGAGCACGCAACAAUUUCCGCGGUAACUCGAGGAGACGGAAGAGAGCGAAAAAGGGAUCCUCACACGAUGGAGCGGAGGUUGAGGGACUUGAGGAACCGGAAGUUGGUGGUCUCCGGGAAGCCGGAGCGGAAGAUGCCUUCGUCGACCAUGGCGAAGUUGAGCGGCGGCACGAGCGCCGACUCGUCGCACGCAGCCGCCGCCGGGAGUGGCGGCGGCAAGGGGCAGAUCCUCGGGGGCUUCUCGUGCUUCCACAGCUCCAGGCCGCUCAUCUCCAUGGCCUCCUCCCUCUGCUCCGCCUCCAGGACCCUCUGCUUGGGCAUGACCUCCAGCUUCAUAGCUUCUUCGCUCGCGCGGGGCGGGGGAGGGGCCAGAGCCGUAAAACCGAGGCGUGGUGGUGGUUUUCUGUGUGUGCUGUGCUGUGUGGGAGCGCUGUGAGCGAAUCGGGAAGGCCGGUUAUUUAUAGGGGAAGAAGGCGAAAAAUAUAAGAUGAAAAGUUUUUUUUUAGAUGAGGUUGGAGGAAAAGCUGGGUAAUAAGGUUUAAGGGUUGACGAUGAUUGAUAGGGAGUGGUGAAAUUUUGGGAUAGAGAGGUGAUCAAUGGGGUUAUAUGAUUUUGGAAUUCAAUUGGAAUGGUUGGUUGAGUUAAUUGCGAUGCAUCAUUCUGGCAUUGAAUUUUUAGAGAGGCAGAGAUGAUUUGAUGUUGAAGCACUUAAUAUUAUUAGAUAUUGAAUUUUAUAAGAUGCUUUACAACGGAGAAUUAUUGGCCUAUGAGAUUUUCACGGUCUACAAUAGUGCGGUAGUUGAAAGUAUAUUUAUGGAAUUGACACCAACCAACAUUCUUGUCCCACGCAAGAGAAAUCUUCAUGUUGUUUGUUCUCGCUACCACGUCCUCAUGACACCCAAAUGACAAAGAGCAUAUCCAUGGAAGGCUGCAAAUGCAACAAUAUGUUGCUCCCACGCAAGAAUAAUUCUAAUGUCGUUUCUUCUUAAUUGCGUGUGAGAUUACCGCCACUAAGCUGAUAAAGAGCAUAUCCAUGGGAUCGGAUGGAUACCAACAAUAUACUGCCUGCAUGCAAAUACAAUUCUCAUAUUGUCUCUUCUCGCUAUCGUGUACAUGACGGGAAGGGAUCACCACGCUCUUAUGGUGAUCGAGAGCAUAUCCAUGAGAUCUGUACAAAUGACAUGUUGCCCCACGUAUAAACAAUCCUCACACAUUCUCCCCUCAGCAUUGAAAAGCAAGUGAAGAUAUGCGGCUAGAUCAUGAUGACAACUCAAUUCUUUACACGUAUACAUGCAACCACACAAAAACAUGUGCCUUCCUACGGCAACAUGUACUAUGGGGAAGAAAAAGGUUUAAGGGAUGAUGAUGAUUGAUAGGAAGUGGUUACGAGGAGAUCAAUGUGGGUUCUAUAAAUGUGAAAUUCAAUUGGAAUGGUUGGUUGAGUAAUUGGGAUGGAUCAUUUUAGGGUUGAAAGAGUUGGAGGUGAUUUAGCUUUAGAGCAUAUAACGUUAGUAAAAUUGAAUUUUGUGAGACUUUGGAAUGGACAAGCGACUAGCCCCAUAAAAGUGCAAUCCUCAUGUGCCGUCCCUUCUCAAUACAGUGUGCGUGAACCGUGAGGAAAUACGUCCUCAUGACACCGUAGUGACAAAUAGUGCAUAUACAUGAGAUGGAUACAAAUGCAACAAUAUAUUGCCCCUACGCAAGUAUAGUUGUCAUUUGUCUCUUCUUGCAACCGUGUGUGCCAAGGAAGGGAUUGCCACCAUUUUGUGGUGAUAAAGAACAUAUUUAUAGGAUCGGACGGAUACCAACAAUACAUCGCCCCCACUCAAAUACGCUCAUGCUAUCUCUUCCUGCUAUCGCGUGCGCAAGAGUGAUAGAGAGCGUAUUUGUAGAAUCUAUACUGAUGACAUGCCUUCCCCACACAAAUACAAACCUCGUACCAUCUUUUCUCCCUUUUCCGUGCGUGCGUUGGAAAGUGAGUGUGGGGGUGAUAUUCGGCUAGAUUACGAUGACACCUGAGUCCUUCACACGUAUAUGUGUGACCAUUAAAAAAAUUGUGUCUUCUUGCAGCAGCGUGCACGCACUCAUGAUACCCUAGUGAUAGAGAGCAUAUCCGGGUACAAAUGCAACAAUAUGUUGCUCCCACGUAAGUACAAUUCUCAUGUCAUCUCUUCUCAUAAUUGUGUGUGCGAUUACAGCCAUUGUGGCGAUAAAAAGCAAAUAUGGGAUUGGAUGGAUACUAGCAAUAUAUUGCCCACACUCAAAUACAAUUCUCAUAUUGUCUCUUCUCGCCAUCGUGUAUGUGACGGGAAGGGAUCACCACGCUCUUAUGGUGAUCGAGAGCAUAUUCAUGAGAUCUAUACAAAAUGACAUGUUGCCCCACACAUACACAAUCUUCGCACAUCCUCUUCUCGGUACUGGACAACAGGUGUAGGAUACCGACUGCUUUAGGCACAUGUGGCUAGAUCAUGAUGACAAGUCAUCCCUUUAUACGUAUGCACGUAACCACAUAAGAAAUGUGCCUUCCUGCAGCGACGUGCACGCGUGGAAAGAAAAAGGGUGGAAAUGAUAUGCUGCGAGAUUAGGAUGACAACUCAUCCCUUUAUAUAUAUGCGUGCAACCAUAGAAAAAAAAGUCUUAAUAUUGCUAUCGCGUGCGUAUGGGAAAAGAUGGAGCGAUAUACAGUUAGAAAAAGGUGAAGCGAUAUGCGGCUAAAUCGUGACGACAACUUAAUGCGUGUGAGAGCACGACUAAAGAAAAGUUACUGUACGAAAUACAUGUGGCUGUAACAAAAUGCAAGAUCCAAGUUCAGGGUUGUCUAUAUACUAUUGCUAUACGCACGUGUAGCAUUUGCGCGUGACGCCUUGCCCCCUUCCCCAAGCCAUCAGCGCAGGCCAAAGAGGCGCAUUACCAACCUUCGUUUUCUAACACUUGGUUACUUGUCGGUCCAAAGCUGGCGAACAUGUACACGGAUGAAUAGCCGCCCAUGGUCCCGGUCGAUCGGUCCAUAGUCUUGAGCCAUAGCCUCCUUCGCCGACCCACACCACCUACUGACGACACUGACACAGAAACAAUUUAAACAUAUCCGAUCCGAACGGAGGCUCUCCGUCCCGUGAGACGCGAUGUGGUCGGGUCAAGCGUGGCCGAUGUUUUUGACGUGCACGCCGGAGGCCGGACCGAUCGAGAUGGGUCAUGGGUGCGCUCCGCGCUGCGCCCCAAGGAGACCGGCGAGAAAACGCUGCCGCGUCAGGUCGGCUGCUAGGCGCUGCUGGCCGCCUGGUGGUGUCGUGCGACGGCGGCGCAGGCGGCGUCGCCGUCGUCGGUCCACACGGGUCGGCCGGGACGAAACCUCCCUCCCGCUUUGGCGUACGGCUGCCGGGUUGGCCGCCGCUGGCGUUGGCUUUCAAUAUUGGCCCCGUCCCUUUCUGAAUCUUGAAAAUAUUGUGACACCUUCUCGGAUCCGGCCAGCUGAAUCUCCCCAUCUUACAGGGAAGACUAGGGAACCUUCUCAGCUCCUGCGUAAGCUGCCUCAUCCAUUUAUCCCUUCGGUACUUCUCCAGGACCGCGUCCACUUGAAGGAGGUCUGUCAGGAACUCAGGACACAAACACAUCACAUAUUCGCAGAGCACGUACGUUGUGCUAGCUCCUGUUGUGUUUUUUUCCCUUCGGCGUGGCGAAUUUGCCGAGUGGGCGGCGGAGCGGUCGUGUUGCUAGAGGGACGGGCACGUACGUCCCUAGAGCCGAAAAGCGUCGUCAGCGUUUGACGACGAGCGCUCUGGGCUGCGGCGCGACUUUUUCGAAGUCUUGUUCGGCAAGGGUUUUUGACGUGUCCGUACGUGACGAAUUGACAAUGAUGGCAUAGAACGUUGACAGGCACACGCCGGGGCGGAGGGAACGGAACAGCGUUCUUGAGACCUCCUUGUUGUUCCCCUCCCCGGAAACAAACCGGAGGCCCGAUCAGAUGACGAGGUUUUUUACCAGUGAGGCCGCAGUGUCCGGAAUCUGCGGUGUUUGGGCAGCUCUGGAUUGGUGCUCUCUCAGAAAAAUCCCGUGCUCCAUUUCGAACCAAGAAAGCGUGCACGAGCACGGCUGAGAUGACGGUCUCCCUUCGUUUUCGCCCGCGCACAUCAUAUUCCUGUGCGUGCAAAUCUUGCGGUCCCGAAUGUCAGACACACUCAAACUUGGCCCGUCCGUCACGUAGUACGGUAGUAGAUCGACGGCAGCGAUGCUCUUGAGUCCUGACAGACCAGAAAUCCACCUUGGAACCAACAAUAAUCGACGUUAAGGCUUCCAUGUUCGUACGAGCAUUGGCUCCUUCGGAUAAUACGUCACUCACAAUGUCACUUCUUCUGACCGUCCAUCUACGUCUGCUUUAACCUCGCCAUCAUCAUCUUAGCCUGCUUUUGUGAAUUGUGAUCAAAACACUAAACGGCUUCUAGCUUCUGACAACGGCUCUGUCCUCUGUGAUUGCGCUGCUUGCGCACGCAACCACGUUCCCGCCCGUCCGGGGUACUGAUUCUGUCCACAAAGGCUAGCUAGCGCGCACUACACUGAUCAACUCUUUCUUUACGAGUUCUUAACAACGAUGCAAACUUUUGCGAGCCAAUAAUUGGGUGCCAUAAGCAAAGCGAUGAGAGUACCCGUGUCACGCAAAUAAUUGGUUUUACCUAAAGCCCUUACCGGAUUUGGAGAUCCCCGAGCGGACACGCAACGGCGGCGACGACGCACGGCCGCACACACACCACCAAAAGUCGUGCAUUUUCUUCGUUCCAGCAUGCAAGCUGAGUCACGAUGCAGAUUUCAAGAUUUUUUCUGUUGCCAUUUCACCUCUUCCGACGUCUCAUUGGCCGUGGCAAAGCUUGUUGUGCGUCGAUAAAACAUGCAACCCGGCGAUAGACCGAGCUGCCAAUCCUGCUUCGUUUCCGGAGAUAGAGAACCUGCAUGCAUCAGGCCCACUAAGCUUUGGCAAAGGGGGCUUCUCUAAUUUCUCUAGCCAGGUUAAAGCAUUGCUUGUCGAUCCUUUAAGAUGGUUAAAGCAUUUCUUUACUUCUUUGCCAUGCUUAAAGAGGCGAACUUGUCUAGUUCUCAUUGAGCAGUUGAUGCACCUAAGACAGGGGUGGCAAAUCACAUGUUUGAAGUGGGAUCUCAUGGUGUGGUGGUGAAAGCGGGGAUAGCGAGAAAUAGUGGCAUACAGUUGUGUUCAAGGAUGACAUAUGCAUGGUUGGAGCACAAACAACCCAGCAAGAUCUAACCAUUACAAAAUUAUUUAAUUUUUUAGUUUUAGGCGUUUGGAGUUUGAUAGGUCCUUUGUCUCUAUUAUGUGCGAAAUCCCAGCCGUCUUUGGCAGCGUGAAGCAAGCCGUUCGCAUUUCACAAUUCACAUGAGAACCUGUCCUUGAGCGUUGAGACUUGCAUUGUACCAGCACCUUGCAAUGUAUAGCAUUAUCCUUUGGACCUAACACUUUGCAUGAUGCCUCAAGAAAGCCCUACGUGGUGAGAGAAGCACAACAGUCCUGGUCGGAGAAGGUUUCGCUCGCCAUUGGUGCACAAGAUUGGAAUUGAUACUGCCAAUGCUGGGAAACUUAAUGAGAAUCCUCUUGCGUAUGAACUCUUAUCAGAUCAUCACCAUUCAACAGGAUAAACGUCCUACACAAAAUUUACUCCCUUUCCAUCUCAAACCACUAGUCGACAAAUAGUUAAAGGCGAGUACGAUGCAGCUGAAAUUUUCUAAGAAGGAAUUCGAAGGGAAAAGGAAGGCCCUCUGAUGCCGGAUGCAAUCGCUUGAUUGCCGUGUGAUCACUUGUCUACGGACGGGCCUGCCAUCAUCGUGCAGCUUUUGGAGCCGACGAGACGGUUGUGCCUUUCAUGCAUGCGAAUGAAUGCGUAUAGGAUGGCCGCAUCAUCGAUCGUGCGAGCCCAUCAUUCGUGCAUGAGCAACUUGUUCGGUCCAUGAGAUGCCAUGCCAUGAGGAGCAAAGAGACCCGAAAAGGAAGGUUCAGAUUGUCCGGCCGUACUUUUUCUUCCGGGAGAGUGAGAGGUCACCAUCAUCAACCGAAGAGAGAUGCGAGAAAUGGAUGAGCUUUACACUGGAUGGAGAGUUCAGCCAUGGAUGCUAAAGGCCUAAAGGCUAAAGGACCGGCAGGAGAUGAAGCGAAGUGGUCACGCAAUGGAGAAAAAGGGAGGGAAAAGGCAAGAGGCCGCGACAAAUCGAGCAAGAAAACGAGAAAGGCGAGAUGAUGAAUCUAUACUGAGGUGCAUGCGCACCCUAGCUAGCAAGCCAAGGCAAUGCAAAAGCUACGCCUAGGGGCUAGGCCGCUAGGGCCAAACAGCGUUUUGAAUUCCGAAAGGUUAAUUCUUCACUCGGCAAAGAAAGACACACGAAAAAUCCUCACCUUUUAUAUAUGUAUCCGCAUUUCAUUAUACAAGCAGUUCAGAUGGCAUAUCUGUUUCUCCGAGCGAUGCUCUGUUCCUUCACGGAAAAUGGAGAAAGAUCUGGCAACAGAGACGUGCCUGGCGAGUGGCGACCGUGCACCAGUCAAGCAGGUGCAGGCUAGGCAGCCGGGGCUACUAGCUACCCACGAAUGGUUGGACAGAAGAUAAAAGGAUGCUGUAGCGAGCGCCAACCUUUAAUCCCCACGGCUGUCUGCCUGUCCCUCGCAACCUUCCAAUCCCAUCCUUGUUUUUGCAACUUGCAGUGGAGCAGCAUGUGGUAGCUUUCAGCUGUUCAAUUUGGCACGAAUCGCGCGAGCCCGAAUUGGUGCCAUGUGAAUGUGAUAAUCUACACUACACAUGCACGUACCAGUGUCCGAUUCUGAUGUUUUUCGUCAUCCAUUUGUACUUUGAUGUGCAUGUUAGUGCCACAAUAUAACAGGCAACUCUCCUGCUGAUUCAUUUUUAAUGACAUAAGUCCAAGAGGGAUAUAUCAUGUGAAGACCAACUGGAUUUUGGAAGCUUGAACAUGUUUGUUUUUUUAAAAGAAAAGAAAACAAGAGGUGUAAAAUUGUAACGCUAGAAUUUGGGUGGAAUUUGAGCGAGUUCAUUUAUCAACCCUUUGAACUUUCUUCAUCCAGCAUCAUACUCAGAGGUCAGAGCAAUAGAGACCCUCCACAGGGCAGCAGGCCACUUGGGUUAGCGGGAACAGCAGGGCUAACCAAUAAUGCUAGGGCACCUAGUAGACCGGAAGGGGCAGAUCGAGUGCGUUCGCGCUAAACUAAUGGCGGGAAAGGGAGCAAGUACAGAUGCGCACAUCCUGGAGAAUAUUCCAGGGGCAGAAUCAUUGCUGCCUCUUUUUUUUUCUGGUGAGAUGGAAGAGAUGAAAAGAAAAGAAGAGUCGGUGCAGGCGUAGUACUACGUGUUUCCUUGCGAGCCGGUUUUGGAUCGAUCGAGCUUGUGGCACACUUCACCGGAAGCAAUAUGCUGCUACGUCCGUUCGAUCGAUCUGUGGCUGUAGCACACUGGCCAGUGUCUGGAUUACUCAGUGGGAUCGCAGAUAUUUAACGGCCGUCUCGAUCGAGGGAGUUGUGAACCUGCUGGUGUCGGUAUGGUAGUGGUAGAUAGCACCCCGAUAUGGUACUUCAGCGUGCGAUAUCCGACACUCCGAUACGUCUUUGUGCCCUUAAUUUUUGCAGAGAAGUAACGUAUUCAUAUCGGACCGAUAUGCUGCAUACGAUAGGUAGCAUGGCCUUGGUCGCGGACGUCGACGUCGCCGAGUUAAAAAGAAUCGGGGAUGUGAGGUGAGCGCCCGCCGCCCACGCAUGACGCAUCCUUGUCGGCGCGCGCCGGGGACCCGGGGGAGCGUGCGGCUGCGCUUCGUCCCCGCGCGCUGGCCGCUCGCUCGCGUGGCUGCCGCCUGCCGCUGCGGCCUGGCCUGAUCCCCCUGGGCCCUGGGACGGGACGCACAGCAGACACCGCGCCGCGCGCUGCCUGGAUACGUUUCGGCCUCGGAGUCGCUGGCACGGUGGGGGUGGGUCGGGGCGUGCAUGCACCGCGGGGCCGCCAGGCCGCCAGGCCGGGGCGCGACGAGGUGUGUGCGUCGCGGCAUGUGGCCGGCCAUGUGGAGAGGGGGGGAAUCAUGUGGGGGUACGGAGCUUACGUUCGUUGCCGGCUAAUCAUGGGAUCAGUGGCUCAGUGGUCUACUGAUCUCUCGCUGCUCGUGGGAAGUACGGAGCCGCGGCGGCUUGGCCCUCGCAUGGUCAGCACUUCAGUCAGUGGGCCUGCACCGGAUGCACCCAGCUACUCGAGUGGAUCGGAUCCAUGUAAGCAAAACAAGUACUAUAAGCUUUACUACGCUCACGUAGACCGAAAAGAAUCUUUCGGGUAAUUUUGCUGGCCAACACUCCUCAAUGUUGGCUCGUGGACAUCCCUCAAUCUUACCUUUGCUGGACACUUUUCAAGUUUGGAUAUUUGACUCAAUCUACGCAGCAUAUAUUUUACUGAGAGCGAGUACUGUAAUCCUUUUUUUUGGUGUGUUGCGGAGAGCUUGUUCUUCGGAUUCGGACAGCCCGCUCCGCUCCCAGUCGGAAUCAUUGCCAGUUCACAACUCUGACUCUCGGAGGUACCAAGCGGCACCAGGUUCAGGGUCGGAUCUUACAUGACUAGUGCACACUCGUCUAGUUGCAACGAGAGCUCAGAGCGGAUAUAGGCCAUCAUUCAACGGGGGUCGGGAUCGUUGUUUUCCGUGGCUGCAUUGAUUUCGCUCUCCACGACACGCGCGCUGCCUUAUCUGAUCCGCGCGCGCCUCGGGUGCCUUGAGCUGAUGCGCUGCUGACUCUGAAAGUGGUCCAGCGGAAUAGGUGAGGGGUGUUUGGAUAGUCCAGAUUAAAUUUUAUUCCUGUCACAUUUGAUAUUUGUACAUUAAUUAGGAGUAUUAAAUAUAAUUUAAUGAUAAAAAUAAUUGUAUAAAUGAGGACUAAUUCGUCAGACGAAUCUAUUAAGCCUAAUUAGCCCAUGAUUAGCACGUGUUUACUGUAGCCUCGCAUGGACUAAUCAUGAACUAAUUAGGCUUAAUAGAUUCAUCUCGCGAAUUAGUCCUCGUUUAUGCAAUUAGUUUUAUAAUUAAUUCACGUUUAAUCAUUCUAAUUGGUAUCCAAAUAUCCGAACUGACUCGACUACAAAUUAGUCCGUGGAUCCGAACAUUCAGCCUCUAGUCGCGCAUGGCUCUCUCUCGCUAGAGGAUCCUUGACUUGUCCUCAACCUCGAUACACCCCGAUUCGGAAGUAAGCUGGUCGACCUGAUCAAGCUCGUCCUACGAUGCUAGCUUUAGCUACGACCGAAAGGAUAUAUCCCGAGCACGUUACUGUCCAAUUUCAGUACGUAUACGCAGCCUGGGCUUCGCGACACUGGUCACCGGUCUACUACGCCUCGGCGCAUCAGCACGUACUACUACUACGCCAAAAAGCAGCAUGAAUCAUCAGGGAUACGGGUCGGGGAAUACGGGGGGUGCCGCCGCUUUCCGGGAGGGGAGCCGGCGGGACCGAUCGGAAUCACGCGUGCGCGGCGGAACCGGACGAGCGCCGGGGGCGGCGGGCGAAGAGGAAAAGAGCUGCCGGGACGGGCCACCGCGCGGGACGCGCACAUGGGCCGCCGUGACGCGUGAUUUUGUCGCGCACGGCGACCCACCGCCGCCGGGUCGGCGGCGGGGGCUGAGGUGGAAAGGGCCGGCCGUGCACGCACGCCGGGAGUCCCGGGGUCCCGGCGGCGCCUGUUGUUCCUAUAGCCCCCCGUACGAGUCCAUGUCGUCGGCUUGAGCAUCGAGCCCUGUGAGCCCCGUGCCGUGCUUGUGCAGUUGCGCGCUGGGUUGGGGGUACGGCGCGGUCCACGGCUGUCUGUCUCGCGCGCUCUGUGGGUCGUGCGAAUCUGUGAUCGUUCUACAGCGGCAGACUGGAUACGGAUGGAUGGCCGUGGCGGGGACGGCGCAGAGGAGCCACCUCUCCCUGGCUCGUUCCAGGCUGUUGUCCAUGGGCUUGAUUCAGCUGCGACCAGUCACCAGUCUGGAUUCUGAAUGACCGGGCGGGCUUCACAUGCAGAUUCUGUCAGUCAGGGGCGAGGGCGAUUAAGAGAAUCUUUUUGCAUUCUCACGCCAUUAUUUGAGACCUGCGCGUCGCAACGAUUCAGGAGGCUACCAAAAGAUCCCGUAGUUACGGAUCACGGUCUAGACGGCGUGUCCUGUGUUCAGUAGCGGUACGUACUAGUCCUACAUCGAGCCAGCGACUUCAGAAAUUCAGACUACACACGCUUUCAUCCGUACUCAUUGGAUACGGUGGACACGCACGCUUGAUACGUACUCAUUGCAUAUGCAUACACCUGAUACGUCCGGCUUGAAUACGACCUGCAUCCUCCAUAGUCAACAUACUGUCUCUCUCGAAAAGAGGAUCUGACAGUGUCAACUACGUGUGUGAGCCGCAAGCCGCGGUAUCGCUAUCGGUUGUGUGAAGUUCCGAACGACUGAUGAACCUUCAAAAAGGAAAAGGAAAUACGGCGUUCGUUGUCUUGAGCACUUGGGCUUUUCCUUUAACCGUUGUUCGGAGUCAAUUAGCACAGCCCACGAAAAUCAGUUUUGCCAUUUGGAAUUCUGGGCUGGACAGGCAAGGCCCAAUGUUUGUCGUGAUUAUAGCCCAUCAUCCAUCACAGGAAAAGCUAUUGUGGGCUUCGUGAAUUCAAAAGACCAUCUUGGUUUGUGUCGAUUCAAAAGGCAAAUCUUUGGUUGCUGAAUUCAAACGAUUGUCUUCCCACUUCUCAGUCAUAUAAAUACCAUAUUUUUUUUGCUUUAGCGAGUUAGAUUUGUAAAACUUUAACUAUGAACAACAUCAUAAUACAUUUAGUUCGAGAACGUUAGUUUUUUUUUAAAACACAUUAGAGGAAUUAUGCAUGACUAGGGAUAAAGGAAGGAAAGCACUCUUACAGAUUUACUAGACCUUAUAAAUAUAUGCUCAUAAAUUAAUUUAUUAGAACUGCACGUUCAAACUCCUUGAAAUGUAAAGUAUGAAGUAUGUAUGUUAGUAUUGGUGUUUAGACCCGGCAACCUAUCGAGGGGUACCGAGGUAGUGUUUUAUGCGUGGGGCUCGUCGAAGACCUGUAACUCGAAGGUGAACUCGAACACACGAUUUAGACAGGUUUGGGCAGCUAAUGUCGCGUAAUACCCUAUGUCCUGUCUGUUGGUUGGAUUGUAUUGAUUGAUCAUUUUUGGAGGGAGUUCUUGCCUCACCUUAUAUUGCCGUGGGUAGGGUUACAGGUCGAUUGUAUAGGAGUACUAGUCGGAUUCGACUAGAGAAUUCUACUCUAAUUGCUAUGAGUAGUUUUCUAAUCCUCGAUUAGUUAUUAUCCUCCACGUAGAUCACGCCAUUCUGCACCGUAGUCUCCAUGUAUGACACGUCUUGGUGGACUGUCCAAACCUCCCGGUGGGCUCAUAGAUGUAUGGCCGACAGUUAGGACGAGUAGCUUGAACUGCGAACCCAAGUUGUGAAACAUGGCAUGAUCGAGAAAAGAGGAAAAUUUCAUGUGAAAAAAUAUAGAGAAAAACAAAUUCGCAAUACAAUACUCGCCUCCAAAUUAUGAAGGAACCUAAUCCGCCUAGUAUCACUUAAGUACACAACUCAUGUAACUUGGUGGGACUCGCAUGGUUCCAUACCAUCUGCCUAUGUCGAAUCAAAACUAACGAGGCCAUCUAUGGCCUCAAGAUGCAAUUUUAGUUCCACGAGCAAAAGUAUGUAUUCAAGAAACAAGAGGAUCAUUCCCUACCCUGGAAAUUCAAAGUGAACAUGACCAUUAGAGAUUCCACCGUCGAUCUUAACCUUGAAUGUUACCAAGAGGGAGGAUGGCAUUGGUUUGGGACUUUGGGUGAACAUCAUCACUUUGUUUACUGGUCAUUUCAAUUUGUAGUUGACCAUAAACUCAUGGAGUCAUGGUUGUCAACAUGGAAUUAUAGGGUGCGUUUGCCAGAGCUCGGAGAGCAGCUUCUAGGUUGAAUCCAAGAGGAGUUUUGCCAAACAGUUUUCCUGUUAGAAGUGAUUCUAUACUGAUUCUGUGGAGUGAUUAUCUGAAAUGAACUAAGGGGCUGGGAGCUGAAAAACUAUCUUCUCCUGAUUCACUUCUCGCAGAAAAGCUCUUUAUCCAUAAAAUUUAUCAUAGAGAAUCACUUUCAACCACAAGAGUCACUUGUCUCGAAGAAUCAACUUCCAUAGAAGAAUCGGCAUUAGAUGGAACCCUACCAACCAGGCUCGUAGUAUCAAAAACUGAGCAUACUCAUCUCAAACCGUAGUUGACCGUGAACUCAUAGAAUCAUGGUUGUCAACAUGAAGCCGUAAUAUCACAAAAUGAACAUACCUCAUCAUCUUAAUUUGUAGUUGACCAUGAACUCACGCAGUUAUGGUUGUCGACAUGAAGUGUAGUAUCGCAAACUAAGCAUAUCUCAGCUGAAAAAGGUUCGUGGAACCUAUCCACUGAAUUGGAAUUUCUAUUCGGCACAGGUGCUUUGUAUUUGUUUUUAAAUUUAUUUUAGGAAUUAACUAUUACUAUUUCUUUCACAUGUAAGGAUGCAUGCCGCGAUAGAUAGCCCCAAUAUUAGUCAUUUCAUAGGGCUAAUUGUCUAAUCCAUUGAAGGGUGCAAUAUCAGUCAUUCAAAUCUUUGCUCUUAUGAGGAAAAACUAGCUAUACACGAGUCAUUUGAUAUGUUUCGCUACCAAGCCGUAGAUCUGCCGCGCCGAAAUGGUGAAAGAGCCCCACUGCAAGCCAAAGACCCGGCCACCCGAGAGCCCCUGCAUCCCGAAACCAGCCCACUCUGUUCGCGCAUCUCGGCGCUUCCGACAGGAUCGAACGGUCUAGGGAUACGGCAGCCCUAGGCCCUGGAGGCCUCGCGGAGUCGCGGGGGCGGCUCUCGCCUUCCCUCACACACGACUCGCCGCGAGGCGUUUCCCCUUUCCUCCGCGUGCACCUCGCCCCCCUCGCGAGAGAGCUCGAAAACCUAGCCGCCAAAUCCAUGGCUCGCCGCGGCCGCGACGACGACGACGACGAGGUGGAGGAGGAGGAGGACGAGGAGGAGGCCUACGACCUGGACGACGAGGAGGAGGAUGAGGAGGAAGACUACGAGGAGGAGGCGAGGCGCGGGAAGGCCUCCCGCGGCGGCGGCGGCGGCAAGGCCGGCGGCGGCGGGCGGAAGCGGUCGCGCGAGGACAACUUCAUCGACGACUCGGCCAUCGAGGACGAGGAUGAGGAUGAUGAGGACGACGACGGCGGCGCGAGGCCGAGGAAGAAGGGAGGCCGCGGGGUGCGAGGGUUCUUCGAUGAGGAGGCCCAGGUUGACGAGGACGAGGAGGAGGAGGACGAAGGCGAGGGCGAGGACGGUGAGUGGUCGCUCUCUUUGAUCGCGUCGUGAUGCUAUGUUUGGGGCUUCGGUGGUAUUUCUGCAGUCUCUGUUGAGAUCUGAUCCUAAUUUGGUCGAUUUUGAGAACUGGAUUUGGGGAUUAAGUGAGAAAGUAGCAGUUUUUAUGAUACUUUAUGCUCUAGGCAGGAUCCACUCCUUCUAUUUUGUUUUCAUGACUAUAGUAAGUGCAGGUUGGCGAGAAACUUAGGUUUGUAGCAGCUGUGUACCUAAAAACAGCUAAUUUUGAUGUUUGCUUCUACUCCAGAUCUUGAUAUGGAGCUUAGUCAUGUUUAGGUACAGUGAUAGAGAUGCACCUGGGCGAUGGCGUUAAGUAAAAUACUAGUAUUUUCUGGAUCAAAAAGCUUGCUGAACUACCCUCCCGAUUUGUUUCUGGAACUUGUUAGGUGAUACUUUGCUACGUUGAGCAUUUUCAAGCUUAAAUUGAUCUGGUUACAUUGGUUCUCUUUUAUGUAAGCUGACAGUGAUGGUUGUUUGGCCGGACCUGAUUUUUUUGGGGUAUAUGGAACCUACCUAGUUGAAAUUGUGGUAUUGGGGCAAACUUGAUGCUUGGGCCUGAACUUGCAUUGCAGUUGGAGACUUGGAAUUUAUUCUGUCUGCUGAUUUCAGGCGUGCAAAGUUGCUUGUGAGAACAAACCCAUGAGCCUGCUCUGUUGGAUAUGCUACUUGAAGGGACUGGAAAUAGUCAGUUCUCAGAGCUAUAUUUGCACUCUACCAAACCUUACAUACAACUAAACCUUAGUAUUGUGAAUUCAUUUUGUUCUUUUGAAUGUUGGAUAAGAUGCUUGAAGCUUUAUGAAGCCUUGCCAUCAAAUUGAAAAUCUAUUCAUAAAUUACAUCUCAGUUCAAAUGGUAUAGUCCUAUGCAUCAGGAAAAAACUUAUGCCCUCUAGGCCGAAACAUUGUUUUAGAAUCAAACCAAAAUUAUUUUCCAUAAUCUACUGGGGUGCUUUUGUCCAUUUGCACAUUCAAACUAUAGAUUUUUAGAGGAUUUAUUUGAAACCCUACAAAUAUUGAGAUCGGCUACAUGCUAUCAUCCAUUCUUGCAUUUAAUCUCACAAACAUCUUCCUCCCUUGAUACUGAAAAUAAUGAAUUGGAAAAUGACAUCUAUGAGCUGAGAUCAGAAGAUCAAGCGAGAGUUACUAAUGUUUGGCGUCCACUGUUUUGCUACUGAAUACUAUGUAGUACUAGUUACGGAAAGAAAUGAAGCACGGGCCUGGUGGAACAUACUAUACAGAUGAUGGUUGUGGAUCUCUUCGUGGUAGAGCAAAAUAGACAUCAAUCUGGUGAUACAUGGUGAUGGCUAUUACUGCUAGGAUUGCGAGCAACAGUGUUAAUUUUGUUACAUUUUUUUAUUACAUUGCCUUUGGAAUCCACACAACUGUUUAAAUGUUUAAAUUGAGUUAGUUCUAUGCUUAUUGUUGUAGUACUAAGGUACAUAAGCCUGUUCAUAUGUCUAAUGCUCUUACUCCUUUGCCUUUUAGAUUUUAUCAAUGAUGCUGGGGCCGAUAUUCCUGACGAGGAUGUUGUUAGGGUCGCAAGACGUCAUUCUAUGCCUAUGAGGGAUGAAGAUGAGGACAUUGAUGAGAUUGAGAGACAAGUACGGGAGAGAUAUGCAAGAUCCACUCAUAUUGAGUAUGGUGAAGAAGCUGCAGAAGUGGAACAGCAAGCUUUAUUGCCCUCUGUGAAGGAUCCUAAACUAUGGAUGGUCAAAUGUGCGGUAUGUGCAAGGUUUUAUCUUAUUAAACUGCCUCGAUGUUUAUUGUUUGCCCUGCUUAAACUCUACUAAUCCAUGAUUAUGACUUCAGAUUGGACAUGAGAGAGAGACCGCGAUUUGUCUGAUGCAAAAGUACAUUGAUAGGUCAGAUCUUCAGAUAAAGUCUGUCGUGGCGUUGGAUCAUCUAAAAAAUUAUAUUUAUGUUGAAGCAGAAAAGGAAGCCCAUGUCAAAGAGGUAAGCAUAUGCUCGGCAUUUUACUUCGUCUAGUCUCAUUUCCCCCACUAAACUCACUAAACUUGGUUUAUGCAGGCUUGUAAAGGUCUACGAAAUAUUUAUGCUUCAGCAAAAAUAACAUUAGUUCCAAUAAAAGAAAUGGCAGAUGUCCUCUCUGUUGAGAGCAAAUCUGUUGAUCUUUCACGGGAUUCUUGGGUCCGAAUGAAGUUGGGCAUAUACAAAGGUGACCUUGCUAAGGUAUUACUGCAACACUUCUCUUAUAAAUAUUAUAUAUCAAUUUUUCUGUGGCGGAACCAGGAUUGGUGCUAAGCUAAUUAACCUCACUUAACCCAUGUUAUAAUUAGGGUCAAGAAACUAGAAGUUAGGUCCUGUUUGGCAUGACUCCAACUCCAAACUCCAGGCCGGAGUUGAGCGGAGCCAGCCAAACACCCCAACUCCACCAUUUUUUGGAGCAGCCUAGCCCCAGUUCAUUUUGGUGGAGCACCUCUUUUGCGACUCCAACUCCCUCAAAUAUGAACCUACUCGUGGAGUUCGGGGGUAAUUACCUGCCACUGCCACCGGUUACACAUGUACCGCUUCCUUCUAUUUUUUUUCCUCCCAUCCGACGCUCUCUCAUCUCCCCCUCCCGAACGGCUGAACCACUCAGCCCCGCUUCUUUCUUCUCCCGUCACGCUUGGGACAAGGGCGCCACCGCCACUUGACUUCACCGCCCGGCCCCCAGUCGCCCUCUGCCGGACCGAAGCCCUAGUUGCCGCAGCCCGUCACGUGCCGCCGCAGGCCUGGUGGCCGCAGCUCCGUCUCGCGCGCGUCCCGGUCCCGCGCGGCCGCGGCCCCAUCACGUGCCGCCGCAGGCCCGGCAGCCACGGCCCCGUCCCAUGCGCGCGUCUUCCCGUCCUGCGCGUCGUGUUUGUGUGUGACCCGACAGCCGCCUCCCUCUCCUUCCCACCGGGCGAGCAUCUGCACAUGGUGGCCGUCCAGGACAAGGUGCUGCUCCUGGAAGACCCGGCCGUGAAGGAGAGAAGCUCUGGUCAACCACCUUGGCGCAGCUCAUGGGAGUGCUGAGUAAAGAUUGUUUUCUCUUUGAGUUUGUUUGCAUGAGCGACUGAGCAAAGAUUCCAGCUCGGUCUAACUGCAAUGUUCAGAGCCUUCUGAGUUUGAGUGCGACGGGAGGCUCCUCCCAAGGAGGAAGAAGGUAAUCUCGGGAAAAAAAGAAAGAAAAAAAAAUAGAGAUAGAGGAUGACAGAUGGGACCAUGAGUGGAGGUAAUAAUGGCAAUCCACCUAGAAAACCCUCUUUUCUAGAGCUGGAACACCCUCCUCGCCAAACACCCCCAUCCAUUCUGCUCCAACUCCACACAGAGCUAGCUCCAGCUGAAGUUUGGAGUUGGAGCAGAAAAUGGUGGAGCCAUGCCAAACAGGGCCUUAAUCUGGUUUCUACUGCUCACAUACUUGUCCAUCUAUUGUUAACUGGCUCAGCACCCUGUCAUUCUUCAAAUAUUGAUGUGAUCAUAUUCUUCAGGUUGUUGAUGUUGACAAUGUACGCCAAAGAGUAGAUGUAAAGCUGAUCCCUAGAAUAGAUCUACAAGCUCUGGCUAGUAAACUGGUAAGUUCAAACCAUGUUUCUCACAAACUCACACUUUUAUUUGUUAUUACUUCUUAUCUAGCUUACUUGCGUAUAAAUUGAAGAGUGGAGUUAAUCUAUUUGUCUCAGUUUUAUGCUCUUAGGAAUGGAGCUAAUCUACCCAUAUCAAUUUUAUGCUCUCCUGUUAUGUACUUACGUUAACAAGUAACUGCUUAAAUGCAUAUUCAAAAUUGGGAUAUCAGGUCCACGGUUUCAUAUGCGACAUAAGAGACUAAAUUACAAACAAUAUCUAUAUAUUCCUGUUCUAUGUUUGUGUUCUAUGUGUUUUUUUAUUUCUCCUGGUCAUGUUUUUUCUAAAGCCAAAAAAAAUUGUGAUCUAUGAGCUAUACUUAUUUGAAGUAAUAUUCUGAUUAUCAUGAUUGGUUGUUAAUUUGCUUGCUUUUGAUUGAGCUGUUCGGUUAAUUAGCUCAUUGGGGUUCCCUUUCAUGAUGGACAAUUUUUAUCUCAGGAAGGGAGAGAGGCUGUAAAGAAGAAAGCAUUUGUCCCACCACCUCGAUUCUUCAAUAUCGAUGAGGCGAGGUGACAUUUUUUCUCCUUCAGAAUUGAGCUAAUUGUUUCUGUUAUAGUUUGCUAAUUCCAUGCAAACAGGGAGAUGCACAUUCGAGUGGAACGGAGGCGGGAUAAAGAAUCUGGGGAGUACUUUGAGUGGGUUGAUAAUCUGAAGUUCAAAGAUGGUUUCUUGUACAAAUCAGUCUCCACUAAAUCAAUCCACACAAAUAAUAUUCAGCCGACAUUCGAUGAACUUGAGAAAUUUAGGAAGCCUGGUGAUGACAUGAAUGGCGACGUGGCUAGCUUGUCCACUCUUUUUGCAAACAGGAAAAAAGGACACUUCAUGAAGGGUGAUGCCGUCAUAGUUAUUAAAGGCGAUUUGAAAAAUCUGGAGGGGUGGGUUGAGAAAGUAGAGGAUGAAACAGUUCACAUCAGGCCAAAAAUAUCUGAUCUUCCGGUAAUUAAUUGCAAUUUCAGCUCUUUAUUUCUAUUCUAUUUCUAUUCUAUGAUUUUUUUGGUGGACUAAUUUUGUCUGUUGUUAAUGCGUUUCUUGUUACUGCAGAAAACAUUAGCCUUCAACGAGAAGGAGCUUUGCAAAUAUUUCAAACCUGGUGACCAUGUCAAGGUGAUCUCAGGUGUUCAAGAAGGAGCUACUGGCAUGGUUGUUAAAGUGGAAGGACAUGUCUUGAUCAUUUUGUCUGACACAACUAAAGAACAUGUGAGCAAUUGUUGUACCGAUAUUACGAAGUAGAAAUAUUUAAGCUGAUCUAAUUGAGAUUAUUUAGUCUUAACUGUGCUAUUGUUGGAUGAUACAGAUCCGCGUGUUUGCCGAUCAUGUUGUCGAAAGCUCUGAAAUUACCACAGGAAUUACCAGAAUUGGUGAUUAUGAACUGCAUGAUCUUGUCCUUUUGGAGUAAGUUUAUCCUUCUAGUGAACAAUAGUCAUAGUUUGUCUAUUGUGAUUACUUACCUGUGUUCCUCAUAAUCUAUUUUCAGCAAUUUGUCAUUUGGGGUAAUUAUAAGGGUGGAAGCUGAAGCAUUUCAGGUAAUUAGAUUAUUCUAGUAAUGAAGGAUGAUUGUACUUCACACUAUAUUUACCAAGUUGUAUAUUUAGGUUCUGAAAGGAGUGCCAGAUAGACCUGAAGUUGUACUUGUGAAAUUAAGAGAAAUAAAAAGCAAAAUUGAUCGGCGUGCUUCAGCGAAAGAUAGGUCAAAUAAUAUUAUCUCAGCAAAGGAUGUUGUAAGGGUUGUUGAAGGAGCAUGCAAGGUGUGUCCUAGUUCUGUUAUGUUAGUAUUUUAGUUGGUUGUUUUGACUCCUGUUCUGUUACCUUUGUUAUAUCUACAUCCCUAUUUUGUCAAAUUAGGGGAAGCAAGGACCUGUGGAACACAUACACAAGGGGAUACUGUUUAUCUAUGACAGGCAUCACCUUGAACAUGCAGGCUUUAUUUGUGCAAAAGCACAAUCUUGCCUUCUUGUUGGUGGAUCGACUGGUGGCCGUCGAGGAAAUGUUCGUGCUGAACCCUUUUAAUAACCUUGGUCAGCUAUGCUUAAGAAUUUGUCUCACUGUUUAUUUUAUUUAUGCAGGGCAUGGACACAGCAGAUGCACGGCUUGGUGCUUUGAGGUCUCCAGCAAGCAUUUUGCAAUCUCCAGGAAGACUGCCCCCAAGAGGACCUCACAUGAAUUGUAUGAUCUUCUUUUGAUUCUUUCAGUUUCUAACUCCCCAGGCUUAUUAAUUCUACAUUUCUUGAAGCAAGGUCAGUCGCUUUGUGUAGCUGUAGAUUAUCUACUAAUAUAACCUUUCCAUCCAAUGCAGUUGGUGGAAGGUUUGGAGGUGGUCGUGGUGGUAGAGGGCAUGAUGCCUUGGUGGGUAAAUGUAUCAAAAUUAAGUCUGGUCCUUACAAGGGGUACCGCGGCCGUGUCAAAGAGGUGACUGGUGCACUUGUACGUGUGGAACUUGAUUCGUUGAUGAAGAUUGUCACAGGUGAAUCCUCAUACUGUUAUCUGUGUCCCGUGAUUCUCACAUUUUGAAGGCUAAUAUGACUACAAAUACACAGUUAAAAGAGAUGAUAUUGCUGACACACCUACUGUUGCGACACCAUUCCGGUAAUAUUUUCUCCACUUGUUAGUUCAAUUUUGCUUUUUGAUCUAUUUGUUAAUUGGUGUAUUAUCAUAUCAUCAGUGAACCUCGAUAUUCAUUGGGUGGUGAAACACCGAUGCACCCGUCUCGAACACCACACCAUGCUUAUCAGACUCCAAUGCGGGACCCUGGAGGUUUGUUUUCCUUUUGUCCUGAUAUUUCAAUCUGUUCCCAACUUCCCAUAGAUCAAAGGAUAUUUCUUAUAUCUGAUUUUUAGUUGUGUUUGAGUCUUUCCCCAUAUUGCAAGUUGCUGUCCUACGAUUGGUACAUUUGUUUGCUUAUGUCUAAUUUUUUGGAAGACUGGCAUUUUUUAAAAGGCAAGAAAAUUCUUAUUGUCCUUUGUCCGCAGGCUGUGUGUUUGCAUCCCUUUUAUUUGUUGACAUGAACAAAGGAGCCUAAGCUAUUAUCUCAAACAAGUGUUCCCAACUUAGUAAACUUGCAUUGAGAAUCUAUAGACGCUUUUUGUACUAUCCAUUCAGUAUUUGGCAUUCAUUUCAUGUGUUCCUGUAAUAAUUUGCCUGUUCAUUGCUACAGCAACACCAAUACACGAUGGGAUGCGGACUCCUAUGCGUAGUCGAGCCUGGGCUCCUAUGAGUCCUCCGAGGUUGUGAAUUAUUCCACAAUGAUAUUUCUGAUCCAUCUACAUAUCUUGGAACUAGUGUUGAAUAAAUAGUUUCAGGGUGGGUCUGUUUGGGAUGCAUGAAAGAGAAUUUCUUGGUUCCAAACAGCAGUUCACUGUUUACUUUUGUAUUAUGACUUAAAAAUAACCAUCUAUAUGUGAUUUUUGAUCAUUGCUGUGUUGGUGUUUUACCAGGGAUAAUUGGGAAGAUGGAAAUCCUGCUACUUGGGGCAGCAGUCCAGCCUACCAGGUUAGAUUUCGCCAAUCUAGUCCUAUUCCUUCAUUCCUUGUAUGUUUUUGAUAACUUGUUUCGUGCAUAUAUGUAACUCCCAUGUUUUUUUUCAAAAUUUUCAGCCAGGAACUCCACCAGCUCGGCCAUACGAAGCCCCUACACCAGGAUCAGGGUGGGCAAACACUCCAGGAGUUAGUUUCAAUGAUGCUCCAACUCCUAGAGAGAACUAUGGUAUAGAAAUUUAUUCAAUUGGUUAUUUAAUGUACUAUUAUGCAGUGUUUAUUAUGUGUUUUGUGGAUGGUUGUAUUCUGACGAUGUGUUUUCAUUCUGACCUCCUAGCAAAUGCUCCGAGUCCAUACGUGCCUUCCACACCUGUUGGUCAACCGAUGACUCCAAAUUCUGCUGCGUAUCUUCCGGGUACUCCUGGUGGUCAGCCAAUGACUCCAGGCAAUGUGGGAAUGGAUAUAAUGUCCCCCAUAAUAGGUGCGCUGUUGUGAUGUCACUAUGUUUUUGCACCUGUAAUGUGCUGCCUUGUUUGCAUAGGUACAUAUCUAAUCAUGUGCUGAAAUGCCUGCAGGUGGUGAGGGUGAAGGUACAUGGCUGUUGCCAGAUGUUUUGGUCAAUGUGUUGAGGGGAGGCGACGAUGGUCCCGGUGUCGUCAGGGAAGUACUUGGGGUAUGUGUUGCACACCGCAUGGCUGGACUGCUAAAUUCUGUUGUGUUCUGUUUGUCUCGCAUCACGCUUACAUGCAUUUGAACGUACAGGACGGAUCUUGCCGAGUUGCACUCGGGUCGUCAGGCAACGGCGACAUGGUGACUGUCCUUCCGAACGAGCUCGAGGUCAUCAGGCCAAAGAAGAGCGACAGGAUCAAGAUACUGAAUGGCAAUUUCCGCGGGUACACAGGAAAACUCAUAGGCAUAGAUGGUUCUGACGGAAUAGUGAAGCUGGACGACACAUACGAAGUUAAGAUAUUAGAUAUGGUGAUUUUGGCCAAACUGGCGACUUGAAAUGUAUGUAUAUUUUGUAACGUGUCCAUCAUAUAACAUAAUGUUGUAACGAUGCCCUUGUUCGCAAUAAAACUUUUUGUGGCUUAUAUUUCCGUAGUAUUAUUCCAGACUCUGUCACCUCAUCUCGUGGCCUUUUGCCAAAAUUCCUGCUUACCGGUUUCGUUGAUUUGGGGUUUCAGCCUUUGAGGCUCCCAGCUCUGACACGUGAUAGCUAAUAGCUAUCAUGAUUCAUCACUUACGGCAUUACUGGAAUUUGUGAUCAUGAUCUAAUGGUCAUUGCCACCUGCAAAAUUUACACCGGCUUGUCACGUCAUGUGUCUAUUAUUGUUGCACAUGCCAGACGGGGUUUAUAACUUGUGGCAAAGAAAUUAAGCAUCAUGGUUUGCAAAUACCGAACUGCAUUUCUCAUAGCGUUCUUCUUUACUCGAGGUUUCGUAACUUCUGUAUCCAACCAAUCUUUACACAAGAAUGAAAUCUCACUAUCCCCUUCAGUCGCAUGACGCAUCACGACCAGUAAGCAGAGUGUCGCUAAACAGCUGAACAAAAUACGGAGUACGAGUGGUGAAAAGCCGUGACAUCGCGGCCUGAUCCUGUGCUCCGUUUCUGCUACUCGGUGGUGGUUCUAGUAAUUCUUCGUCGGAGUCUCCCCGACGACGUCCUGCCUGCACUGCUGGAACACCUGCAGGAUGUUGCGGUAGGGGCUCCUGGACGACGGCGAGGCGGUGCCGGCGCGGUGGCGCUUGCUGCUCGACGGCCGCGAGUCCGGGCUCACCACUCCCUCCGCCUCCGCGUCCUCCCGCGGCGGCCGCUCCGCCUCCGCCGCGUCCUUACGCAGGGUCUCCAGGAACGACUCCUUCAGCGCCCCGUCGAUCUGAUCAAAUCAAUCAGGCGAAAACAACGUUUCAGCAUCAGGUGCCGCGUCGGAUUUGAAUCUCAGAGAAGGGUGGGUGGGGGGGUCGCUCACCGUGAGAGGGCAGAAAUCCGGCAUGGGCCACGCGACGGGCCCGCCGUCGUCGGGAGGCUCCGGCAGGGGCUCCACGGGCGCCAUCUCCGCCUCCUCCUCGCCCUUGCCCCCGCCGUCCACUCUCGCCCCAUCGACGCCGCCGCCGCCGCCGCCGCCGCCGUCCUCGUCCGCCGCCGCCUCGACCUUAUCCUGCGCCCGGAAACAAACCCCACCCAUGGUCAGCACCUCCUGCUGGGAACCGCGACCCGAUCCGGCGCGCACGUGGGGACGACGGACGGGAAGUGGGAAGAGGGCGGGAGGCCAAGAGAUCGAUUCCGAGUAGUACCAUGAAGCUCGCGCCGGCCUCCACCAUCCGGUUUCCCCUCUCCCGCCUCGCCUCCGACUCCGAGACCGUCCCAGCGCCUCGCCUCCGCUUUCCGAUCGGCGCUCGAAGAGGGGAAUCUUCUCGGCUGCUCUCCGCGAAAUAACGCGGUUGAGUUUGAAAUGGGGGAAGGCGAGGCGAGAGCGUAACGGCCGCGAUUGAGUUUAUGGGAGCAGAGGAAAUCGGGGGAUCUGAGACUGGGAGGAGGAGAGGAGGGGAUUUGGGGGAAAAAGGCAACGGCUACUUUUUGGGCCGUGGCAGGAGCAGCAGCCCGCUUGCGGGUUUGUCGAGGUGGAUCCGAUUUGGGUGGGGGCCAGGUGAGAGGGGAUCAGUGAAAAGGUGAGGCACGGAGCCAUCUGUGUGCCCAUCUUGUUCUUCAGCGACUCCGCGCGGUGGCAGCAGUGCUUCGCAUCAUUCCUUGGAAAUUGGAAUCCUCCAAAAAAAAAAGUAAUGGUACUAUUAUUGCAUGUAGGACAGUUGAAUCCUCCAACAGCGUUUGCUCAUACACGAUCAUUUUAUCCAAGCAAUAUUGGUCGUACUUGAUAGAUUUGACCUCUAAAUUUCAACUACACGUCUUCAUUCGUGUACCUUUUUUUUUGGUGAAACCAAAGUUUGCGCAAGAGCCACCUACUUUGACAAAUCGUCAAUCUUUUUACCUCACCUCUGGGAAAUGAGCCAACAUUUUGUCCAUCACACACGUGCGGACGUGCCCGUGAAGAAGCCGGUCUACCCACACACUACACGCAAACCGGCUUGUAUAUCAAGCUUGGUGGCCCGAGAAUACAUACCAGGCUUUUCGAAAAAGAAUACAUGCCGGGCCUCGAAUGUUUGUGGGCUCUCGUACACUCGAGGCCUCGUCGUGAAUCCAGUAGUGUGCGGCAUCGCUCGCUGUCCACACGGGCCCGUUCACGUAACGACGGCCGUCCAGUCCGACCGAUCGCUGUGAGGUUUUCAUCCCGCUAGGCCCACCACAGAGGAGGGACCGCCCGCACAGCGCAGCAAAGGAGGACUGAGGACGGGGGCGUGGGCCCCGCUCGAUUGAAUCCCCUCUCCCGCCGGCCAGGGCCCACUAAAUCUGAUGAGCCGCGGGGGCCCAGUGGCUCGCGCGGGGGGGCUGGGUGGGUAGCUAGCUGGGCUGGCUGUACUCCAGGCCCAGGCGCUUCCGUGGCACCUGCGCCCUGGACGGCCAGCGCCACGUAAGCUGGUCCAGACAGUGGUGCCUAGUACUGGCACUGAGAGUGUGCGACGAAAUUCAACGGGUGGAGCUCGACUGGAGUCUGGAGGUUUCCUGUUGACUUUGCAUUGCAUGACUGUUGUGCAAAAGACUUUUUUUUAUAUAAAAACUGUUGCUGUGAGUGACCUAGAGUCCUAGAGAGUCUACUCUCUGAAACCUGAAGCACGAAACGUUAGCAAACGCCUAGCUCCGUAGGGCGCCCGCAAUGGUACAGCAUGCUUGCUCUCCACAAAAGGUGUACACCUCAUCUAUAGAUGGUACAGUAGAUAAGUCAUCCAACAGUCUCUCUUUUGGCACGUCAGAAUAUUUCAUCCUUCCAAUCGAUCCCUCUCUUCCUCCGCCUGACGUCUAAUGCAGCGCCCCCCUACCUGACCGACGCCGACCUCCUCCACCCCAUCCGCGCUGCCCACUCCGCCACCCCCACCUCAUCAUCUCCGGUGGCGGCAGGGCAGCAGUGACGACCAAGCUCCACGCCGUCCAUGGCCGGCGACCGUGCGCCACCCCCUCCCCUCCCUCGCUACUGCGCCUUGACCACGGCGGCUGUGCUCCAGCCCAUCGCCGUCCCCUCCGCGGUUGGAGCCUCAGCAUCAGCGCCUCCACCCAGACCCAUCUUCCCAGUCAAGCGUCGCUGCCACGUACGCGUCAGAUGCCAACGAUAGAUGAGGAAGCGGUGGCCCACGGUGAUGGCGCUGGCCACUCCGCCUCGUCGUGCCGGUGGCCGAGCUCCUUUCUCGCGCGUGGCUCAAGGAAGCGGCGGUCCGCUCCCUUCGUCGGUGAAGGGUGAGCAGGCGGUGCCGAGGCUCAGUCCAAUCGGUCCGCUCGCAACUGCGGCGGCGGUGGCGCGCUUUCCUCCGCCUUGCCAUGUCCGCGGCGGCGGCCAGAGCUCCACCCGCCCGCGAGCGUCUCGCUCCCGCGACUCACCAGGCAUGGGAAAACCGAGGCCUACUGGCGUGGAUUUGCGUGCUAUCGAGAGUUGCUGCGUCUAGCGACAUUUUUCCUCUCUCCUCUUCUCUCUCCGACGUGGCCUGCUAUCGACAUUUCCUAACGGCCCGUUGCGGGUGCCCUUAGCUACCCUGUCUGUAACGAUGACCUACUGGAGUUCUGGACAAGCACUCAGCCUGUCACUGAAGAAGUGAAGAACACGUUAGCAUACAGUCCAGUCCAGUCCACUCCACUCCAGCCAUUUCCUUGCUCCCUUUUGCAAGCGUAUCCAGUCCACUGCUCCCAAUCAGCAAGCCUGUCACUGCAAUCCAUCUCCCGGGCUACAUGCCAAGCUACCUUUCACCACUGCCGCCAGGACCAAGCGCCGCGGCUCGCAAGCUCGCUACAGCUCGAGGGGCAAAGCGCGCGGCGCGCGUCCGCUUCGGCAAUGCGGACAAGCGUCAUUUCCCCCACCGGCCGCGCGGGCUUGCCGAACCGAGCAUGGGUGCCGGAGGUACAGGGGGAUGGGCAGCCGGAAGCGGCAAGGAUUCCGACCCCCCUUCGCCUCCGCCCUCCCCCCCAUCCCCGCGCGCCGCGAGACCCCACCACACGUCCAAAUCCGCUGCCCCAAAACGGCCAAUCGGUGACGGCCACGUCUCGCCUCGCCGGGCCGGCCGGCGUCGUGUUGGACCGUGUCUGGCUGCAAGCGACCCGGGCGUGAUGGCCACAGGCCAGCCAGCCAGCCGAGGGGGAAAUCUUGACCCGUCGUCGUUGUCUCGUUGCAGUGGUUUACCUGGGUAGUAGUUGUAUCCUCGCUCUGCUGCUUGCAGGAGCCGACUUGGCUGUUGUUGUCGAGAGGAUGGGGGGGUGCAUGGACUAACUCGAGGCUGCACGGUUGGGCGCGGUCAAUGCUUUGUGCCAAUUUGGUGCAUGCUCAUACGUUGUACCGUUCCUUGUCUUGUGAUCCGAGUUCAGACUGUAAGCUAGUUCAUAACAGCACGAGACCGGCGGCUUCUAACCCAUUUGCAGCUGCACGAGAAUAACAAUCGACGCAUACCUCUUUUGCGUGGGGUCUCUUGUAAUGUAAUACUCCAACCGACUUGAGUUUGAUCUAAGUCAGACUAUUCUAAUUUGAUUAGGUUUAUAGAGAAGAUGAUUAGUAUUUACCACAUCAAAAAAAUAAACCGUAAAAUAUAUUUCAUGAUGGAUUUAAUUACACUCAUUUGAUAUCAUAUAUAUUAUUGUUCUUCUCUACAAAUAUUGUCAGUUUGACUUAGGACGAACUUGAAAUCCCUAAUAUUUUAGGACUAAGGCAGUAGAAUUUUGUCUUUGUGCCUCCAUGUUUUUUUCUCAACAGUUGUAUUACUAUGUGCCAAAUCUAAAUAUGCUUUGUUCCUCAUUUUAUUUUCCAUUUCUUGAUGCCUUUAACAACACUGGCUAUAUUUUAUAUUUUGUUAAAACAAUACACACACACACAAGAAAUGAGCUUUUAUAACUUUUUUUUAAAGAAAUACUUACGGACCCAUUGUUAAAGUUUGUACCAUUUUGGCCGGGUAUGGUUUCAAGUAGACCUAAGAAUUUUAGACCUGUCCCGUCGGGGUUGUGCCCACCCACACCUGAUGUAGGGACGAGCUUGGUCCAAGGAAACUAAAAGUUUAAUUUUGGUGCGAUCCAAACCUUGCUCGACAAUUUAAUUUAGUUAUUUUUCAACUAAAAAGAGUGGAAAGUCCGAGCCAGACCUGGCCCGGCUCAAAAAAUCAGAUCGAAAUUCCCAUGGUAUGAAUUUUAGGCUUGAGAUUUUCUAGGCUCGGCUCGACAAAUGCCCAUGUCUAGUUCCAAGCACAAACAUUGUUUGCAAUAUGUUAUAGAAGCUGCAUGAAUUAUUUAAUUUGCCUUUUAAGCCAAUACCAUACCUAAUUAUAGCAUUUCUUGCAAAGUAUAACAUGUGAACUUAUUUUUUAAAAGCAAUACGGCUAGUUAUGAAUUAGAUUUAUUUAUUUCACUACUUGCAUAACUUAAAGCAUGCAUAUAAAUUUUGUUCUGACAUAGAUUUAAUUUUAAAACAUGUUUCGGAGUAACUUAUGUGCUCAUACACUAAAUCAACCAAUAUGUUCUUUGACAUACAUAUGAAAAUGGCAAGCAUCCAUUAUGUGUGAAUAAUAGAAUGCCUCACUUCCUGCUGGUAAAUUUAUUUAAUUGUUAAUAACUUACACAUUGGAAAAUCAAUCACUAUUCACAUGGAGUUAAGAAACAUGAAAUAGGAGUAAUGGAUUGUAUUAGAUAAAAGGAGAAAAGCGCUGCCGAAAAUCCUACUCCUAUUUGCUUUUGUUCAGUGAUCAGACCUUUAUAGCACAAGCUUGAGGUACCGAAUUUCUAUGAGAAAUAAUCUUAAAUGGCAAUACCUCAAAUGUUAAAAAACAAUUUAGGAAAUUUUACAUCCAUGAUCGGUUAAUUUGAGUGUAUAAAUGGAAAAGAUGGAUCCAAUUUAGGACUUUAGCUUGAUCUUGAUGGAUGAUUGUUUUAGAAUACAACAGACAUGUAUCAAACCUACUUGAUUUUCCUAAUACUUCAAAUCAAAAUAAGAUUCAGAGUUCAAUGUGGAUAAAUAUGGGCUAGUCUAUAACAAUCAAAUUUAUUAACUAUAUUGUGAAACAAGAAGGAUACAUAUUGAUACAUUCUAUCGUCAUGCCUAGCCAUUUUCCCAACACAAAGCUUACAUUCAUGCUAAUAGCUAUGUAUGGAAACAUAAUAGUAAAUUUAGUAUGCAACUUGCUAACUUCAGACUACAAAUCUGAUGCUAUAUUGAUACUCCUACCUAGUAUGUAGAUCUCAAUAUACCCAUAUUAAGAUGGUAAUAUAAUUAGUAAAAUCUUAAUGCCCUAUUAAAUGCUUGCUAAAGUAUGGAAAUUUUAUACCACGAUAUUGUGGAUUCAGUUACAAACAAAAAAAACUAAUAACCUAUUUGGUGAAAGCAUCUCUAUCUGUUUGCAUCUAAAUCCAACACAAUCAAUUACAACUGUUUCUAGAAUUUUUAUUGAACAUAUAGAAGUUAGCAUUGAUUCAUGGUUCAUCAUUAUAUACAAUAGAAUAUGGAAGCAUCUUCAAUGUUGAUGCUACAAUUUGGGAACAUGUUAUUGGCAUGAACUAUGUUGUUCCCCAAAUUUAAUAAAUUAAAACUAGAAUUAUCAAAUAUUUCACACAUAAUGAUAAUUUAUCAAAAUAACUUAAAAUAAAUAUCAAUAUUAAUUAAAUAUUGGAUUUAUAGAUGACAUAUUUUAAGUAUAUAUGUGAUUGGAUAUAGGGUGGUUGCAAUUUUAAACAUUACCUAUAAUAAGUUAUAGAAGUCAUACAUGAUUAUAACAUUGCUUUCAAAGCACAAUGAAUCUAGUUCUGAUUUGAUGUAUUUGAAGAACUACUUGCAUAAUUAAAAAUAUAUGUGUAAUCUUUUUGUUGACAUAUUCUUUAUAAAUAGAUUUAGUAGCUUGUUUCAAUUUAAAAGCAAUAACUUGUAUGCACAUACAUUUAACCAAACAAUAUCUUCUUUGAUGAUGUACAUAUGCAAAUGAUGAGCAUCCAUUAUGUUGAAGAAUUAGUGACAAAGUUUAUUUGACCAACAAUAGGUAACACUUAUGAAGUUCAAUCAAUAGUCAUAUGGAGUUAUUAAAGGAGCAAGGAACAAGAGAAUUGAAUUGUAGUACAUCAAUCCUCAUCAUAUUGCUUCUUUUUCUUUGGUCAUCCUUUGUUAGCACAAAUAAGGCAUCAAAGUUCUACUUGGACCAAUCUUCUCAACAAUCAACUACAAUAUGUUAUUUUUUUUUUCAAAUUCAGUAACUUUUUACAACCAUAUCUGGUUCAUUUUGACUCACAAGUGGAAUAAUAAGUCCAACUUAAGAGCUCAACUAGACAUUUAUGGGCAUGCUGUCUAGGAUCCAACACACAAGUAGCAAACCCAUUCAAUUUUUACAAGGGAUCCAAAUAAAAAUAAGAUUUAAACUUUCAUGUCCAUGGACAUAUAUGUUGUAUGCUUGAACUUAUACCUGAGCAAAUAAGGCCCGGCCAGGUUCAACCCAAUAGCCUAGUCUGAGCGCGCCGGGCUAAGCUCGGCUCAUGCCUCUAAUAGGAUCGAGCGUGCUGCUAAUUUUGCCGGCCCGAAAAAAUUUGGGAGGGCCUGAUCUGGCUGGGGCUGAUUAUUUAUUUCAAUUGUCUUAUGCGUAAAAAUAGUGGUCCGCUCGGUCAGGGCCCAAGCCCGACCGAUGUCUUUCUCGGGCGCAAUACUUUGGCCCAAAAUAUUAUGAGGAUUUUCUCGGCUCGUCUUAGAUCGACUUCAACUCUAUUGCAACUAAAAUUGUAUCUUGUGUCCCCCUACUUUACCAUCAGGCUCCAGACCCGAUGAUUCCCGCACCGAUCAAUCUACUAUCUCGGGAUAUCCCUCAAUAGGCUGCAGGGUAAAAAAUACCGGCACCUCCCUAGUAUAAAAAUCAAGAUUGCCAUAUUGACAUGGUAACAAAGUUGUACAAACUUAAUUUCAUAUUAAAUUCUUGCUAAAGUUUUGAAAACUUUAUUAGCUGGAUAUCUGGAGUUAUCUCUAGAUCAACAGAAAAAGGAAUCAAUCCUGCUAAGACUAUUUAGCCAGAGCAUCUCAAGUUGUAUGCGCUUGAAUCCAACAUUAUAAAUUAUAACUAUUUUAAGAAUUAUAUUAGUCAUAUCAUUGCUGGCAUUGAUUCAGUGUCAAUAUGGAAUAUUCACGUUGAUGCUAAGUUAUCUGUGGAUCAAUAGAAAAAGGAAUCAAUCCUGCCAAGGCUAUUUAACCAGAGCGUCUCAAGCUGUAUGCGCUCGAAUCCAAUAUAAUAAAUUAUAACUAUUUUAAGAAUUAUAUUAGUCAUAUCAUUGCUGGCAUUGAUUCAGUGUCAAUAUAAAAUGUUCAUGUUGAUGCUAAGUUAUAUAUGGAUCAAUAGAAAAAAGGAACCAAUCCCGCUAAGGCUAUUUAACCGAGCGUCUCAAGCUGUAUGCGCUCGAAUCCAAUAUAAUAAAUUAUAACUAUUUUAAGAAUUAUAUUAGUCAUAUCACUGAGGGUACAGACUCAGUGUCAAUAUGGAAUGUUCACGUUGAUUCUACUUCGCCCUCCAUUUUCAAAAUUUAUAAUUUCUCUUAUACUAAAAUGUUUAUAGCACCACAAAUCAUAACCAUGUGAAAAUAUUAUAUGAUGUGAAUCCAAUUAUACCAUAUUUAUAUAACAAAAUGCAUAGUAUGUGAAGAUUAUGAGGUUUGCUCUUAGAACGAUAACAAGAUAGACAUUUAAAUAUUUGAAUAAUAUUUUCUUUGAUGCUUAUGCUAUAGGUACUAAAGAUAAAAGAUCAUGUUCAUUUUAGUACAUAAGAAACAACUAAUAGUUUGCCCUAAUGAAGGAACAUAUGAGAUAAGCCACACAACAUUUUAUAUAAUUCAUAUUCUUGACUCACUAUUACGAAUUCAUACUGGACUUAAUCAAAUAACACCAUGAGAAAUGACAAAACUAUAAAGUUAGGUUAAUAAGGCCAAUCCAUCCAUUUUAAUGGAAAUAUCAAUGCAAAUGAAACAACAAAGUAAUAGUACUACAUUGUAGUAAUCCUUCGGUUGAUUUUCAUAACAUGUAAUAAAAGCUCUUUGUGAUCAUAGGACUGCAAAUUUACUUUACUUGAAGAGUCCUAGCUUAACUGUAGUAGAGAUAGAAGUGAGUAGAGAUCAGUGUGCAAGAAACUAUCAAUAAUUCUUUAAAAAAUUCCUAAGGUUCCAUUAAUACAUAUGGUUGCAACACACAUUUUCAUGAAACAAGGAUUUAUAUUACAGAAAAUUAGACAACCAAUGGAAAUAGAUAUGCAGAAAUAAUAUAAUAUUUAUGAUGAUACUAUUAAGUAAUCCUUCUCUAUUCCAUGUGUAUGGAUUCUAAAUAUAUCCAUACACAGAAGGGACAUCACACGCUAUGAAAAUGAUUGAAAAUCUACAUUACAGAAAAAGUCAUGCCACUUGAGUAGGGAAUAUAAAAUCGGUAAAAGAGGAUGCCAACAAUCCGUUACUUAGUUUACACAUAGUGUUCCAAAAUUGCUUCCAUUAAUAAAAUAUGAAGCACUCAUGCAUCAAUUUUUCUUCUUCUAAAAUUCCACUCUGAUGGAAAGUAUCCAUAUAAUAAAGGAACAACACAAUAAUUUGUUACCCAAUUCACACGUAGAGUUCCAGUUAUGUUGAUAAGUAUGAAGCAUGACGCUUCAUAUUUACAUUACAAAAUCCUGCUCGAUUGAAAAGUAUACGCAUAAUAAUUAUAUUAAUAGACAUGAAGCAUUGCAUGCUUCAAAUUUGUGUUAUGAAAUUUGGCUUGAAUAAAAAGUAUGCAAACAAUAUUGGAUCAUGUCAACAAUUCGCUACCUAGUUCACACGUAAAAUUUUGGUUUUGUUUUAUCAUUAUGAAAUAUUACUUGCUCGCUUGAAUUUUAUGUUACUAAAUUCCAAUCAAGUGGAGGCAUACGAACAUUAGCAAAUACUCUCCACAAAUUCAGAUGUCAAGUUCGAAAACUUGGUUCUAUCAAUAAGCAAGAAACACUACGUGCUAUUAGCGUUACGUGACUACACGUGGAUAAAAACUAUGCGUGCAAAUUUAUGUCACUAAAUUAUGUUUCCGUAUAGAUUAAAAAUAAUACGUGCAAAUUUAUGAUACAAGGUUAGGUGUUUGCACGGAUAAAAGUAGUACAUACAAGUUUACGUUAUGGAAUCAGCCGCACGAUAAAAAACAAUACGUGCAAAUUUACGUUACAAGAUCAUAUCCACACGGAUAAGAUCAUGGAUACGAUGGAAACAAAUAAUAAAUGGCGCAAUCCACGCGUUACAAAUCGCAAAAUCAAAUCCUAUUAAUAUGCAACAAACAUUAUUGCGAAUUAACGGGCCUAUAGUUGAUCAUUGUGAACUCCAAAUUCAAUCAAGGUAGCAGCAUAUUCAAUCACCACUCGAUCAAUAAGCAUCAUAGACAUUCAAGUUUCAAAAUCUAAAUGCUAUAGACCUGUAGCACACACUACACUGUAUCGCCCAUUGCAAAACAAGUUUCAUAACACAAAUAAAACACAAAAAGACAAAUUUACAAAGCCGUGGAGUAGUUUGCGGGUGGAGGGGUAGGGGAAUCUGGUGAGGAAAUGCAGCAUGCAGACCCGACCCGUUUGGCCUUAAAUGGCCCCAGCUGUUCCCAUCCAAACCCAACAGAGGGACUGUAGAGAGAGAAAGAGAGUGGUCAUGGCCUCGCCGGGCGCCCCCUGCCCUGCCCUGCUUAAAAACCUCGCCCCUUAAUUCGCUCGCACCGGUUACUACUGCUCCUGCUACCUCACACCACCCUCCCUCUCCUGCCAGAGCAGGAGGAAGAGAGAUUGGCAGGACGGCCAAGGAGCGGCGCCGAGGAGAGAGAGAGAGACGGAGCCAGCAAGUGUAACCGCCGCCGCGGAAACGGGAGAGGAGGAGAGAGAAGGAGAGGCGAGGGCGAAAAAGGAAACCAGGUGGAAGCAGAGGGGGGAAUGGCGUGAAGCAUGGCUGGAUCCAAGGUUCCGCGAUACCCUGCCUAUUCUGCAACGCAGCUCGUCUGGAGUUGGAAGGCGGCUACCGCCCCGGCGCUUUCUUGCUCGGCCUGCUCAUCGUCGUGUAUAAAUAGGACCGGGGGGCCAGGCCACAGACCGCACUGCAGCACACCACAGAGAUCUCUCCUCUUCCAUCUACAGCCGUAGAGAGCGAGGAGCGAGCGAGCGGAGGUUGGUAGCCAGGCGGCGGCGGCGGCAGCAAUGGACUUCGGCGACGAACCCGAGGGCUCCGACAGCCAGCGCCAGCGGAAGCGCUACCACCGCCACACCCCGCGCCAGAUUCAGCAGCUCGAGGCGUACGCUCUCUUCCUUCCCUUUCUCUCUCGUUUCGCUUGUUUGGUUUCCGGCCGGCGCCGUCGUGAUGAUUGAAGGGAUGUAAUAAUGGCGCUCGCCCCGUGGCUGCAGGAUGUUCAAGGAGUGCCAGCACCCCGACGAGAACCAGCGCGCCGCGCUCAGCCGGGAGCUCGGCCUGGACCCGCGCCAGAUCAAGUUCUGGUUCCAGAACCGCCGCACCCAGAUGAAGGUACGGUGUGUCUUCUUCGAGUUCCCUUGAUUUUGUUUCUUUCACGAGGUCGCCGUUUUCCAUUUCGAUCUUUUGUCGGCUUGUUUUCCACGGAUUCUUGAUGGCGCGUGUCUGUGCUUGUUGUUUGGCGAGUUGCAGGCGCAGCACGAGCGCGCGGACAACUGCUUCCUGCGCGCGGAGAACGACAAGAUCCGGUGCGAGAACAUCACCAUGCGCGAGGCGCUCAAGAACGUCAUCUGCCCCAACUGCGGCGGCCCGCCCGUCACCGAGGACUACUUCGACGAGCAGAAGCUCCGCAUGGAGAACGCCCGCCUCAAGGAAGAGGUAACCACUGGCUUGACCAAGGGCGCGCCGAUUCCGGCGACGCCCUCGCCGGCCUGUCCUCCUGUAUAUUUUCAUAGUACGUCUCUGGUGUUCUUCUUCUUGGGUGCCAAUGCCAACCUGAUGCGGAUGGAUGGACGCGCAGCUGGACCGGAUGUCGAGCUACACCUCCAAGUACCUCGGCCGGCCGUUCACGCAGAUGCCCCCGGUGCCGCCCAUGUCCGUGUCGUCGCUGGACCUGUCCGUGGGCGGGAUGCCCGGGCAUGGGCUCGGCGGCGGCGGGCCGUCGCUGGACCUCGACCUCCUCGGCGGGUGCCCGCCGGGGAUGCCGUUCCAGAUGCCGGCGCCCGUGACGGAGAUGGAGAGGCCCAUGAUGGUCGACAUGGCGGCGCGCGCCAUGGACGAGCUCAUCCGCCUCGCGCAGGCCGGCGAGCAGCUCUGGGCCAAGGGCGUCGCCGGGGACGCGAGGGAGACGCUCAACGUCGCCACCUACGACAGCCUCUUCGCCAAGCCCGGCGGCGAGUUCCGCCCGCCGGACAUCAAUGUCGAGGGGUCCAGGGACUCGGCGCUCGUCUUCAUGAGCGCCGUCGCGCUCGUCGACGUCUUCAUGGACACGGUACGCACUCCUUCCCCUUCCUCUUCUACCGGCAUGCUUCGGUUUGUUUGCUCAGGCGUCCCGACGAUUGAUUGCUGCUGCUAUUCUGGUAUUGUUGCAGAACAAGUGGAUGGAGUUCUUCCCCGGCAUCGUGUCCAGGGCGCACACCGUCGAUGUCCUCGUGAACGGCUUGGGCGGCAGGAGCGAUUCAUUGAUCAUGGUAAUGCCGCCAUAGAAUCGAAUCCUUGGAAUGAUUCUCGUGAUCCUUGGAAGAAACUAACCAAUGCCGUCACGUCGUCGUUGCAGAUGUACGAGGAGCUGCACAUCAUGACGCCCGCCGUCCCGACCCGCGAGUUCAGCUUCCUCCGCUACUGCAAGCAGAUCGAGCAGGGCCUCUGGGCCGUCGCCGACGUCUCCCUGGACGGGCAGCGCGACGCGCACUACGGCGGCAUCCCGUCGCGCACGCGCCGCCUUCCGUCGGGGUGCCUCAUCGCCGACAUGUCCAAUGGCUACUCCAAGGUCACGCGGGCCGCUCGUGCUUUUGCUCCACGCGUGUACGCACGUGCAUUGCCCUGUGUGCUACAAUGGCGGGGGUGUCCCUGACACGUUCGUGUGUCUUUGCAGGUGACCUGGGUCGAGCACAUGGAGAUCGAGCAGAUGCUCCCCGUCAACGUGCUCUACCGCAACCUGGUGCUGAGCGGCGCCGCGUUCGGGGCGCACCGGUGGCUCGCCGCGCUGCAGCGCGCGUGCGAGCGCUUCGCGUCGCUCGCCGUGCUCGGCGCGUCGCACCACGACCUCGCCGGAGGUACGCACAGAUACAUAUGAAGCCAUUUUGUUGACAGAAUCAAACAUCGUGCAAUGCUUGAACCUGAUGAGUGUUCCGCUGAUGGGCAGUGACGCCGGAGGGGAAGCGGAGCAUGAUGAAGCUGUCGCAGAGGAUGGUGAGCAGCUUCUGCGCGAGCCUGAGCUCGUCAGCGCUGCAGCGGUGGACGCCGCUGUCGGGCACCACGGACGUGAGCGUCCGCGUGUCCUCGCACCGCAGCGCCGACCCCGGCCAGCCCAACGGCGUCGUCCUCAGCGCCGCCACCUCCAUCUGGCUGCCCGUCCCCGGCGACCACGUCUUCGCCUUCGUCCGCGACGAGACCGUGCGAUCCCAGGUACGCCCACGCCUCGGCUCGCCGUCCGGACUCCGGGAUACAUCACAUCACCAUCAGCCGCAGCGCGCUCGCCAUUUAAGAUUUAACGCCAUCACGCCUUGAUUGUUGUUUGCCUUUGCCAUUGCUGCGCCGCAGUGGGACGUCCUGUCGCACGGCAAUCAGGUUCAGGAGGUGUCGCGCAUCCCCAACGGCUCCAACCCCGGCAACUGCAUCUCCCUGCUGAGAGUGAGCAAUCGACCGACCAGUCAUCUCCGUCUCGUGUUCAUUAACGCGAAAUUGUGCUGUUGAAUUGAUUCUGUUUUCCUGGCGACAACGUAUUGAUGGCGCUUUUUUUGGUGUUUCAGGGGCUGAACGCGAACCAGAACAGCAUGCUGAUCCUGCAGGAGAGCUGCACGGACGCGUCGGGGUCGCUGGUGGUGUACUCGCCGAUCGACCUCCCGGCGGCGAACGUGGUGAUGAGCGGCGAGGACCCGUCGGGGAUCCCGCUGCUGCCGUCGGGCUUCGCCAUCCUCCCCGACGGCCGGCCGGGGUCCGGCGCGGCGGGCGCGUCCAGCAGCGCCGCCCCGCUGGCGUCCCCGCCGGGCUGCGUCGUCACCGUCGCGUUCCAGAUCCUCGUCAGCAACCUGCCGUCGUCCAGGCUCAACGCCGAGUCCGUCGCCACCGUCAACGGCCUCAUCGGCACCACCGUGCAGCAGAUCAAGGCGGCGCUCAACUGCGCCGGCCCCUGAUCGAUCGAUCGUCUUCCGAUCCACCAUCGCCGCCGCCUCCCCCCCGCCCCGCCUCGCCAGCCGCCUCCGCCACAGUGAGUGACUGACGAGAGAGUUGGUUGGCCCGUUGAAUGCUCGCAUUCAUGGACGCCACCUGCCGCUGCUCCCGGAGCUGACGCAGCUCUCUCCUCAUCAACCCAUCCAUGAUCCAUCACCACCAUAACAGCUCUCCUCCUCCUUUAGAUUCGGUGUCGUUUUCCUUUUGCUUAAAUCUGCAGGAUUCGUCGAGUUUUCUUCUUUUUCCUUUUUUCUUCCUUAGAAACAUUCGUUCGUGAGCCAAACAGAUCGAAGGCUUUCAGGCUGAGGGAGUCAAGAACGCACCAUGCUACCGUGUCCCAUUCCUCUCGCUGCAGCCAUUUUUCUCCCACACCACCACCACAGCUCUUCCGGCCUCUUCCAUGCAGGAUCCAUCCAUCCAUCCUUGUCAUCUCGCCAUUGUCGUUGUUGGUGCCGCAGCAGGGGAUGAAUGGUGCGGGUAUUGACUUCUGUCCAUUAAUGUAAAGCCUUCAAUGAACAUUCAUUUCGGUUAUAAAUGGAAAGGAGAAAAAACAAGUUCUGGUAAAAAGCUGUGAGAUGCGUUCAUGGCCCCCUGCUUCCUUUUUUCCGUGUGGUGCUAUGCUAUUGCCGGGAGUGCUUGUAGACUGGUAGUUCGCGGCUUGCACCCUGGCCCUGUCGUAUCGCUGUCAAUCAUCGACUGCGACGGCACGCCCCAUGCCGGCGCUUCGAUUCGAUCUCCCAAGAAACCGACCUGUGACGACGAGCAGCUAGCUGCGGGUGGCACGUCCGCUGCUGCUGCGGCGGCGGCGGCCGGCGGUCAUCUUCGCCGGCGGCGGAGAGGGCCGAUUUGGACGCGCGAUUCAAGUGCGUGCAGGCGGAAGUGGGUGGCGCCGGCACGCACCACCGUGCUAGCUCAGUAGCUCAGGGCUCAGGCUCCUGCGAUGGUCUCUUUAAUAUGGUGGUUGGCUGGGCCGCGCAGCCCCCGGGAGGAAGGCAGGCUACUGCCUGCUACGAUGGGAUCGGCAUCUCACGCACGCACGCACACGCACGCAGCCCUAGUCCAUCCAUGGUGUCGCGCACGGUGUGACGUUUGCACUGGGUCCAUGGGGAUCAGGCGAUGGACGGCCGAGAUCGAUCUUCGACGGAAAAAAAAA
Molecule: long non-coding RNA, 96135 nt
Filed under: Setaria viridis
Lineage: Eukaryota; Viridiplantae; Streptophyta; Magnoliopsida; Poales; Poaceae
Description: long non-coding RNA (SVIR_LNC003953)
Source: RNAcentral